RNAcentral lists this long non-coding RNA (102202 nucleotides) under Ananas comosus (pineapple). RNAcentral describes it as "long non-coding RNA (ACOM_LNC032332)". The record is from RNAcentral. Lineage: Eukaryota; Viridiplantae; Streptophyta; Magnoliopsida; Poales; Bromeliaceae.
AAAAAAAAAAAAAAAAAAAAAAACUAACUUUGUUUGGAACCUCUUUCACGGAAUAUUGCAUGAAGCAGCCAAAUUCUCCAUUAUACUUCAGCUUUGUUCCUCAAAAAGUGUGGAACAUUUUUUUUUUUUUAAUGAAAAUGUUUUUUUAUUAUUUUUUGGCCCGUUUGAUUUGGAGAAAAACUAGCUUUUUUUCUUCUGAUUUUUAUAGAAAAAUAGUAUUUUUGUUUUUCUAAAAAAAAAAACGAAAAUUCUAGUUUUUUUAAUGAAAUUUGAAAAAAAAAAUCUUAGCAAAAAAAUUGAUUUUCAUUAGAACCAAAUUAAACUAGAAAAGAAAUUUUUCAUGAAUUAUUUUUCAGAAAUUUUUUUUUUUCCUACACUUUUCCAGAAAUCAAACAGCCCCAUAUUAAUUUUGACAACAACUACUAGGAUUUGGCAAGAGACCUACCUAAAUGUACUAUAAUUAAAGAUAAUAAAUGAUUAUAUAUAGAAAAAUCUUAGAGACACUGGUGUUAUAUUUUUCCCUCAAGUUUUUUUUUUUUUAAAGCAAAAUUGUUAACAUUAAUUUGAGAAACAUAAUGGGGAACUGGAAAUUGUUAUCUUUUAAACAUUUAUAUUUUACCCCCUCAAUAUUUCAAAUUGUUGUAUUUAAUCUUCCUCUAUUAGGAUUUUCUCACUAUUCUUUUCAUUUUUUAUAAUUUAUACCAAAAAUACCCUUCAAAACAUUUCUAAAAUUUUAACGGAGUAAAAAUGUAAUUAAAAAAUUCUAUAAUUUAACCUUCGAAUUUAUACUUUUUCUCCUAUUUUUAUCCUGUAGUUUUGAAGUCUAAGAUUUGAAUCCCUGCUAAUAUGUCCUUUAAAAAGAAAAAAAAAAACAAAACAAAAUUUGGCUUCUGAUUUAUUGGAUUACAUGUAAAUGGCAUAAGAGUUAGUUCUAUAACCCUCGUAGAGUUUUUUUUUNNNNNNNNNNNNNNNNNNNNNNNNNCACCACCGAUCUAUAGAAGCAUAUAGGAAGCACUUGAGAAGGCUCGAAGUUCUCAAGAAGUCUAAAAGUCAGAAUUAAACUCAGCAACUUUCUACGUCUUAAAGUUCUCGAGCGCCCUUACAAAGAGACAAUUUUCUAAUUCUGAUAAAGAAGAUAUCAGAUUUUUUUAUGCACUUGUUGCCAAAAUCAACUUACGAUGUAGGCCCAAAAUCUACUUAUUGGAUCAGAAUCAUUUUCAAAAAGGCAGGAUCCAAAACACAAACCCCCCGCCCCGCCCUUGAGACACAAAAGAAGUGCUUUAUUAGGUCUAGGAGAGCAACAAAUUUUUAUCUUAUGUUCUUAUUUUUCUCUGUGUCUUGCACCCAUAAUCUGUCAAGCGGAUUUCACCGUAUAAUGAAAAGAAGGGGACUUCCAAGUAAAAGUCAGAAAUAAUUUUGUGUGAACAAAACACUUUGGAAACUCUAAAAAUCAGUCGAAAAGCAAGUUAAUGAUUUUGAGAUUGAGAAAUAGAGAACCCAUUUGCAUUUUGCCAACUAAUUUUGAAAUAUACUGUAUAAGAGAAGUGUUACUCUCUCGGACAAUCAAAACUUGCUCUUCAGUAAUUGUUGUAUAGACAACACCCGUAAUUAGAAGUAACACAGACAUCUAAAUACAUAUCAUAGUAUAUCAUAUAUUUCUCCAAUUCUUGCUGCUGGCUGCUCAGAUCCAAGUCUAGACUACACUUACUGCGAAUCAAGACCUCAAAAAUUGGUAUGAUUCUGCUUCUUGUUUUAAGCAAUGAGCAAUUCUAUUUUGGCUACAGUGAUGCAGUGAAACCAAACUAUAGAACUGUCUUGCUUACUAAUCCAAGACUAUAUAUAGUACGGUAAGCGUUCAUGAUGAGCUCUAAUCUACUGUAAUAUAUCUGUAUUUGACUAAUGAACAUGUAAGACAUAAAGAGCUCGGCUGGAGCUGACCAGUUGGAGCCGUGAUCGUAUUACUGACAUGGUUCAGGGUGCGGACAAUAAAUCUCUCGUCAUUGUUCUCCCUAGUCUCUCUCGUUUUUCCGGACUGUAUAUGGUGUUUCGAAUGCUUAUCAAUACUUAAUAAGAUAAAGAGCCCAAGUGUCAGUUGAAAAGUUGGGACAUGAAGAUGGUGAUGCCAGGAGGUGAGUGAGUUUCUGAUAGGUGCCGUUGUAAUGGAAAGAUUAAAACUUAGCCUUGUGCAGCAACUUAGCAGAACUUAAUUUGCCAAAAAGAAUUUUAAAAAAAAAACAGAAACAAAGAAACGUUUAUUUUUAUUAGGGAAGAAGUGAUGUCGAUUGAUUAGGAUAGGUUUUGACUUAAAAAAAUAUGAAGAUAAAAAGUCGCUCUUUAUUAUACAAAAAAAAAAAAAAAAAAAAACUAAUCUUUGUUUGGAACCCCCUUUCCACCUGGAAUAUUGCAUGCAAAAAAACAUUCGUGCAUUAUACUUCACGUUGCGUUCCCUCAAGUGUGAACAUUUUUCUUCUUUAUGAAAAAUCGUUUCUUUAUUAUUUUCGCCUUUGAUUGGAGAAAACUAGCUUUUACUUCUUAUAUUUUUAUAGAAAAAUAUGUAUUCUUGUUUUUGUAAAAAACAAAAUAACAAAUACAGUUUUAAUGAAAAUUGAUAAAAAAAAAAAAACUGUCACAAAAAUUGAUUUUCAUAACCCCCAUUAACUAGAAAAGAAAUUUUCAUCGAAUUAUUUUCAGAAAUUUUUUUUUCCCCUACACUUCCAAAACAAACACAUAUUAUUUGACAACAAUACACGGAUUUGGCAAGAGACCUGAAUCCCUAACAAUGUACUACAAUAAUUAACAGAUAAUAAAUAUUAUAUAUAGAAAAAUCUUAGCGAACUGUGUUAUAUUUUUCCCCUCAAGUUUUUUUUUUUUUAAAGCAACAAUCUGUUAAAUUAAUUUGAGAAAACCAAAUGGGUAACUGAAAUUGUUUAUUCUUUUAAACAUUUAUAUUUUACCCCCUCAAUAUCUCAAAUUGUUGUAUUUAAUCUUGCCCUCUAUUAGGAUUUUCUCGAACUAUACUUUCAUUUUUUAUAAUUUAUAGCCGAAAAAUAUCCCUUAAAAUAUGCAAAAAAUAUAUUAAAGAAUUAUUUUUUUAUAUAAAAGAAAAUAAUAAAUUUGAUCAAUUUUCCCCUCUUCAUUACCCAGCCAUAACCUCCAGACAACAUUUUCUAAAAUUUAACGGAGUAAAAAUGUAAUUAAAUAAUUCUAUACAUUUAACUUCUGAAAAUUUAUAACUUUUCUCCCAUAUUUUAUCCCUACGUUUUGGAAGUCUAAGAUUUGAAUCCUCGCUAUUGUCCUAAAUAAGAAAAAAAAAAACAAUUACAAAACAAAUUAUGGUUCUGAUAUAUUGGAUUACAGUGUAACAUGGCAUAAAUUAGUUCUAUAACCCUCGUAGAGUUUUUUUUUUUUUUUUUUUUGAGAAAAGUAGAAUGCUAUCCGUUUCGUUUAUUUAUUUAAAAAUAAACUUAGCUGAAAAUAUAAAUCAACUAGAAUUUGAACUUGGGUUUCGAAUACGAACAACCAAAUCUUUUUGCCACUUGCGCCAGGACAGUCGUUACGCGACAAUGCUAUAGAAAGAAAGGCCAUACUAUAAAAUUGGAAUGAGGAUCAAAAAUAAUUAAAAUUUCAAUUAUUUGGUCGAGAAAAUUAUUUCAUGCCAUGUAAUUCCAUUUCUAUGAUUACUUCGAAUUCCAAACUCGGGACAAACACAUUUUCCCUGCAAAAAUGAAUCCAUCAUAUGCUGAGAAUGGUAAAGAAAAAGUAAUAAACUAAUGCACUAGGUAAAGCUAAUGCUAAUUAUAUUUAAAUAUAUUUAAUUAUGAUACUAAUUAUUUUUUUAUUUAGUUUGCAUAUUUAAAAUAUGAUAAAAUUUGAUUAUUUAAGUUUUAUUAUUUUCUUCAUUUAGUUUAUACAUCUAAAAUAUGAUGAAAACUGAUUAAUUAAGUUUUUAUAUUUUUGUAACUUUAUAAUUUAUUAAAAUUUUUAAUUAUAUAAAAAUAUAAUCAUAUUAUUUUCAUUUAGUAUAUUAUUAUUUAUUAAGUUAUUUAUUAUUUAUGCAUAAACGGUAGUUUUAUAUUAUUCACUUUCUACAGAACAAACAGCAGAACUUAAGAAACUUCACUUCUAUAGCUAUAAAACAAACAGUACAUGAGAAAUAGUUUUUACCGAACUCCAAUUCAAUUCAAAGUUUACUUCAAUCCAAAGUUCAAUUUCGGUGAAACAAACAGACCUUUAAGCAGUGAUCAACAAGAUAUAGCCCAAAAGACAGUACCGUCCUAUUCUGAUAUUGCAUCUUGAUCUCUGUACUUUCAACUUAGAUGCUUAUGUCCCUAAAAUCACUGCAGUACCUGACAAUGGGGUAAAAAGAAAAAGAAAAAAGAAAAAAAAAAAAACUAAAAUUUUUGUUAUAAAAUGACUAUUCUAUCCCUUCACUUGCAAAAUGACUUAUUUGGUACAGUUUCAACAAAAAUAAACACAAAUCUUCAUGGCACUAACUAAGCUGUACCAAAAAAUGAACAUGCGGCACAUGGAGAGCAGCAGGACAUUCAUUUCUUGUACACAUUGCUUACAUUUGUGUAAUGCAAGUACAUCACAUGGUUCCUAAGAAAAUAAUUUUACUGAAAUUUUUUUUUUCCAAAUUUUACAAAAAACCUAGUGUUCUCAUGCUUUUCCGAGGAACUAAAUACCUCCCACAUGAAAUUCUUCGGGUACGAUGUAUAAAUAGAUUUGCAACGACAAAAUUUGGUAAGAAAUUUAAGGUAUUACUUAAUGAGAGUUAAUUCUGCAAACAAUGGGAUUUCACACUUGAACUAUAAAAGACCAUAAUGCAGCCACAGAUGAUUGUUGGGAAUAAUUUAAGACUAUUAUCAAUGAUAAGUAGAAUAAUUAACCAGUAAAAUGACUGGAUGAUUAACCAGUAAAAUGACUUUCAUAUCCAGAAUUAACUGCGUGCCGAUAUCUGCGAAUUCGGAUCUUGGGUCACUGCAUAAUUGAAAAGCUUCAUCAGUUAAGCUUUUGGUUAGCUACUUGAAUCUAAUAUGAGAUACUAAAACAUAAGAAAGCAAAAUUCGGAAAUGUUGGCCAGUUGCCAAAGGAAAAGAAAUAAGUCAAACAUAUGCAGAAAUUCCAAGUGGUGUACUGCAAAUAAAUCAGCACUGGAUAAUUAGAUAGUGAUAUAGGUGUGUAAAGGUUAAAGGCAACAAUACAAGACGGCAAAAUCAUAAACUGUAUCAUGAAAUAUCGAUUCAAAACAUAGAAGAAGACCAAAUGACCAUAACAUAUAUGAUAAAUCUCCUAGAUUGGAGAAAGGAUCUAAGGAUCCAGGAACUCUGACACAAUGUGCCCUAGAAACCCCGAAGAAGAUGAUUAAUGUUGAUAUAGAACAUGAUUAAUGUCGAUACGUAUAUGUACUUGCGGGAAGUGAGAUGGCAAACAACUAACCUCCACUUCAAGACAUUAAAGGAAAAGCAGUGAUCAAGUUCCAUGAAACAUAGUGUUGUUAUAUGAAUAUCAUAUUAUACACCAAUCUACUAUUCUUUUCUUCACUAAUAGCAGAUACGUUAUUCAACGUGUCUUCAAUGGAUACAUCUAACUUAUAUUAAGUAUCUUCGUGAAACAUUGAUUGAAUAAUACGAAAACUGCUCAAUCAGACUUUACACAAUCAUACCUUCCUAUAGGCUGUUCGAUCAUGCUCUACUCAUUUUAGUGAAUGACUGAAAACUUUUUUUUGCAAAUUUGAGGUUUCUCUAGCCUUGCUCUAAGGUGUAUUGUUGUUUGAUGAAGUAUUUAUUGAGCAGUGUUAUUAGAAGAAACACUAUAAUAAAGUAUGAAAAGCUCCAAAUUUGAGCUUCUACUUUUGAAACAGAAUUUCAUUUUAGUUUUCCACUGCAGCAAAAGCUCCACACUUUUUAGCUGGCUAAAUGUGCUACUAGAUCUCACUGUUUUAAAAACGAGGUCAAACAACAACCUAAAAAUACUACUAGGUCAAGAGUCGCCGGUUCAACCAGUGACUAAUGACGUCAGUAUGACAUCAUAAAUAUUUAAUUAUUAUUUUUAAUUUUAUUAUAUAGAAAAAUAUACAUAUAUUAUUAUUCUAGUAUCAUACUUAAUAACAAAAUAUUAAUGUCUAGACCAAAUUAAGUAUAUAUAAGUUUUCAAGUUUCACAUUUUAUAAGACUAAUUUUUGCUAAUCGAUAAUACAAUCAGCUAAGUUAAUCGUAAGCCGUUGGUUUUUAAAUAUGACUCGGUCAAAAAAACUUGUCUGAUUUGAUUAAAACCGGACCGGUUCACCGGUUUGAUAGUUGAACCGCCAGUUUGAAUGAUUCAAAGCAGGUUUUCAACUUAUCCAGUUCAAAGGAUUGAACUGAACUGUUUUAUAGACUAGGUCACGGUUGGACUCGUCGAACUGGCCAAUUUAACCCAGGUUUUAAAUCAUUGCUAGAUCUGGCUGCAGCUGAAAGUGGAAUCUGAAGCAGGGCCAAACAGGCACAUGGUUUUGGUUGAGUCAAAUAAAAGAAAAUGUAAUACAGGACUACGUAUUCAUGUAGUUCUAACAUUGCAUUUUUGCUGUUCUUUUCAAAUAAAAAUUGUCAUCUCCAUAGCUGGACCAUUUAGCUUUUCUAAUCUCUUUCAGAUCGAUAUUUCAGAUUACUCCAAAACCCCUAGAAUCACUUCAACUUUAAGGGGAAAAUUAUCUAAGAGUGCUCGACACAAUCUAAACCGCUUCUUUUCAAGUUAAGCAUAAGGAUUGUGAAGUAAAUUUAUCUAAGACCCCAAAAUUUUCAACUGAAAACAAAUCAAAAGGCUCGUUUUCAAGUUAAGCAUAGGUUAGCGUACACUUUAUUGUUGACAAAUAGUACCAUAUAAUGAAACCUAGUAGACAUAGAUUGGGUCAAUAUCAAUAGCUAAGUUCAUGCUGUAAGUCUCUUUCCCUUUUUUUCAGGGUGGCAUUUAUACCCGUUCCUAAUUUGCACUUCAAAGGUCCCGCAAGCAUUUUUAGUAUCAAGACUUUCUAACUCAUGCAACUUAUAUGGUACUUAUUUAAUUAUUAUUCAAUCAGGUACCAUGAUGGAUGCAUUUAGAUACAUAUUGAAACAGAAAAUUGUAUGAAACAAAGACGAAAGUAUGAUGACGUGCAACGUACAAUUUCUUUAUGUUUUGCAUACUUGUUCCCAUGCAAGUCAAAUGCAAAUUCUCCACCAAUAAAAGAAAAGAAAAAAAGAGAGAUGCAAUUUUCACAAUUUCUGAAUAAAAUUCAAGAUUUUAAUAUAUAUAUAUAUAUAAAAGAUCCACAAUAGGACUCGCCAGUUUACCUCCCAGAGAUUUCUCAAAGUUCUUCAAUUGAAUCAUAAAACCCUCAUUUGGAGCUACGUGUGGCCGUUUGCGUCUGACCAGCUCUAAAGCACGUGAUAGACUGAUAUGAUGUGUCUUCAUGAGAUAAGCAAUAACAAUUGUGACACUGAAAUAUAAAUAUUAAAAAUCCAUGUAAGAAAGAAAAUAAAAGCAAAAUUAAGAGUCCUUUACAUCACUAAAACAGGUAGUUAUUUGCAAAGCUUGAAGUUGAUGGAUGUUUUGUUCUGAGGCAGCUUUUGGCUGAGCCACUUUUCUACUAUUACUUUUCUCAUCCCACCCCUAACUCAACUUUUCUCCGGUUUUCUUGUAUCUCUGCUGUUAUUUCUCUCUAAUUCUGCUUAUAUAUCUGAUAAACAUUUACCACUCAUCUAAUUGUAGAAUUUUUUGUACAUGAUCUAGUGAGAUAUGUUCUAUUCAAUAUUACACCUCAAAACGUUUAGGCCAAGUUUUCUAAUACCCUUGGGAAGCAUAUCUUAUAGUUAGGAAGUUACGGUGACCUCUAAAUCCUCACAGGAAUGGAGACUUAAUACAAUAUUUGGAACCAAUUACACUUUAUUUUGUUUUAUUAAACUCAAAUUUUGUGCGAUUGAAUGUGCCCCAGCCAGACGCAGGACAGCAUAAGUUUUUUGAAAACAAAAUAGCGAAAAAAAAGAAGUUACUAUUAAGUUAUUCUUUUAUUGCCAAAUAAAACUUGCUGGUCUAUAGAUUGCAGACAAUCUGCCUUACCUAGUGCAUUCAAUCGCAUUGAAUUUGAGUCAGAAAAGGGGAAACAUAACCAAAUCAGGCCUUUUUUUUCGUUCCAUGUUUCUAACAACAGAAUAGAAAAUUUUAUCACUUCAAAUUCAACACCAGGAUAUAUCAACAUUUUGCUGAACGUAGUCUGGACGUAUUCCAAGAUCACUAAAGAAAAAAAAACCAUUUAGCCAAUACCAAGACAUCAAAUUUCAUCUCCACUUAUGCUAAUAAACUUACUUUUAUUAUACUGAACCUAAAUGUUGAGUAUUGUGAGAAUUGAGAAUGCCAAGGACAUGUUAUCACCCCAGACAUUACAAAAACAGGAGAAUGUUUACCUUCUUGACCUUCCGGCAAAGCAAUGAACCAACACAUUGCCCCCUGCUCUUUUAGCUUCGUCAAUAAAAUUGAAACAUUCAUCAAAGUACUCCUCUAAAUUGGUGUCCGGGCUGUCAAGUACUAGUGCCAACCACAAUCACAGGAUUCAGUCUUAAAAUCAUCUAGAAGAAUAAAUUUCACAUUACACCUAGCUUACAAACUAGCAUACUAUUAUAAUACGAAUCAAUAGGAUGAAAUUGUAAUAAGAACCAAUAGGAUGAAAUUGUAGCAUUGAGAUUCUCUGUGAGACAUGGAUCACAAAAUUAAAAAGAGAAACUUGACAUUAAAAAAAGAAAAGAAAAGAUUCAAACGAGUCAAUAAUUUAGAAGAAGGCAAAAUAAUGUACACAAACCAUCUUACAAACAUCGGUUUCUUCCUAGUUAUCUGCAUAUAACAAUUUAUUAGCAUAAACAGCAGUAUUUGACUUGCCAUGCAACCAAGACAAGGAAAUGCACUUACAAAUAUUCCUAUUACCAAAGAAGAGAAGAUUUUGCAUGUCAAACAGCUCAGGCAACAUUAACGCGAAGUUAAUAUGACAAGAAACAUCAAAACCACCAAAAGAAAUAUAAAAUGCAUAAAGCGAAUUCCACGCAAUAGUAUAACCAUUAGAGUAUCCAGAUUAGCAUGAAUAGCUCAAAACCAAUAUUUGCAUCAGCAGGCAUUAAAAUAAGUCAAAAUUGUGUAAAUGCUCCUAAACACAGCUAGGGUUAUCAUCUGAAAAUUUUAUUAUCAAACAAAGGAGAAUCCCACUCUUAAACUUUCUUUUAUCUUCAAAAGUUAGCAGUUAAUUUUACUAAAAAAAUCAACUGUCAAUUGUCUUUCAAACAGCAAAUGAUCUAAUAAUGCAAUGCAUUCUAUAAAGAAAACUUAGAUUUAUCCCUGGUGAGCAAAACACAAUAUUCAAAGAAAAAAAAAAACCUUUGAAGUACACUUGGAUGAAUACUAACUUUAAAUUGGUGUACAUGCCAAUAUAAGUAUAUCAAGUUGCUGUAAGCAAAAGAGUGAAAAAAAUCCCAAUGGGAACAUUCUACAGAAUCCCUAUACAAAGCAAUAUGACAACUUCCACUAAAUUGAGAAAAUAGAGAUUCACAUACCAUCAAUCUUCUUAUAAAUGAAAUCAUUUGGGAAUGGCGGAUUGAGUGAUUUGGCCACAAUUAAGAUGUGGGUGAUGUUCAAGUUCUUCAAGGCCUGCUUGUUUAGUGCCGCUCCAACAGAACCCAAGUAAAGACCCUACGACAUUACAAAUCCAUUAAGUCGUUCCAUAAAAAUCCAUCAUAUGUGCAACAUGAAGGGGGAGGAAUGAAAGAAAAAUAAGAGAAAGAACAGAAGAACAAGAAAAAAUAGCUCCCAAAUACCUCCUCGAUCUGGCAGGGGACCUUUUCCUCUUUGGCAUACCUAACCGCACACAAGGCCUGAAUGAUCGCCGCCUUUUCCAAGUUCAGAUACGACAUCAGAUAAUGUUGCUGCAGGAAGAAAUAUAGAGCUAUUCGUAGCAUCAAUUGUUCUUGAAUUUAAUAGCCUUCUUUUCUUUGCUAAAGGAAAGAAGGACAAAGGGAAGGAGUAAAUCAUCGACCAGGAUGAUUUUUAUAUCUCAGGAACUUAAUUAAAAAAAAAAAACAAACAGCCCACUAAAGAGCUUAACUGCAAAAUCACUGAUUUUGAAGGGAUUAUGAGUCAAAUUUCAUAUCCUUAUUUGGAGACAUAUUUCGUCUAGAUUAGGCUUGAUCUCCAGUUAUUAGGAUAUAUUUAAUUACUACAAGCAAAUCACUAUUACGUGCAUGCAAAAAAAUGGUUGAUCUCUCUAAACUUCUGAUGCCAUGUUCACUUAAUACGCCACCAAUUUCCUCCUGAGGUAAAAAUGCUUUUCUAGUAUAGCAAAUUAGUUCAACUGCGAAGAAUAUGCAUCCUUGUGACUAAUAAUGGAGAUUUAUUACGAAGCUUCCAAAUAAUUAGACCAAAGUAAGUGAUAUAAACUCUUCCAUGAAUGGCAUAGAGGCAAACACAGAAUCUACUCUAACAAAGGAAAGGAACUGUCCCUAUGAUAAAAAAUUUUCUUGUCACAGGCUCCAGAGGAGCCAAUUUAAACUCUUAUCCAGGCACAUUUAACAAAGGUGACACAGAAAUGCUGAACACAGUGCUGUUGUUUAGUCGAGCUGAACACAGAAGAUCGUUCUUCCUACUGUAUUCUCUUUCUAUUGUGAAGGUUAUUAAUAAGUAAAGAUCCAUGUUAUUCUUUAAAAUGCUUAAGUAUCUCGUUCCACAUAUCUCUUCUCGUUUCUUCACGGGCCAUUUAUAAGUUAGCAGGCGUGGCACAAAAGAAGUCUAUGACUGAGUACCAAGAACCUAGAAACUCCAUAAUUUGAGAAUUUUAACAAAUGAUAACUUAGUCGAAACACACUAUCCUUAAAUUUUGGAAUUGUCAAAAUCUGUCGAACAUUAAACCUACAACAAGAAGAACUUUUAACCUACAACAAGAAAAGGAUGUUGAAUUCAAGUACUAGUAUACUGUUCUCUUUUUUUUUUUAUAGAGAUAAUACAAUUAGGAGCAAAAAAUGUUACUGCAAAGCAGGGAUUUGUUUGUGUACAAUUUAACAACUGGGAAAGUUUGCCACUCUCAUAUGAAAAAAUAGGCAACAGACUAUGAGGAUAUCAUACAGAUGCUCAACGAGAGAUACCAAUUUGAUUAAACUGCCUAGAUGUUAUGCAUUACAGGAUACAAGCCUUCUUGUGUACAAAAAUGUGCCUGCAUAACUUUUAAACUGCCUACAAAGGAAAUAUUCAUAAAUCCAAUAACUGUUGAAAUCAACUAUUCAUAGUUCAUCAUAGACAUGCGGAAUUUCCACAUGAGGAACUGCAUUAUCCUGGGUUCCCGCUGCCAAUCUCUGGACAUCUUGAAUGACAUGUUCAUUUGCUAUAAACCUGAUCUAAUAGCAUCCACAAGUUUCCUUUGUAACGUCAACAAGCCAAUCCUUUUCGAGACAACAUACAACACCGCAGACAAGAAUAUGAGAAACCCAAUUACCAGAAUGACCCUGUCAAUAACAUCCUGAUGCUGCAUUGUGGAGAGCAAGCGGCGGGUACGCAUCAGCAAAGAGCGAUGCCCUUUGUACUCACUCUCAGCCUUCCUAAGGACACUUGUUGAUUCCUCAAAGGUUGCUAAUGUGCUAGAACUUCUUUCCACCUCCUGAACCAUCAGCUGACGAGUCCGGCGGAGGCUCUCAGUGAUACUUUCUGCAGCAGAAGUCAUCCCAGCCUUUGUCUGUAAAUCACGUCUGCGGAUGGUAGACUCUUCCCCACCUCCUAAAAGCAGCUCUCUUUCUUCUUGAGCAGCUUUCCUGAUGUUCUGUUUCGCCUGCAGAUUCGCAUUCCUCAAGCUCAUAUGCAGCUUGUUGUACUGUUCCUUCCAGGACUCUAGAGUGGAUUGGCCACGCUGCACCUCGUCUGGUGUGGGCAACUGCUGGGCGAGGAGAUCGAGCUUGCACUGCAUCGAUCUGAGCGAGGCGAGCCCGUCCUGCGCCGAGGCGUUCAACCGCGGGAGCGAGUUUGCCUCCUUCGUCCCCCUCCCGAAUCUCCCGCAACCCUCGAUCACCGCGAUCCGCUCUCGGAUUUGCGCCGCGGUUUCGUCCCAUUCCCUUUUCAGGCCCUCCACAGCUAACGCAACCUCGUCCAUGGCGACCUCGUCGGAGAGACAACGACGACGACAACGACGACGAUGAUUAUACUGCGGAAUCGCAGUGUUCUCUAGUAGCUUAAGCUAUGCUUUUGGAGAAAUACGGUUGUUCCACGUAGUACCUGAGUUCGAGCAUGUAGCCCAUCCCCCAUUAACUAAAUAAAGAAUCUUUUAAAAAGUCACAAGCCAUUAAAACACUGUUCUGUUGCCGCUUAAAGCCCGUUUGUUUUGGUGUAAGUGGAGUGAUGGAACUCAAGUUCCAUCACUUCCGUUAUUUGUUUUGGUGUAAGUGAAAAAUAUAUUGUAACUCAAGUAACGUUAGAGCUCCACUUCACCUACUCUCGACUUCCUCUUUUAAAGUGUCGAACUUGACUUCCACCACACUCAACCUCCUCUAAAAAAUUAAUUAAACAAUAAAACCUAAACUCUACUUCUUUUAUAAUGGGUUAGAAUUACCUUAUUUAUAAUAAAUUAGGAUUAUCUUUAAAUAAUAAUAAAAAAUUUAAUUAUAUAAUAGGUUAAAAUUUAUAGUGGUAAAUUAAUAACUAUAUUUAGGAGAUAAUGGGAUCCACUUACUUACAUCAAAACAAACAACGGAACUCAAAAAAUUAAGUUUACCAGCACCAAGUUACAUCAAAACAAACAAAACAAACAGAAGAAGUAAUUGAAUUUAACUUUCAGACUGUACGAGUUACGUAAAAACAAACAACAAAAAGAUAAUCACACUUCAGAAAAACUCAAACACCACUAAACUUGACUUGCGUUGGAUCUACAGAUUCGUCAAUCCAAACGCCCCUUUAAGCUUCUAUAGCAGUUGUUUCGCAACAAUUAGUCUCAUCCAGUACAAUUUACAUCAAACAGACCCUAAAUCCUAGUUGUGCAAAUCCACAUAUCAGCGAUCUUAGAAUCUGAGUGAAGGAUCAAUCUGGUUUCUCAUCAAAGCACGAUGCUAGCAACAAAAGCCCUAGAAUAGCGCCGUAGCUUCAGAUUUACAGGAUCGAUCAUGCGAUUCUACCAAGUCAACGGGGAAGGUGCGAUCGUUUCAAAGGAAGCGGGAGGAGAGAGAGAGGGGGGGGAGAGAGAGAGAUGUACCAGAGAGCGAUGGAGGCGACGAGGGAGGAGGAGGAAGACGACGACGACGACGACGACGACGACGAUGAUGCCGCGGCGAAUAAAAUGGCUCAAAAAGAAAAGGAAGGGACGGGGAAGGACUACGAGAGAGAAAUCACCAACAAAUUUACUGUUCAAUUCGCCCCCUUCGGUUUACUUCGUUUUCGCUUUACCUCUUUUGAUUUAAAAUAUUACACAGAAUAUAUUUGAUGUAAAAAAUAAUAUUAUUUUCUAUAUGUUUAUUAAACAGUAAAUUUUAGGGUAAACUUUAAAUACCACCCUGCGAUUUCGCUCUUCUUACUAUAGUAUCCCGUGAUUUAAAAUAUAUCAAUUUAGUAUAUGUGAGUUUAUUUUAUUUUUUUCGUCAACCUUUUUAUUAACUUUUUAUUAAAUCACAUAUAAAAAAAUUCAGAUACCUGACAUAUAGCUUACCGAAUAUUCACUUUAGUAUUCUUUAGUUUUAAUUUUAUUACUAAUUUAAUGAAAAAAAAUUAAUAAAAGGGAUAAUAAAAAAUAAAAUAAAACCAUAUGGUAUGAAAGUGAGACGCUUUAAAUUACAAGAUACUAAAAUGAGAAAGUACGGAACGAGAAUGGUGAUAUUUAAAAUUUUUUCAAUUUAAAAAAAUAAAAAGUAAACUUCAAUUCGCCCCCUUCGGUUUACUUCGUUUUCACUUAACCAUUUUUUGAUUUAAAAUAUUACACAGAAUAUAUUUGAUGUAAGAAAUAAUAUUAUUUUUUGUUUGUUUAUUUGACAGUAAAUUUUUUUUUCAAAAAUAUAUUUUUAUAAAUUUGAAAAAAAUAGGGCGUUUCUAUUUUUUGCAAUUUUUUUUGAUGAAAAAUAAAAAUUCGAAGAAUCGGCAGUCCACAAGAUCCCAUGAGAGCUCGUGGACAGCGUGAGAGGAGGUCACCCAUUAUCUAAUAAAUUGUUAUAUAAUAUUUACUUAGAAAUAAAUACAUGUAUAGCAUUACAUUCUAGUAUUGCAUAUUAUAUUAUAUUAUAUUAUAUUAGUUUCUUUAAUUUUUAGAAAAAAUAUUAGUUGUACAUUUUCAAAUGGGGUGUAUGAUAUAUAUUCCACUCAUCUAAUAUAGAAAAAAUUUACUAGUUUCAUCGAUAUGACUAGUAAAAAAAUAUUUUCAUCAUAGAAUGAAAGAGAUAUACAUCAUACAGUCCCUUUGGAUGUAUGUGUAGCAUUGCUUAAAGAUAAUUUAGUCAAUUAACCAUUUUCAUUAACGCCGUAAUUCUCUCUGACAAUAAUCAGAAAAGAAAAAUAAGAAGUGAGUAUUUACAGUAAUUUUAUUGUGUUUUAGUAAAAACAAAAAAAAAAAACUUGACAAAGAGAAUAUAAAAUUAAUUUAGGAUUAAUUGCAUACAGCUCCUUGUAAACAUAUUGAAUAACAAAUAUAUCUCUAUAGAGUUUAAUUUUUUAUUUUUAUUCGUGCAAAAUUUCUAAUUAUUUUAAAUAUAUUCCUGUUGUUAGGAUUGGUUACAAAAAUAUAGUUAAUUAUAAAAUAAUUACCUAUCUAGUUAGUGAAUAAGUUAAAUUGAUCUUUUUAUUUUUUUUAUAUUAUUAGGUAAAGUACCUUUUUGGAAGGAUAUUUUUACAUAUUUCUAAUGGUUGGGACUUUCGAAAGAUAUACUUAUAAGGUCAAAAAUAUUAUUUUACUUACCUGCUGUAAAAAAUUAAACAGAGAAUGUUUAGUUCAUGAUUGGAAUAGAAAUGAAAAAUAGAAUUAGAUUGCUUUGAAAUAGAAAAUGGAAUGACGAAUCAUCUAAAAAUGUUUGGUUUAUUAUUGGAAUGAAAAUCAAAAUAAAAAUUUAAAACUUUUUAAAAAGAGUUUUGAUUAAGAGAGAGUAAAGUGAUGAAUGGAGAUGAGGAAGGUGUUGGUGAAAAAGAAUUUUAAAAAGUUCACUUUGAAAUGGAUCAAUCCGAGAUUCAAAGCCAUAUUGGGCCAUAAAUAGAUUUGACCAUUUUUCAUUCAAAGUGGAAUGAGAAUCAAAAUUCGACUCCUAUAAAACAAACGACAAUUAUUGAAAUUAGUGAAUUACAUUUCGAUUCCAUGGUCUAAAAUAGAUGAACCAUAUAUAUUUGCAGUGCUCUAAUGGUAGUAAAUUAGAUAAAUAAAUAUGAAUAUAAAUGAAAAGCUAAUUUUUAUAAGAAUAGAUUUGUUAUCCGAUAUAUUAUAUAGUGCUCUAGAGCUAGGCUGGUAUACUAUUGGCGUGCUACUAAGUUGUUUUCAAUGAUGUCGCUUUCAAAUCAACGAUCGGCUCCGUUAGACUUGAUCACUAUUAAAAGUAUUUGAAAACUAAAUUUCAUAAUUUUUCAGUAUCAUUACUUAUCAAACGAAUAGUCUAAAAAUGAACAACUGAAAAUAAAAAUCUCAUAAAAAAAGAUGAUAAAAGAUUUUAAUUUAAGAUCAGUAGAUACUGAUCUUACUCUAAAUAGUAAAAAGAAUUUUCUAUAAAAAUUUUAUCAGAUUUAAAUUAUUUUACACUGUUAAAUUCACAAACGCGUCACAUUUAUUAUUAAAAUUGUUAAUUUUGGAUUCUUUUGAUCACUAGCCAAAUAAUAUUGAAAAAUUAUAAAAUUUAAUUUUUAAAUAUUUUUAAUAAUAUAAAUUAAAUCUAAUAAAGAAGAUUGCCGAUUUGAGAGCCACAUCGUUAAAAAUAAUUUAAUAGUACGGAGGCAUCUGUGCUACUAAUGGUAUGCCAGCUUAGUUCUUUACAUCUCUCUUGCCUUCGAAAACCUAAAGAGAGAACCACCCAGGAAGGGGAAAAUUUUUUUUUUUUUUUUUGAUCUCUUUCUCCGCGGAGAGGGCACGAGCGAAGGAGACGAGGGCGAGGGGCGAUGGCGACGAACGCGGACGUGGAGGUGGUGGACUUCGAGCCCGACGACGACGAUCUCAUGGACGAGGACGCCGCCGCCGGCGAUCCUACUCCGGCUGCGGCGGCUGCGGCGGCGCCGCCUUACCCGAGGCUACGCUCCGCCAUCACCGGCGGCGACCCCCCCAAGAAGACGAAGGGCCGCGGAUUCCGCGACGAGGGCGCCGCCGCCGCCGCCGCCGCCGCCGCCGACCGCAGCUCCCGCCUCGACUCCCGCGACUUCGACUCACUCGCCCCCGAGGGCGGCGGCGGCGGACCCGGCCCCCAGCGAUGUAUGUGGCUCGUCCCCCUUCCUUCUCGUCUGAUUCAUUCUCAUCAUGUUUUUGGAUCGGGGAAAUUAGGGUUUAAGUGUUCUCAUGGCCUUCACGGAGAGGCGCAUCUCUCUGGGAGGUACCUGGGAGGCGAAGAGGGGUUAAACACUUCAUAUUGAUGUGCUAAAACUAUUUCUGAGCCUGUUCCUAUCAGAUAAAACCGUGUGAUUCUUUUCAUUUGCCAUUUAGUAGGUUAAAUUUCAAUUAUUUAUCAGUUCCGUUACCUUUCUCGUGAAUAUGCACAUCAGAGGGAGUGUUAAUUCCGCUACGGGGCUCUUUAAUCUUUUGGGUAACACGCAGUAGGGCGACGCGGAACUUUGGAAAGAGUGUAGUUUUCUUUGUCAAAACGUAAUAGUUGGUGCUUUGCAGAGGAAAUUACAACAAUCCUAGUGUGCUCAUAGAAAUAGACGGGUUAUCGAUGCUGCCACGGUCGUUUUGUGUGAAAAUUAUAGAAGAUGCGUAUUGAGUUUCUCUAAAAGUUAUGGUCGUUUUUUGAGGAAAAUAGAAGAGAGUUUGCCCUUGUCUUACUUUAUAAUGAAUUUGGCUAUUUAUUUCAUGAAGAAAAUAGAAUGCUUCAAGAUGAUGUGCCAUAACAUUAAAAUGGGAUUAACCUUGUAGAAGUUUUUGAUGUUCAUCUUAAGACUAGAAAACAUCAUACUGGUUUGGUAUCCUGAAAUGGCAUACCGGCUUCUUUCUGGAAUUGGAAGAAGUAUUGGCAUCUUUUUCGCCAUUGGCAGCUUGGAUUUAACGUUGUCUGUUGACUAAUUCUCAAAGUUUCUGUAUUUCUUCUCACAUGUGGUUGACCUGUUUGAGUAACCUGCUUAGUUGAGUUACGCUACUGGAUUUUGCUAUUUUAACUUCAUAGCUGGAGAGUGAUUUAGUUUGAAUCUACGAGCUUCUAGAUUGUUCUGUUCUUCGAUAUGUUGCUACAAUUGUUGUGUGCAGCUGGAGAAAAGCUUUUUGGGUAAAAUCUCUUUGUCGUUUAUGUGCCAUUAUUAUUUUCUUUUGACUUCAAAAUUCUUCUGCUAUAUUUCCCUUAAUUUUGUAGAUCUCUUGCACUGGUUGAUAUGAUGUGCUUUUUUAUUGAACUCUCUUUGCUAUCUUGUUAUCUGCUGUUAAAGAAAAAGUACUUGCUCUUUUUUUUAAAGUAGUAUCUGUGAAGUGUAGAAAAAGAAAAGAUCAUAGAGGUCAUAUGGUGUCGACUAUCGACUCAUAAUUGUUCAUCUAUGCGACAUCUCCACUUUAAGUUUCUUAAAUCGCAGAGAAUAGUAUUGUCUUUAUCUUGUAUUUACAUUUGUCUGCAUCUUACGAUUAGUUUACAUCUUUCUACCAAUUAAGCAAACUAGUGAACCUAUUGUGGCUCCAUUAUCUAGCUCUUUAUGCCUUUUCUUGUUCUUAUUCUUAUAUGUAAUUUUCUUCUUAUUCUUAUAUGUAUUUUUUUCCAAAUAAUUCCUAUAGCCAUCGAGGGAUGGAUAAUACUGGUUACUGGAGUACAUGAAGAGGCACAAGAAGAUGAUCUCCACAAUGCUUUUCGUGAAUUUGGGCAGGUGAAGAACUUGCAUCUAAAUUUGGACCGCCGAACUGGAUUUGUUAAGGUAAAUAAACAAUUUCUGCUCCCCGUAUUUUAUAAGAUGUGAAUGGUGCUUUUUGAUACACGGCUGACAUCGGAUUUCAAAUGUGACAAGAUGCUUUGGUUCAAAAGUCAUUAUUGACAAACAUAAAAACUGUGAGACUUAUCUUUAUAUGAAGGACAGGAAAAUAAUGUAAAUAGACUUCUUUUUCCAUUGGAAUCAUUUUGUGGCAUAUACUAGUUUAUUUUAUAUAACACCCACUUGCAUCUUUUUUGAAAUAAUGAUAUAUUCUAUGGAUUAAAUAUUUAGAGAAAACUUAAAACUUUGUAUGAAGCCACUUUCUUCAGUUUACUUUUUUUUUUUUUCUCUAAAAUAAGUUCAUUGCAGAAAAUUGUUCUAGAGCUAGUUCAAUCACUCUCUGACAAAAAAAAAAUAAAAAAUCUGUACAAACUUUUAUAUUUUUGUUCCAAGUUAAAGGAUCAAAAGACCUCUAUUGAUAAUUCAAUUACUCUAGAUUUAGUUCGAUCUUUAUUGCUGGCUUUUGAUCAGAAUGUUGAACUUUAUAUCUUGUGGAUUUGGAAUGGGAUCAAGGUUUUGGGGCUCUCAGUUAAUCUGAUUGUUACGUUACUUGAUAUGGUUCAUGUUGAGCUUGGACUUGAGUUCUGAUUUUUAUAGCAGUACUCGUGAGUUCUCAAUGGAAACAACAAAUUUUAACCUAUCAACACCACUUCCUGUAGCUCUGAAAAUAACUUCUGUUCAAAUACUAUUCAACGGUUUGAACUCUUGGUCAAAAUCUAAGCGUUUCACUUGAAAUUAUCCUCAAUGCUUGAAUAUCACAAGUUUCAGUUGUUUCAGCGUUUUUGGCAGUUCAAAAUUUUCCCGUUUAUGGUCUUGACAAUUUUUAUGUCUUUAAUGGUAUGUACUUUGGUGAUUUUAGCUUUUCAUCAGCUAGAUUCAGUCAAUUCCAAAUGAAGUUUGAUAUAUUGGUUGAAAUUCAUUAAAAAACUUUUUCUACUAUGGAGAAUUUUGAGCAGAAACAGAUGCUGCUAGAAAAGAUUGAGCAAAACACUUACAAAUGGUAAUUUUAUGGCCGGUAGAUAAUACUGUAGAAAUUUUAUAUCUGUUUUUGCAUAGAUAUAUAGUCCCUUAUUAAUCUUACUGCUUUUUUGUGGCUGUUAAAUAUUAAUCCUUUCGUAUGUCAUAGGGAUAUGCUCUCAUUGAGUAUGACAGCUUUGAGGAGGCACAGGCUGCAAUAAAUGCACUGGAUGGAACUGAGCUCCUCACACAGAUCAUUAAUGUUGACUGGGCAUUUAGUGUUGGACCUAUCAAGCGCAGAAAUGCGAGGAGGAGGUUAGUUUACCUAAACUAACUCUUCAGUUAUUGACUAAACCUCUGAUAUGUUGCCAUGUGAUUAGACCACCUUUUUGAGAUGGUUGCAGAAAGAUCAUCUUUUACACAUGGACAUACUUUUGCCACGCUAUCAGCUGACCUUUUGAUUGAAAUAUGCCAUCUUCAGUAUAAUUGCCAAUACUUCCAACUUUAAGCCGCCAGAAUUAACACAUAGUGUUUUUAAUCCUUAUUAUUAUUUUUUUAUUUUUUAAUAUUAGUUGAAUAAAAUCAUCUGUGUCUUGGUGCUUCGUUGAACUUUAGCCAUAGUUUGGUUGUAGCCAAACUGAGAGCUGAAGUGUGUGCUCACCGCUAAUACAUUGCUCUUAACAAGAUGAUAGCAUAAUUAAAGCUUCGAUUUUUCAAUUCUUAUCAUCGUCAUCACUAUCCCAAUGCUGUUAUUUAUGUAUUAUAAGGUAAAAUUAUAUGUAGUUCUCAACAAACAAUAGGAUAUUUCAAACAAAAACCCACUGUAUCCUUUCUCCAUAUUAAUUCAGCCACGAGUUUAUUUGUUAUAUUUCUUUUUAUAAAUGCAAUCAUUUAAUUGUGUCCUCACCGCUGAUGCUAUGAAAAUUAUAUUGGUGGUAUCAUUUACAUUUCCCUGACUUAGUAACACAUUUCUCUUCGACAGAUCACCACGUGCUCAUCGAUCAAGGAGCCCGCCGAGGAGGAGAUAUUGACAGGUUGUUAUCACCGUAAACAGAAAUGAAACUCUAAACAUUUGCAAUCCAAGAUUUGAGAAUCUGCUUGUUUUCCAGAGGAGAAUGAUUUGGAAUCUGAGAUUUGGGAAUUUGCUUGGUUGUGUUAGCGUCGUUUAAUUUCCUUGUAACUUGUUUGCCUUCGUCGAAAUCUUCUUGUGUUGGAUAUCUUUAAUCAACAUGUGGAUUUAUGAACUUAUUUUGUAUCGGUGAUUAGGAGAACUGCUACUUUUUGAUCUUUCAAGUUUCUACGACAUUAUACCUGGCGACGGUGUGAUUGUGCCUCAUCACAUAGAUAUUCUCUGCUUGCAUUAAUCUCGUGGAUUCGUCUUUAAUUUCUGAGUCAUAUCUUGAAGUGAAAGUGCCACCUAAGAACAGGGAACCAAAAAACUUACUGCUUUACAAUUAUAUUUGUUAUCAAAUCCACACUAGGGGCUUUUUCUAAUGUAAGAAUGAGAUUAAGCUUUUCUCUUCACUUUGGUAUGUGUUCCAUUGGAGAUCAUCCUUAACAAUUGUCACAACCCUUCUCUUUCACAUUAGAGUGGAUAAAUUGCAACACAAUUGUCACAACCCAUGGAUUCCAAAAUUCUCAUGGAAAUUUCAUCUGACAACUAGAAGCUCCAGCAUUUAUUAGAUUUACAUGGGUAAGCCAUGAUGAUUAAAAAGCAACAGAGCACACAAACUAAGAUUAUUUGUCAAAUUUGUUCACUGAACUCAAACAAAAACUAAAAGCGGAGAUCGGCGCGGUUAAUACAAAGAACACCAAAGAGAAAGCAAACUUAUUAAAGGACAGUACUGCUGCUACACAGGAAGCACAAAAGAUCCAACUUCUAUGUACAUGACUACCACUUGCAUGUCCAUGAGCAGAGAUGAGCAGUAACUUAAUUUCCCUUCUCUAGAUUGUUGCUGCAACAAAUGCUCCUUCCACCUGCAUGUGGAGUAAACAUUGAAUGCUGUGAGAAAUUUGUCGGUCCGAAGAAUUCAUCACUGACCGAGCAUUUCGGUGCGAUCGGUGGCAUUUAUAGUUUCUGAUUAAUUUCACCAAUCACACUCCAUUCUAUGAGCUUGAGAUUUGGCUCUACUCUUGUUCGAAAUUUUUACGGAAUAAAACGACUAAAUUCGCCGAAAUUUACCUUGAAAGUGGCCCCACAUAUCUCUUCUUCGUCUGCGGGGAUCGCGGUGACUCUGUGCUUGGGGUUCUCAAAGCUUCUCAAGCCUCCAUGAGAGUUUGAGUAGAAACAUCCUGUGAUUCAAACCUCAACAUAUUUACACUGAGAAAUAGACUAAGAGAUAGGGAAAUUAUACUUGAAUUAAAACAGUUACAGUAAUUUUUUGUUUUGUUAAAAAAAAAAAAAGGAACUAGACAAGUUAGGAAAUUUGAUUUGGCUCCACACAUGUAACUUGAUCUCAUUUGUUUGCAAACUUAUACUAUGGUUUCAUACACAUAUAAUAAUAUUGUGAUAUGAUAAGUUGAAAUAAAAAAUAUGCUACAGGAAACAAGAAAGAAAAUUGAUAAACAAUAAGUUAUUUUUUCUUUUCUUUUUUUUUUUACCUUGGGGGAAUUGUGCAAGUGAUUUGCCACAUGAUCCUUUGAGCAAGUCCACAUCAUCAGAAAAAGCAACACACCCAUCUGCAGUGAUUCCCCAGAAUAGAGGGAUCUUCCCAUUUGGAUCCUAUUAAUUGAUUGAUUGAACAUCAAUAAAAGUAGCCCAAAAAAAGAGGAAGAGAGAGAGAGAGAGGGGAUCUAAAAUUCAAAAUAUUAGAAUAAACUUAUAUAGAUUCUAUAUUUUUGGCCCGAGACACCAAAGAGAAUCGAGAAAGACAGAAGAAUAUAACAAGAGAGAGGCUCACGGAGGCGACGAGGAGGGAGGAGGUGGAGCGGUCGAAGAGCACGAAGGCGAAGUCGCCGGAGAGGUGCGCGAGCAUGAAGGAGGGGGGGUACGGCGCCCGGUCGCGCAGCGCCUUGUAGGCCUCGAUGACCAGCACCGCCUCGUCCGCCGCUGCCGCCGCCCCGCCCUUCGACGACAGCCCGUACUGCUGCCACAGGCUCCCCAGGUUGUCCAGCAUCCCCUCGAACACGCAGAAUAUCUCCUCCUUCGCCGCAAACCUCCUGCAUCCAUGCAUUGCAUUGCGUGUAUUGCACAGAGUCAGAAAACGGUCGAAUACGAUCAGAUGAAUACAUUACAAGGAAUCAAAAAACGGUCGAAUACGAUCAGAUAACAAUAAAUUUGUAUUCUUAUAACAUUCACACACACACUAUAUCAAUUAAUACUUUACAUGUAGACACCAAUUCAAUACAAAUGUUCAAACAAUACUUGAUUUUAUUAUCAUAAUUAAUCAAAAUGAAUUUAAAUUAGAUUUUUUUAAUGAUAAACAGUUUUUACAUUAUUCACUUAAAAUUGAAGAAACUAUAUAGUUUCAUAAUUAUUAUACUAAUAAACAACAGAAAAAAAAUCUAAAAUUUAAUUAUUAAAAGGAUUAAUUGCAUACAAGUCUCUACAAAAAUAAUAAAUUAUAAAAAUAUUCUUACAAAAUUCAACUCUUAUGUGUUGUUCUUGCAAAAAUCUCAAUAUUUUCAAAUAUGUUCCUACCGUUAGGAUCUGUUAGAAAAAAUUAAUUAAUCAUAGGUAAAAUACUUAACCCUAGUUAAUUAAUGAGAUGAAUUGACCUUUUAACCUCUUUUCAAUUAAUGUUGGGAUUUUUGAAGGAACAUAUUUGUGAUAGCAAAAAGGUCAUUUUACUUAUAAAAUAAACAGUGUUUUAACGAUAACAAAUCACAGGGAUAUAUUUGAAAAUAUUAAGAUUUUUAUAAAGACAACACAUAAAAAUUAAACUUUAUAAGGGGAGAUUUGUAAUUUACUAUAUUUGUUGGAACCUAUAUGAAAUUGAGCCCUACUUCAAUCAUUGUAAACAUUUUAGCUUAUUUUUGACGUUUGCUUCAUUAAUUACGAAGUGCUUUUUGCAACACCAAGCAAUUUACGACCACAACUGUAGUACAUCCACACCACUGGAGAUGACACGUGUCACGCAUCCAAGCAACGUCCCGUCGCUGUUUCCCACCAAACGAACGAUGGAAAAAAAAAAGAAAAAAAAAAGAAAAAAACUGGGUUUGUGGUGUGGAUAAGAACGAGGGGAAUCCGCGGUCCAUGGAGCCACGUGAUUAUGUCUCAAUCGUACACAUUUUUGGUGGAAUGAUGGGAGGCGAAGUUAUUUCCUGCACCAGGUGUAUCCGUACAAUUAUGCGCCGCAAUUAUUUAUUUUGAUAAGUUAUAUUUCUAACAUAAUUUUUUUUUUAAAAAAAAAGUAGUCUUUCUCUACUGGAGAUUAACUGAUAAUUAAUAUUACCCGAGAAACUUUUUUUUUAAAAUUUUUUUUUGAUAAUAAGGGUUCGAAUUUCUCAGCUCUUAAAUAGUAACUCUAAAUAAUAAAUAAUUUAUAAUGUUUAUAUAUAUAUAUAUAUAUAUAUAUAUAUAUAUAUAUAUAUAUAUAUAUAUAUAUAUAUAUAUAUAUAUAUAUAUAUAUAUAUAUAUAUAUAUAUUCUUUUAAUUUUUUCCUAAAAAAUUAAAUAAUUACAAUCAAAUAAAAUGUCGGUACAACAAAAACGAUAUAUAACGACACUUUUAAAUGUCGGUACAGGUCAAACAAAGUGCUGCUGGCUAACUUACCGACACUUUUUAAAAGUAUUACUAUAUAUGAGGUUGCUAUAGGUAGGUCCGCCUUGAUAUUUGGCACACACUCCUCCAGCGACCUGUGGCGGAGAGAUACGUGGCAAUCGUAGCACUUUACUGUCCCUGCGAGAUCCUCGCAGCUAAACUCCAGCCGCCAGAAACCUAUCUCGUCGGCUGCGACGGCGGAGGAGGAGAAGGAGAGAUGAUGAUCAAUCUUUCUUUUUUCUUUUCUUUUUUAUUUGUAAUCGGACUGAGUGGGCUGGGUGUGGUUGGCUGAGUAGAGAAACUUUUUAUUUUUGAUUGGAUCGAACUUUAUAUUUAGGCUUUAGUAGAUUUUUUUAAAAAGUAUUGGCAUAAAUGGGACACUUAUAUAAAAGUGUCCCAAAAAUAUAUUCCUAUAAUAUAAUUCUGUUGUAGCGGUGAUCUCCUAGGGUUGAGAGUAGAUGGUUGGUUGAAUAGUAUAAUCUAACAAAUGAAAAUGAUCAAAAAGAUAAAUCUAAUAGUGAAAAACUCGAUCGAUAGUACCUAACUCUUGAUACUACCAAUAGUAUAAUAGGCGGACUCCCUCUCUCUCUCUAUUAAACAACUUAUUAUCUAGCCAGUAAGCAAAUGAUCCAUUAUCUCUCUAUCUCUCUCAAUAUAUAUUAAAAUAUAUAUUAAAGAAUUUAUUAUCUAAUAAGUAAGUGAGUGGUCCAUUUCAAUUCAUCGCUAUCCAAUAAUGGUAUAGUGGACCCCUAAUAAAUUAAAUUCCAAUUUAUUUAGGGUCCGGUCCAUGGUGCACCGGGUGCAUCCCUGUUUUCCCCACUGUUGGUGUCAAAAGAGGUGAGCUUUCACUGCUUUUGACUCUUGUGGCCUAGUGUUAAUUUAUUUACCUUAUCAAAACUUCUUUUAUUAAAUAUUCUAAAAGUUUACCAACCAAUUAUUACAUCUGAAGUGUAAGAUGUAUAUCCUCUAUAAAAAAAUAUAUAGAUAAAUAAUAUAUGAUGUACAUCCCCUAUAAGAAAUAUAUACAUAAAUAAUAUUUUUUUAAAAAAAAUAUAUAAGUGAUGCUAUUCUUACACUGUUCAUGGGCGUAAAAUUUACAUUUAUAAAACUUCUUGUCAUUUAUAUUAAUCCACUUGUCUUUUUAUUGUAUUUUUGUCUCCAAAGGAAUUAUAUGGGCGCUUGAUUUCAAAGAUGUAAGAUGUAUACGUAGCAUUUUUCAUAUCAGAUGCAUAUGUUAUACCUUUUAUCUUUUAUCUUUUAUCUUUUUUUAAAAAANAUCAAGGAGAAAGAAAAUUAUGUUGGAUUUUACUAAAAAUUAAAAUUAAUAAGAUAGAUAAAAAGAAAUUUACGUUAAAGAAUAUUUAGGGUGUAAGAUUUAUACCUAUGCAGGUGUAGAGAUAGCACUUGCUCUUCUCCUAUUAGUUUCCCAAAAUUUGCAAAAUUAUUGUUAACUUAAAAAUUUUGGCACUUAUUUGUCACAAGUAGCUAAUCAUAAAGCCAACCAAAAUUUUAGAAGAAAAAAAUAUUCUAAUUCAUUAAACUAGUUUGGAUCUUUUCCCCUUCUUAGUUUCCCAAGAUUUGCAAAUUAUUAUUAUUGAAUUAAAAGCAUCUAUUUGUCAUAAUUAGCUAAUCAUAGAGCCAACCAAGCUCUAGUAAAGACGAUUUAAUAGGACACGUCGUUAAUAGUGCUAUGCUGAUCUUAAGACGAUUCGACGGCUAAAAAGUUACGAGUACAAAUACUUUCGUCUUUUCAAAGGCGUAGAAACUCAACCUCAUAUAUAAAUAAAAGAGAGAUAUUUAUAUAUAUGUAUGAUUAGACCUGGGCCUGAAGAGGGAUUGAUUUUUGUUGGAAUAUGCGAGGUGGCCGAGGGAGGCGAUCUGCACUGAAACCGCGGGGCCGGAGCUGGCGAGAAAUCGAUCGACCAGCGUCGAUGCCCGCGUCUUAGGAGACGGGGUUCGGCUCCCGGCGGCCGUCAGCUCCGCCGGGACCUCCACCACCUCACCACUGAAUACACCCAACAUCUCUCCUUAAGACUCAAAACUGAAAACUCUUUCUCUCUAUCUCUAGUGAGGUUUUUUUCUAAAAAAAAAGAAAUUAUUUUGAGAUCAUCUGAGAAUGGGGGUGGAAAAUUCAAUGAGGGGAGGUGGGAAUUGGUUGUUUAUAUAGUGGAAAUGGGGUGGGGGGGCCUGUGUGACAGAGUUUGUGGAAAGAUGAGGUAUCAUGGACCUGGUCCGCCACCUCAGCUAUGCACCUCAUUUUUCGUAAUCGACAAAAUCUAUCUGAUCAUAUAUAGAAAAUUGUUCAGAAAUAAUCUUAAUACCGUGAGUUUUCGCUCAAGUGCGUAGCGAGAGAAAGACUUUUGCGGAACUAUAACAAAUGCUUUGAAUAGAAAUAAUAAUAUUUGAUUAAAUUUUGUAUCUUAUAUAAAAGUAUAAGUAUCAAUGAUUUGAUUAGAUUGAUUGGAUAUAUAUUAAAAAUAGUCUUAUAUGUGAAAGUGAAAGGUUAAAUGAACAAUGCUUCGUGCACAGAUACUAUCUUCGUUUCGUUAUUUCAUUUAGAAAUAAGCUUAGCUAAAAUGUGAAUCAACUAGAUUCGAACUUGGGUCUCGGACCAACCACCACACCCUUUGCCACUUACUUUAUGGACGGUCAGUGAUAUAUAUAUUAUAUAUAUAAUAUAUAUAUAAUAUUAUAUAUAUAUAUAUAAUAUAUAUAUAUUAUAUAAUAUAUAUAUAUAUUUGAGAAUUCUAAUUUUUUAUUAUUAUAGUGGAUGAGUUUAUGAAAUGCAAACAGAACAGAUCCGAGGGCAGAAGGGGUUCCCUAUCUACCAUUUUCUUAGCAGGUCAGGACGAAUUAUAGACGGAUUGAUUUUUAUCCUCUUUUUUGCCUCCACGUAUAGCUAAUUUGAGGCUGGACGAAGCGGGAACGAAUUUUUAACAGAUCAAAACGGAUCAAAAAAAGAAAAGAUUUUUCACUUCUUGCUCCAUUUUCUUAGCGAAUCGGAGCUAAUUUCAACCAAUUAUUAUUAUUAUUUUUAUUUUUAACUCUCACUUAAUAUCUUAUUCGGGGUGGAUCACGGCGAGGAGUUCUACUAACCCGGAUCCAUUUGCAUCCCUAAGGUGGGAAUUGAAAUUGUGCGGUCCAACGCUGAUGACGUGGUGGGCCAGGUGCAAGGAGCAGUCGCACUCCUCGCACCGGAUGACGUGCUCCGCACUUAAUUCUGUGAAGCGGGGGGGGUGUGAGGUUUGGUGUGAAGGUGUUCGUCGCCUCCGCGGUCCAUCGUGAAACGCUCGUCCACGUGGUAGAAUCCUACGCACUCGCGUGUCGCUUUCCGCAACAGCCCUGUGGUUCCACGCUUGGUUUUGGAAUCUAGCGUGAGUUCCGAUGUGCCCCUCUUUCAACAAGGCCCCUGUACUUGUCCCUAUUUUCAUUGAGGAGCAUCUAUGGUGUCCACACACACAGAAUAAAAAAAAGAAAAGAAAAAGAGAGAGAGAAUUACACGUUUUGUCCUCAAAACAUGUGACACUUUGAUUCCUUUAAAUUUUAAUUUAUUCAAACAUAUAACAUUUUGGUCCUUAUAUUUUAAUUUAUUGCAAUUAAUAUUUUGAAUUUUAAAAAUUAUUAUAAUUAAAGUCUUAUAAUUUAUUGUUUGGUCCUCAAACUAUGAGGCCCGUGACAAUAUAGUCCUCAAAUUUUAUUUUGUUUUAAUUUCUUAAACUUUUGUAAAAUACUAUAAUCAAGUCAUAUAAUCCAAUUUAGUUAAUUGCACAUUGAUAUGUUGUUAAUAUAAAAAUGAUCUGAUAUCUUGAGUUCGGUUACUAUAUUAUUAAUAGCACCAAGCGCUUAGUACUGUCGAGUUUUCUACCGCUAGAUCUAUUCCUUUAACUAUUUUCACCUAUUGGAUCAUACUAUUCAACCAACCAUCCACUCAAUUCUAAUGGCGCGUUUGAUUCAAGUUAUGUAAUAUUACAGAGUAUUUCGAUAUAUCUAGGUAUCUUGAAUUUCUAAAAAAAAUUACUACUUAUGCUGGAUUAGCGUGUUUGGUUUAAUACAGUAAUAUAAUGCUGGAUUGCAGUGUUUGUAGUAUUAAUAUGUUUGGUUCUGUUUAUAAAAUUCAGUAAUCUAGACAAUUAUUUGGUGUUAUUAAGAAUAUAAUAGCCCAGUUCAUGAUAUUUUAACUAUUAUCAUAUUAUUAAUCAUUAUAUUACUAUAUCACUAUUUAAUCAAUUAAAUUGGACUAUAAAGCUUAAUUAACAACUCAUAAAGUUGGAAUAAGAAAUUAUAACAAACUAAAAAUUAAAGAACUGAAGUGUCACUUAUCUUUUAUCGGGAAGCUCCUCAUCGGGGGUUGAGUAAAUUUAAAAUUUACCAUCAUUUAGAAACAUCUUUUUUUUUAGCAGCUCAAUUGACACUCAUCCUUAGUACCAAAUUUGGCUUCAUUUGGUUCGAAUAUAAGCAAAAAUUAAUUAUUACAGGUAUAGGUACAAAUAUGGGGAUAAGAAAAAUAGCGUUUUGAUGAAAAUUAGGUUGUUUCCGGGAUAAAAAAAAUAACAUUUGGAUAGAUAAUAUGAAAUAAAAAAAAUAAUGGAUAGUUAUGUAUAGAAAAUAUAGUAGGGAUGCAAACGGGGCGGAUCCGGGGGCGGGAGAGUUCCCCCACCUCCCGCUCCAUUUCUUAUCGGGGCGGGGCGGAUUCGGGGCGGGUUACUUUUCAUUUUAUUUUUGGCUCCCACUUACCGCUCCAUUAGGGACGGAUCGGGGCGGGAGCCGGAUUUUUGACGGAUCAGGGCGGAUUGAAGGAAGAAAAGAGUCCCCCACAUCCCGCUCCAUUUACUUAGCAGAUCGGGGCGGAUUCGGAGCGGGUUAUAUUUUUUUAUAUUUUUUGUUCCCACUUACCACCCCAUUCGGAGCGGAUCGAGGCGGAGCUCCACCAACCCGGAUCCAUUUGCAUCCCUAAAAUAGAGGUGUUGGUAGGAAUAGUUAUACCGGCUUAUUUCAGGUAGCCGAGAAUUAUUAUUCUAGAGUAAAAAAUUUACGUUCGAGUAUAAGAGGGAAUAAGAGAUUAUCCCUCUCCUUAUCUCUAAUCCAAACUGUGCCUAAUUAAUGUGUUGCUUUUGACUUGUGAUAGUCUCAAAAUAUCUAACUUAAAAUGAAUGGCAUAAAAUUUGAAUAUUAAGCUACAAGAAGAUAAUAUUUGUGAUUUUUUUUACUGGACUUUUUGAUUAAUUAGAACAACGGCAGAAAAAAAAAAAAAAAAAAAAACAAUGAGUGUAAACAACAAUCAAAACAGUGGACUGAACUACUCAAAAAUUAAUUAAUUAAUUAAUUUUCUUAGUUAGUGCAUAUGAGAGUAUAGUAGUUUAUUUUAUUAAAAUUAAUUGUCCAAAUCUACUCCUAUGGACCACUCAACUACUAAAAAACGCUCCUUUUUAUAACACACAAUUAAUUAUCAUCCAACACGUUCAUAAUUAUUUUCUUAUGUGUGCAAUUUGAUUAAGGAGGGUUGUUUUUAAAUGUUUACUUUUCACAGAGAAAUUAACCACAAGAGUUAAUCCCUAAUAAGUGUUAAAUGGUUUGGUGCACCAACUUUUUCUGCAUUGUAAUUAAGCACGAAAAUAAUUAAUGAGAAAGAGAAGGAUUAACAAGUUAAUAAUUAAAAUAUUUGGAAAGCAUCAUUUAAAAGUUAAUUAAUUUAAAUAGACCAUAAGAAAUGUAAUGUCCCUAAUUUAGACUAUGAUUAUUUGAAAUGUAGAUGAUUUAGGGAUAAUGGUGAUGAUAUGCUAGGUCAAAUUGGACUUGAUUUGGAUCGAAAUUAGGAUUGAAUUAGAUAAAGAUCAAAAGUAAGAAAUAAUUGGGAAGAGAAGAAAGUAGGGCUGUCAUAGCGCUGAACAUGGACAAGCUGGACCAGCUCAUGUUCGGCUCAUUUAAUUAACUAGCUGAAACACAAGCUGUUUCGUUAAAAUAUUGAGCUGAAAAAUUCUGUUCGUGUUCGGUUUAUUAUUUAUUAAUGAGCUGAGCACGAAUUGAAUUAAAAUCUUAAUCUAAUAACUAAAAUUUACAAAAUAUAGUCUCGUUAUAUUUGCAUUGGCCUCAAAUUCAAAUUGUAAUAUAUAUAUAUAUAUAUAUGUAGAGAGAGAGAGAGAGAGAGAGAGAGAGAGAGUCCGGCUACUAUACUAUUGAUAGUAUCAAGCCCUUGGUACUAUUGAGCUUUCUACCGUUAGAUCUACCCUUUGAUUAUUUCCACCCGUUAGAUUAUACUAUUAAACCAACCACCCACUCAACCCUAGGGGAUCACUAUCAAUUUAACCGGGGACCACUAUCAUCCCAACCGCACAUCCUUUCAUCCAACGGCCAAAAACUCAAUAGUACCAAGGGCUUAAUACUAUUGAUAGUAUAGUAGUAUAAUUAUAUAUAUAUAAUUAUACUACUAUACUAUCAAUAGUAUAGUAGUAUAAUUAUAUAUAUAUAAUUAUACUACUAUACUAUCAAUAGUAUAGUAGUAUAAUCAUAUAAUAUAAUAAUAUAUAUAUAUAUUAUAUAUGUAUAUAUAUUGAUUUAUGUACAUCUUAUCACAUAUACAAGCCCUUGUACUAUUGAGUAUUUUUGCCAUUGAUGAAAGGAUGUGCGGUUUAGGAAAUAAUUGGUCCUCCUAGGGUGAGCGGGUGGUUGGAUUAUAAUAAGUACUAAUUUAACAGUGUGGAAAAUGAUCAAAGGCGUUAGAUAUAACAGGUUUAAAGAAAACUCAAUAGUACCAAUACUAUUCAAUAGUAAGUAGCCGGAUUAUAUAUAUAAUAUAUAUAUAUAUAUAUAUAUAUAUAUAUAACUAGGCUGAAAUACUAUCAAUAGCACAAAGCACUUGGUGCAAUUAGGUUUUCAGUCCUUGAAUAAAAAAAUGUACGGUUAGAAUGAUGUGGGGGCCCUCUAGGGUUAAGUGAGUUAUUAGUUGAAUAGUAUAAUCUAACAGGUAAAAAUAAUCAAAUGGUUAAAUCUAACGGCAAAAAACUCGACAGUAGACUAUAUAUAUAUAGAGAGUGAGCUGGUAUGCUUUUGGAAGCACGGAGCCAUCCGUACUUCCAAGUCGUUUUCGAUAUUGAGACUUUCGAAUCGACGAUCGGCUUCGUUAAACUUGAUCUAGAGUACUUGAAGUAUCUAGAAAAUAAAUUUUGUGAUUUUUCGAUAUCAUUUGCCUAGUGAUCGAAGAGGCUCAAAAUCAAUAAUUUUAAUGACCGUGGUGAGCCGUUUGCAAGUUUAACGGUGUAGAAAUAUCCAAAUCACGUGAAAUUUUGAUAUAAAAUUCUUUAUACUAUAUAAAACAAGAUCAAUAUUUUUGAUCUAAAAUUUUAAUGUCAUAUCAUCAUAUUUUGUAAGAUUUUUAUUUUCAGCCGUUGAUUUUGAGCCACUUCGAUCACUAGGCAAAUGAUAUAAAAAAAACGCAAAAUUUAUUUCUAGAUACUUAAAAUACUCUAGAUCAAGUCUAACGGAGUUGAUCGUCGAUUCGAAAGUCCCAACAUCGAAAACGACUUUGAAGCACGAAGUGCUCCAUGCUUCCAGAAGCAUUCCAGACGCACUAUAUAUAUAUAUAUAUAUAUAUAUAUAUAGAAUUGAGCUAGAAUACUUUUAAAAUUAUCACCUCAUUGGUGCUUUUGAGAGUAUUCUAGCUCAACUAUAUAUAUAUAUAUAGUAGGGCUACUAUACUCUUAUGAGUAUAGAGUUCUUUGUACUCAUAAAUUAUUUUCGAUGUUGGGGCUUUCGAAUCGACAAUUCACACCGUUAAACAUGAUCUAGAGUAUUUGAAACUUCUAGAAAAUAAAUUUCGUAAUUUUUUGAAAUCAUUAUAAAGUCGAACGACGUCCUAAAAAUAGAUGAUUGGAUCCUUCAAUUUAAGAUCGGAGUUGUUGAUCUUUAGUUAGGUAGUGAAUAGAAUUUUCUAUCAAAAAUUCAACCUAUUCCGAUUCUUUUUCACCGUUAAACUAGCAAAUAUCUCAUAUCGGCCGUUAAAAAUUGUCAAUUUUGUGAGCUUUUGAUCGUAAGAUAAAUAAUAUCGAAAAAUUACAAAAUUUGAUUUUUAGAAGUUUUAAAUGCUUUAGAUAAUGUUUAACGGUAUGGAUCGUUGAUUCGGAAGCCCUAUCAACGAAAAUAACUUAUGAGUACGAAGGCGAUCGCACUCAUAAGAGUAUAGUAGCCGAGCUGAUAUAUAUAGUAGGGCUACUAUACUCUUAUGAGUAUAGAGCUCUUGGUACUCAUAAAUUAUUUUCGAUGUUGGGGCUUUCGAAUCGACAAUUCACACCGUUAAACAUGAUCUAGAGUAUUUGAAACUUCUAGAAAAUAAAUUUCGUAAUUUUUUGAAAUCAUUAUAAAGUCGAACGACGUCCUAAAAAUAGAUGAUUGGAUCCUUCAAUUUAAGAUCGGAGUUGUUGAUCUUUAGUUAGGUAGUGAAUAGAAUUUUCUAUCAAAAAUUCAACCUAUUCCGAUUCUUUUUCACCGUUAAACUAGCAAAUAUCUAAUAUCGGCNNNNNNNNNNNNNNNNNNNNNNNNNNNNNNNNNNNNNNNNNNNNNNNNNNNNNNNNNNNNNNNNNNNNNNNNNNNNNNNNNNNNNNNNNNNNNNNNNNNNNNNNNNNNNNNNNNNNNNNNNNNNNNNNNNNNNNNNNNNNNNNNNNNNNNNNNNNNNNNNNNNNNNNNNNNNNNNNNNNNNNNNNNNNNNNNNNNNNNNNNNNNNNNNNNNNNNNNNNNNNNNNNNNNNNNNNNNNNNNNNNNNNNNNNNNNNNNNNNNNNNNNNNNNNNNNNNNNNNNNNNNNNNNNNNNNNNNNNNNNNNNNNNNNNNNNNNNNNNNNNNNNNNNNNNNNNNNNNNNNNNNNNNNNNNNNNNNNNNNNNNNNNNNNNNNNNNNNNNNNNNNNNNNNUCAUAUAUAUAUAUAUAUAAAGAGAGAGAGAGAGAGAGAGAGAGUCCGGCUACUAUACUCUUAUGAGUACGAUCGCCUUCGUACUCAUAAGUUAUUUUUGAUGAUAGAGUUUCCGAAUUAACGAUCCAUACCGUUAAACAUUUUCUAGAACAUUUAAAACUACUACAAAUCAAAUUUUAUAAUUUUUCAAUAUCAUUUACCUUACGAUCAAAAGCUCACAAAAUUGACAAUUUUUAACAGCCGGUAUGAAAUAUUUGCUAGUUUAACGGUAUAAAAGAAUCGGAAUAGGUUGAAUUUUUAAUAAAAUAUUCUAUUCACUACCUAAAUAAAGAUCAAUAACUCUGAUCUUAAAUUUAAGGAUCCGAUCAUCUAUUUUUAGUAUGUUGUUCGAUUUUAACCAUUCAUUUUAUAUCCGCUUGAUGGGCUUUAUAAUGAUUUUGAAAAAUUACGAAUUUUAUUUUCUAAAAAGUUCAAAUAUCCUAGAUCAUAUUUAACAAUAUGGAUUGUCGAUUCGAAAGCUCCAACAUCGAAAAUAAUUUAUGAGUACGAAGGGCUCUAUACUCAUAAGAGUAGAGUAACUCUACUAUAUAUAUAUAUAUAGUCUUGAGCCGGGAGUGCUUUUGGAAACACCAAGUACUUUGACGCUAUAAUAUAUAUAUUUAGCCAUUGGAUCAACCCCAACGAUUCUUAGAUCCUGCAAAAUGGCUGGUCACAUAAGUAAUCUUCGUUGCUGUCUUUCGACCCAAUAGUUAAAAAGAUAGAUUCAAAGGUUAAAUUUUUUUUUUUUUGAUACUUUUAUAAAUAUUUCAACUAAGUUAUAUGCAUAGAGAUAGAGAGAGAGUGAGAGAGUUGAGCUAUUAUAUUUUUUAGAAGCACCAACUUCUAACUUUUGGGUUCUUAAAUUUCUAAAAUUUAUUAUUCGCUGAGUCAGCUCAUAUCGUGAGAUGUGGAGAUUAUCGAUCAAAUCCAACAAAGUCGAAGGAGGAAUUGUGGAGUUCCUUCUCUAGAUUAGGAUUGAAUACAACUAGAAUAAAAAAGAAAAAAGCUUUCCUUGUGUUCCCACCUAUAGUAAUACUCCACCGCGCCUCCAAAUCACCAAAUUCUCAACCUCACAUUUUUUUUUCAAAUCUUUUGUUUUUAUUUUACUUCAUCCUAUCCAGUUUAAUUCUGGAUGUCAGAUACACACCGCUGUUACCAAAAACAUGUCAAACUAUCUGAGCCACUAGAUUGGGUUUCGAGAAACAUGUCGCAUUACAUUGCAUUCAAAGAUUCCAUUUGCAAUACCAGGAAUGAAAAAUUGUGGAUAAUGUGAAACUUGAAAAAGAUUUCUUUAAAAGUAAAAUUAAGGAAGCAAGUUAUGGCGUGAGCAGGAAUAUUCCACAGGAGGCUGAUGGGAACCCAAGGAAAUGGAAAAUGGAACCCAGCUCUAGAAAUUGGUAUAUUGUUUGAAAAAGAUCGAGAAAUUAUUGUCGCUGCACCUGCUACGCGUGCACUGCUGUUAGGCUUAGUUUGGUAUUGAAAUCUAUCUGACGGUAUUAGAUAAAAGUAUUAAUUUCAUACAAAUUCCUAUAAUAUAAUGAAUUGUAAAUAUAACCCUACAAAAUUGAAGUUUCAUAUGUUGUCCCUAUAAAAGUCCUAAUAUUUUCAAAUAUUUUUCUCUAUUUUAUAAGUGAAAUGACUUUUAUGCUAUUAUAAAUAUGUUCCUCAAAAAAUUUCAACUGUUAAUAGAAGAGGGAUAAAAAAGUCAAUUCACCUCAUUAACUUACCGGUGUUAAGUAUUUAACCUAUGGUUAACUAAAUUUUUCUAGCAGAUUCUAACGGCAGAGACAUAUUUGAAAAUAUCAGAAUUUUUAUAAAAAUAAUAUAUAAAAGUUGAACUUUAUAGGGCUGUAUUUGUAAUUUAUUAUAUUUGCAGAGACCUGUAUAGUUGGGAUAGAAGCAUAUAGAAAUAUACUUAUAUGUUUUCCGGUGGGACCAUCAAAAGUAUAUUAUAGCCAACUCGUCGCGAUAUGCGAAACACAAUAUUAUAUACGGAAACAAACAGUGUAUUUUCUCAUUGUACUUCUUACCGUACGUAAUGCAAUCUUUCCAUAAUUCAAAACAUAGCCUUAAUUUUCGUUCCUCAAUAUUUAAAAUUAAAAUUUAUUUUGAUAUAUAUAAUCUACAUCAUUUAAAGUACCAAUGGAAUCAUAAUAUUUGAAAAUUUAUUAUUGAGGUACUGAAUAAAUUUAUGAAUUAAUAGUAAACAAAGAAUUAUUAUUUUAUUUUAUUGUAGGACAUAUUUAAUAAGUUAGAUUCCAAUUGAUAUAUUAGAUGUACUAAGAUGGUUGGGGUAGGCAAUAAUCUUUCAAAAGAGAUUAGGCCAAAAAAGUGACAUGAAACCAAUAGACUCAAUUUUUUUUUUAAAAAAAAGAAGGUUCAAAAUGGAAAGGUGUGGAAAUUGAGGUUUUUAUCAUUUUUAAUUGGGUAAAUUGUAGGUUUGGCCCUCAAACUAUGAACUGAUAACACUUGAGUGUUUAAAUUUUAAUUUAUUAUAAUUUUUUACUUAAGUUUUUAAAAUUAUUGCAAUCAAGUUCUACAACUUAAUUUACUUGAUUAAAUAUUUACACGUCGUUAAUAUAAAAAUUAGAAUAAUAUUUAAUAUGCUUUUUAAAAUUUUAAAAAUAUCUUAUUUAUUUCUAGAGGACCAAAAUAUUUUUAUUGAUUUUAAAAAAUUCUAUCAAAUAUUCCUUUUUUUUUUCUAGGAUUUACUGAUGAAACUGAAUUUAAAAAGCUAUUUAGAUAAUUUUAGUAGGAUAAAUUUAAAAAUUUUGACUAGUAGUAAUUGAUAAAUCAGUAAAACCCCUAUAAAUUAAUAUAGCAUCUUAAUAAUUAUCGCAUCACUUAAUUACAACACUGCUACAUCACUUCUAACAAUUAACGACUGAUCAAUAUUUAAUCAACUAAAUUGAAUCAUAAGACUUUAUUAUUGUAACAAUUAUAAAAGUUCAAGCUAAAAUUAUAAUAAAUUAAAGUUCGAGAACUAAAAUUUCAUCAUGUGAAUCAUAGUUUGAGCACCGAACAUGCAAUUCACCUUUUUUUUUUUUAUUUUUAUUUAUGUGGUUGAGUACAUUGGAGUGUGACAGUGCCCCCUACUUGUGGUCGCCCAUGGUUUUGAUAUUUUGGAUAAGAUUGUCGCCCAUGGGUUUGUAAAACUAUGAAAGAAUCUAAUGCAUGUGGACCAGAAGGACCAAAGCAUCUUUUUUUGUUCACUAUUUUGGAGCACAAGGGCCUAUUACAAGUACCAUAUUGUUCAAUAAAAAAAAGAAAAAAAAAAAAAAGCUUCAAUUUACCCCCACUUAGUUUACAAUUUUUGUUGCCAUUAUUCUAUUUUACUAUUUUAUAUAUAUAUAUAUAUAUAUAUAUAUUACUUUAUAUCAUCGUAAAGAUCUGUCGUUAAGUGGGAUAAUAAAUUUAAGCAGAGUAGCAAUCUAAGAAUGAUAUUUUUAAUAUUUAUAUUCAGCUCUUCACCCGACGUCGGAUUAGGAACUUUUUGAUAGGCCAAGGAUAUAGAGGCUUAAAUAAAGUGAAAGAAAAUUAAAUAAUUACUCCAAUACCUUAUUAAAUUCUGCAGAGCAAUCGUUGUUCUCCGGAAGCUUAAGCGAUCAUAAAUCAGUGUUAUUAAUAUUUAUAUCUAACAUAAAAUGCUAAAAUUUAUAAAUCAUAGGGUAAGCAAUACAAUUCAAGAACCACAGCGUGGUAAAUUAUAGUAUUUUCUUAGCCUAUUUUUCUUUUCACAUAGUCGUCAUGUGAUUUGUAAAAUGUAUCAACUUAUCACCCCGUGAAUUUUAAAUUUUAGCAUUUAGUAUUUUAUUUGAUGGCAGGUACUUAAUAAAAAUAAAAUCACCAGGUAACAAAGUUUUUAAUCAUAAGGUAGCAAACGAAAAAUGCGCUAAACUAGGUAGUGCUAAUUUAAUUUUCCCAUAUUAAAAUGCUUUUUCUUGAUCCUACUUUGCUACAUUAGUCAAAAACAAAGGCCUAAAAUCUGUUAAACAAAUAAAGUCAUUACUAUUAAUCAUAAAACAAUCAUUUAUCUCAAAAAAAAAAAAAAAUUCUCCUCGAAAACUUAAAGUGUCAAAAAAUAGAGCCCGGUUACUAUCCUAUUAAUAGGAUAGAAGCACUUGUCCUAUCAAGUCGUUUUGAAUGAUCGAAACUUCAAAUUGAUAAUCGGCACCGUUGAUAUUGAUCUACACAAUUAGAAAUAUUUAGAAACCAAAUUUUAUAAUAUUUAAAAAUCAUUAUCAAGUUUAUCUUAAGAGUUAAAAAAUGAACGGUCAUAAAUGAAUAAUCUUCUUAAAAUAGAGGUUAGACUUUUUCAAUUCAUAAUCAGAGUUAUCAAACAUUAUCUAAAUAGUAUAAAGAAUUUUCUAUAAAAAAUUUAAGCAAUUUGGAUUGCUCUACACCGUUAAACAAGCAAACGGCUCAUAUAGGCCGUCAAAAAUUGUCGGUUUUACGACAUUUUGAUCACCAUGUAAAUAAUUUUUAAAAUUUAUAAAAUUUAGUUUCUAGAUAUUUCAAAUACUCUAGAUCAACUUCAACGGCUCCGAUCAUCGAUUCGAAAUCUCUAUCAUCAAAAACCAUUUGAUAGGACAAGUACUACUAUCCUAUUAAUAGGACAGUAGCCCUAGCCCCAAAAAAUAUAUAUAUUUUUUAAUAUUUAUAUUUAAUAAUUAAACAUGGUGAUUUUUUAUUUUUAUUAUCUUUUUUUAGUAUUGUAGACCAAUCUCAAUAGUGUAAAAUUUUAGGGUACACUUCAAAUACCACCCCAGUGGUUUCGCACUUUUUCACUUUAGUACCGUGUGGUUUAAAGUGUAUCAAGUUAGUGUCACGCGAUUUUAUUUUUAUCUUUUUAUCAGCCUUUCCAUUAAUAUUUCGCUAAAUUAUGUACAAAAAGCUUCAGAUACCUCACCUAACUUUAUCGAAUAUUCACUUUAGUAUCCUUUAGUUUUAACUUUGUCACUGAUUUAAUGAAAAAAUUAGUGGAAUCGAUAAUAAAAAGAUAAAAAUAAAACCACAGGAUACUAAAUUGAUACACUUUAAAUCAUAGGGUAUUAAAGUGAAAAAGUGUGAAACUAUAGGGGUGGUAUUUGAAAUUUUCUCAAAAUUUUAUAGGAAAACUUCAAAUACCCCCCUUGUGGUUUCACUUUUUCUCAUUUUAGUACCAUGUGGUUUAAAGUGUAUCAAGUUAGUACCCUGUGGUUUCGCACUUUCUCACUUUAGUACCCUGUGGUUUCGUACUUUCUCACUUUAGUACCUUGUGGUUUUUAAACCACAGGAUACUAACUUGAUACAAAAAUAAAACCAUAGGGUACUAACUUGAUACAAAAAUAAAACCACAGAGUAUUAACUUGAUACACUUUAAACCACAGGGUACUAAAAUAAGAAAGUGUGAAACCACAGGGUACUAACUUGAUACACUUUAAAGUAUAGAGUAAAAUGAAAAAAUACGAAACCACGAGAUUUUUUAAGUUUUCCCAAAUUUUAUUUAGGACUUCUUGUGAUUUUUCGUUAAGGGGACAAGUACAUGAUGGAACAUGACUAUAAUGCCCUUCAUAUGAGAAGGAAAUUGCAUGGCCAAUUAAUAUACUUCUAUUCAUUUAUAGUGGUUUGGUUCUGAAGCAAAAUAAGCCCAACAUUAAUUGACUAGCAAUAUAUGAAAUUUUAAUUUUGAGGUUGCAUAUUAUGAGACAAAAUAAUGUAUGAAAAUUUUCAUAUUUGUAGGAGGGGUAUUUCUACUUAUGUCUUAUUUAUUCUAUAAGUGGUCAUUUUUCACAGUUUUUAUUUUCUAAAUAAAAAAUUUAGAAAAUUAUAAUACUACUUUUUAAUGAAAUAUGAAAAAAAAAUUUGGCCAAUUUGCAUAAAAAUUUACUAAUUUUGAGAUUUUGUAAAAGUAGGUCAUCUUUUUGAAUUUUAUAUAUUUGGAUCAAAUUUUCAGAAAGUUAACCAACAUCUUUAUUUCAUUUUUUUUUCUCUUUUCUUUUAUUCUCUCAUUCUUCUUUUUUUUCUCUCUGACCCUCCUCUAUCGCAUCCGCAGCCCUCCAUGAUGGUAACAAGGGUAGCGUCGUUUUCUCUUUCUCUGCCUUAACCGAGGCGCCGAAGGAGAAGGACUCAGAGCGAGCGUAGGUAAGAUAGGAGUCGGCGGAGGUAAUGAGGUCAUUGUAGAGACAGUGCUUGCUGUUGCCUGUGAGGGUAAGGAUAAAGACACGCUCGCACUUCUCCAAGGAGCGUUUCCGACGAGGACGAUGGCUGCGAUAAAGGGCGGGGGAGAAAUCGCGAUAAUAAAAAAAAUGUAGAGAGUAGAGAAAAAUAAGAAAAACAAAGAAUAAAAAAAGUAAAGAAAAUUAUUUUUUUCUACAAAAAAUGCGUAAAAUCAAAGAAAAAAAAGAAGAUGAUAAAAUUGUAUGUUAAAAUAAAGUUGCAAUAUUUUAGAAAAAUGUUGUACUAUUUUAGAUGAAAAGUUACACUCUUUGAGAUAAAAUUACACUCUUUGAAAUAAAUGUUGUAUUUUUUGAACGAAAGUUAUAAUAUUUUCCCUCCUCCUUCUUUCUCUCCGCUUUCUUGUACUUCUUCUGUGCCCAUCUCCUUUUCACCCUCUACCUCUACCGCCGUAGAUACUCCACCCACCGAACCCACUUUUGAAAACCUGCCGUCUCCACCGCCACCGCCGACGACGAAGAGAAAGCACUAAAAAGCUCACCGGCGAGGGAAGGGGCAUGCGGCCCAUGACGCCAACUCGAGGACGGCGACACGUGUGGUGGAGACGGAGGAGAGCGUGGCGGCACCGAAGAAGAGGGCGGGUGAGGAAGGGGGGAAUAUUUUGAUUAGUUUUCUGAAAAUAUGAACUAAAUUUGUAUAAUCCAAAAAGGCGGUGUAAUUUUGUAAAAUUUCAGAACUAGUGAGUUUUUUAUGCAAAUUGGCCAUAAAUUUUCUAUGAAAAUUAUUUUUCUUAGCAACCAAACAAACAAAAAAUAUUUCUUUUCUGUCAGAAAAUUGAUUUCCGGAAUAUUUUUGGGAAAACCAAACACCCCCUUAGGCCCUGUUUGGUUUGCGGUACAAUCACUCUAAAAAAAAAAAUUCGGUAGAAAAGUAAGUUUUCGAGUGUUUGUUUGCCCGUAAAAAAAAUUUUUUGGAAAACUUUUUUUACGAAUCCGACGAAAUUGGCCUUUUCGUUUUCCGCUCGAAACGAGCGAAAAACGAAAAAUCGCGGCGUUGGCAGCCGGGGCCGGGGUUCACCAUGUGCGCGGUCCACGAGGGACACCCCACCUCGUGGACCGCGAGAGAGAGGUCGACGGUGGACCUCUCUCCCCAUCUUUAUAUAUAUAUAGAGUCCGGCUACUAUGCUAUCGAUAACACCAAGUAUUUAGUGCUAUUAAGUUUUCUGCCGUUAGAUUAACCCCUUUGAUUAUUUUCCCACAUUAGAUUAUACUAUUCAACCAACCACCCACUCAACCCUAGGGGCCCAUAUUAUCCUAACCGCACAUUUCUCAAUCCAAUGGCUAAAAAACUAAUAGCACAAAUAGCUUGGUACUAUUGAUAGUAUUCCAGCCUAGUUCUAUAUAUAUAUGUGUGUGUGUGUGUGUAUGUGUAAUAGCUUGAUGCUAUUGAUAGUAUUCCAGCCUAGUUCUAUAUAUAUAUAUAUAUAUAUAUAUAUAUAUAUAUAAUAUAUAUUAAAAUGAUUAUUUUAUUUUAAUAAAAAUAUAUUUAUUACUAUAAUAUUUGAUUUAAAAUAUCGAGUAAUUUAUUUAUGAGUAUUAUAUAUUAUUUGGCAUUUUAAAAUUAUUGCAGUAUAUUUUAAAUAUAUUUUAUUUAUAAAUAUAAAUUAUAAUACUAAUAUAUGUAAUAUAAUAAUUAUUAUAUAUUAAUAAUAUAAAAUAUAUAAAAUAAAAAAAUAUAUAAUAAUUUUUAUUUAUAAUUUUUUUUUCCUUUCAACCAAACAACUGUUGUGGAAAACUAUUUUUUUUUCCUACAAACCAAACACCAAACGACGUAAAACUAUUUUCUACCGAAAAUUUUUUUCCUACCGAAAUUUUUUUUUCCAAAGUUUUACGUGGAACCAAACACACCCUUAAUGAAUUAUAAAAUAAAUCAUUAAAUAAGUAAUACAAAGAAAGCUUAGGGCUUAUCAACAUGUCUAUUCUUACCAUAUUCAAUAAAUAUAAUUAACCAUCUUCACAAUUAUUAUACUCAACAUUUGAUUGCAUGCACAUUGGAUGCAUAUGACUUGUAUUUACAUGCCUGCGAUAGUGAACCUUGAUGUUGAUCUCAUUAUUUUUAUGUCUUAAAAACGAAAUAUUUUAUAUUUUAUUUGGGGAAUGAUGGAUGAAUUAGAUAUUAUUUCGUUUCAACAUAGGCUCACAACUGUUCGCACAGCUAAAUUGUGUUGAGAGGGAAGAAGCAUAAGAACGAAAAGAGAUGAUACGCAAAGAACUAAUUCUUCAAUCAAUUCUCAAAAUUUGAAGUACAUUAACUGAACGUCACAUCUAUAUAUAGAAACGAUACUCUACUCUUACUAAGCAAAGAUAACAAUUCUAAUAAUGUCUCUAAGCUUAAUCAGACUAAAAAUAAUCAAAUAAUCAGACAAAAAGUAGAAAAAAUGCAAAACUUUUCGAAAAUAACCUAAAAAUGCAAACCGGAGGCUGAAACAAUUAAAUUUGAGUCCUAAAACCGGCCGAAAUUGCCAUGCAAUUUAACACGUAGAUCUCAAAAUGUAUUUUUCGAAUUGGGAUUGUACGUUAAAAUUAGAUGUGCGAACGAAAAGUUGUGACAGUUUAAAAAUUCUCACGCCGAAUGUAAAAAUUAUUCGAACUCAACGAAAUUUUCGACUCAGCUUGAUCGAAUUGUAUUUUUCCAGAAACUCUGACACCAAAUUGGCCGCAUCACCAGCUCAUAGAAUCAGAUGGCUUAUUCGGCCCCACUUCUGUCUGGUUUCUUCUCAGAGUGUCGACGUCUUUUUCCGCGAUAUGAUUUUAUAUCAUUUUCGCGCACUUCUGCUUCUGCAGUAGGAAGAUAGAUAGAUGCUUUUUCGAGCAAGCACCAAAAUGAAUUUCCACAUCCUCCUCUAAUUGUUUUGAUUGAGCCUUUUUGGCACCCAACAGGGCCAAAAAAUUGGCCUGAGCCACAAAAGCCCUAUCAACAAAAUUUCAGAUUAACUGACCGUCCCUAGAGCAAGUGGCAAAGAGCUUGGUGGUUGGUACUCGAUGUCCCAAGUUCGAAUCCUAGUUGAUUCACAUUUCUAACUAAGUUCAUUUCUAAAAUGAAAUAAACAAAGCAGAUAGCGUGCUACCUAUCUUUCAAAAAAAAAACAAAAAAAACAAAAUUUCAGAUUAAUACCUUCUAUUACAGAUAGCCCAGUCAAAGAGCCAACUCGGCCCGAUCCGAUGAUUCGUGAAGCCCUUACAAUUCUCUUUUGAUGUCAGAAUAAGUUAUCUAAUCUUCUUGCGCGAUUCAAAAAAAAGGAGUUUGAUUUUCAGGUCCUUAUAGCUCUUCGCAUUCGUGAUUUGGGAGGACAGAAUAUAUUUUAUCUAUAAAGUGAUUUAUCUUACUUUUAAAAACAUGACUUUAAAGCCGAAUAUGAAUAUGGUAUUAUAAUUUAGACAUUUGAUCAUAUUUCUCAUCUAUCAAUCAAACAAGAUGUCUAUAUAUAUAUCCAGAUAGGGCUUAUUGGACUUCACCGUGAUCCCGGGAUUGAUAAAAUUUUGUAAGAAUCUGUGUGGGUGUUAAAUAAAGUUGUUUAGUGAUAACUUUUGUGGACUUUGGGGAGAGACAUGAUGUUCGAUUUGUUGGUCGAACUCUUUUUUAUGCCUACAAGUUGUUUGAUAGUUUGUCUACAAGAGACCUGAGCUGCAAAGUUGCAGAAUGAAUUAGUCUAUUAUUCAAGAAGCCAAAGUUUCUGCAAGCGGUAUCUCGGUACUGAAGAUCAGAUUAUUAUGCUACGUGUACUGAUAGGGUGAAUGUGGGAAACUAAACAGAUGACCUCUUGAACUUGAUAGGGUUUAGAACCGGCUCUGACGCGUUUUGGUUUAAACAGGUCAGCAUCCUGUUUCGUGGUGGAAGGUUGGAUUGGGCUGAGUCUCGUUCAGAGUGACGAGAGACUGAAUCAUGUUCGAAAUACUAGGAGGUCAGAUUGGGCCGAGUCAUAAUCGAGACUUGUGGGCGUUGUGCCUGUACACUUUCCAAUAACUCGAACUUUGGAAUUAAUGAUUAGCACCCAUGAACCUACAAUGCCAUUCAAACUGACAGAAAAUAUGGCUCAGGAAUAGUAUUAAACCAGAUAUGUAUUCACUUUCUUUCUUCCUAACAAAAGCAUGUGUAGUAUUAUUAAUUAGAAAAGAAGCAUAUUUUGUAGGUAUGACAUAUAUGUUUAAGUUCAAUAUGAUACAUGAUUCUUACACUUGCUAUUUACAUUAGAUGUCAAGGAAUGGAGGUGUCAGUGUUUGAAGCUUCAUGGUAUGUCCAAGUGUGUAAAAUUCUCAUAUUUGGUCAAAAUGUACUCCAAAUUUAACUGUUUGAGAACACUCUAUAUAUCGCCUUUUUCACUUCAAGAAUGCUAGCUCUCUUUCCAUUCAUCUCCUUCACCUGUAGAGAUUCGAAUGCGCUGAAUUGUUAUAUUUGCAUCUGUUAUUCUUGUUUCAGAAUGAAAGGCGCGGAAAAAUGGUGCUAACUACUUCACAUAUACCUUUGCACGCAACUCCGCGAAAAGCGUGCCGUUAACCGAGGACGACUGAAUCGACAUGAUCUCGAGCCGAAGCUCGUGAAUUGUCUGCAUGAUCUUCAGAAGCAGGCCUUCUUUGUAAGGGCAUUGCAUCUCGAGGAGAGCGUCGGCUUCGAUGAUCGAGACCUGCACAUUAGUGCUCGGAGCAUCCGCGACCCUGGUCCCUUCUAGUACCCUGAUCUUCCUCUUGUCUGACGAGAAGGCUCUCUGUUGGCUGGUCGCGACGUGAUCCACUCCGCUCCCCUGCGGGGAUCCGCUGCCUCGCGGCACAUUUGGAUCCUUCGAGCUGCCUGGCCUUUGAAGUUCUGCUGUUUUCGUCAGGCUUUCCAUCUGCCUGUUUCUUGACUCGAGAUCUUGCAUGCGCUUUCGGAGCUGCUUCACGUACUCUAUUGCGUCGCCCAAAAUCGAUGCCUUGUCCAUCUGAGAUCACAGCAAUUGAGCUUCUCAAUAGGCAUUGCUAUAGCAAGUGUAAUUCACACCUAGUUUCUGUGUACAAGUUUUCAUACUUAAGACAAGAAGUUUCUCUAAAGUUCAUACACAUAUGUUAAAAUUCAUGAUAUGUUGCAUACUGCAAUAAGGACAUGCACCUUCGUCACGAACGGAACCAACGAGCGAAGAACGAUGAACCGCUCGUUAAGCUUUUCUCUUCUCCGGCGCUCCGCAAGCACGUGGUUGGCGCUUGGCUCUUCUUGCGCCGCUCCUUUUCGGGACCGACUCCCGCCGCCUUCCCCUUCUAUAGAUGGAGGUGAGUUCUCAUCUUUGUACCUGCAGUGAAGAGUCGGAACACGAAACAACAUAGUUUUAAGUAGCCAUUGCGAAGUUCCUUCGGAGAGCACGAUUUGAGGAUGAUCUCUAGUAGAAUUCCAUCCGGCGAAUGCCGUUUGGCGCGAGGGAACAAAGUAAUCAUUGGACUUCGAUUCGUCUCCUCGGCUCGAGUUGUGUCGAAGUAUAGUUGUAACUGUUUCCGAGUAAUGAGCAUCCUCUUGUGACAGCUCUUGAGCUUGCACUGCCAAAAUAUAUGUUUGAGUAACACUUAGAAGUUGAAUUUGUGAAUGCUUGUUCUACAUUACAUUGUUACACUUUCGGAACAUUUGCGAAAAUUACCUGAGGAUUGUUGUUGAAGCUCACUACAAAUGUCUUCAUGAAGAAAAUUCCAACAAUGAUAUGUUUCAUCCUCUCUCUGGUGAUUAGAUACUCCGCUAGUGUUGCAGCAAACUCCGACCAUUUGUAGCUGAGUGUUCAAGUUAUUUGAGCAAUCAUCAGGAGACCCCAACCUAACAUUCUGCGACAAACCAAGCUGCAUCAACUCAUCAUGCUCGGCAUUCGGAGUUGUUGCCCCCUCAAUUCUUGUCAAAGUAGGUGUGAUCAUGUGGCUGCACUUCAAAGUGCCGACUUCCGAGCCCGAACCGCCCUCUAUUUCAUCUUCUUCGUCGUCGUCAUCGUCGUGAUCGUCGUCCUCCUCGUCAUCAUCCUCAUCGUUCUGUCGGUCUGAUUCUGUCGGUUCUGCGUGCAUUCGAUGCAUGGUCACGCCUACUUGGAAUGAUGGUGGCUCAUUGUACUUCGCGGGGUUCGAGGUCGAUUGCUCCGAAAGCGCGGGCAUGGAUUGGAUCUCGUGAUGCUCCGCGAAGAAGCUCUUUGCAUGUUUAAUAAGUCCUGUGUCCUCUUCAACCUAUUAAACCAUAUCAUCUCAGUUUCUACAUAAGAUUCAAGAUAAGUAUACUGCACUGAAAUCUCAUUUACUUUAUCAGAAAAAACUGCAAUUUACAUCUUCUUUUCUGAAAGAUGAGGGAUACUGACCAUCUCUGUAGUUCCAAGUUCAAGAACACCAUCCAUCAGGGGAAUGCAUACAACUGUCUGAAAAAUCAGAAACUGUGAGCUCAAAUUGUAAUCUUUUCCUUUCACAUGCUUUAUCAAUGAACUACAAUCAAUUGGUGCAAAAAUUUGUACAUGAUUAGAAAAUAUGCAGUACCUGUAUCUGAGCACUCUGUUUUAUGUGGAAUCAGCAUGUGUUUGCAGCAUCCAAACAAAAUGCAUGAGAAAAGCAAUAAAUUAGCGUAUAAAUUAUGAGUAAAUACAUAGAAAAUGAGAAAAUGUUACCUAAUAAAUCAUUUCACUCUGUAAAUUAGUAUCCCACCUUAGCAAGAAUAGCUCUUGAGAACACUUUGCUAUCAGCUUCAUUAGCACGUGUUAGCCACACGUGUCGGCGCCGCGCAAACGCCUUUCCUGGUAACCUACGAAAAAAGAUAUUAUUUUUACAGUGACAUUGUCAUUUGUGCAAAUUAAGUGCAUAUCUUUUUAAACAUGAAGAGUGAUUAUCUCCAAACACUAUUCAUAUUUUGUUGUUCAUGAUCAAUGUUAUUUUUUUCCUUUUUUCUUUUCUGUGUGUGUUUAGUAUAGUAUGCUAUGUUGGCUUAAAUGGGCCAGCAUCCUGCCCUGUGGCGGAAGGUCAUGUGGGCUGAGUCAUGUUCGAAAUGGCGUGAGGUUGGAUUGGGCCGAGUCAUGUUCGAAGUGGCGUGAGGCCAGGUGGGCCGAGUUACAAUCGAGAUCCGUGGGCGCUGUUUCUGUACGCUUUAAGUGAAUUGGUUGCGUAUUUCUAACAGUUCAAACUUUUGGGAUUAAUAGUUAGUGCCAACGAUCUGACAUGCUAUACAUGCAAUUGUAUGUAGAGUUUACUAAUGAGAUGAGUUGAACACUUGAACAUGAGCAAAUUUUAGAGUUCGACUUAAAAUUUUAAUAUAUGUUUUCACUUAAGGAUGAGUUAGAAUAUUAUGCUUUUAAAGUAAUCAAUCCUUUCGUAUUUAUACGUCGUUUUCGAUAGAAGAUGUCAGAAUCAAUGUCUGACGCUGUUAUAUAUAAUCUAGAAUAUAUGAACUUCUAAUGUAUCAAAUUUUACGAUUAUUCAUUUCAUUUAUUUAGUAAUUGAGUGGCAUUUAAAAAAAAAAAGGGAAAAUUUCUUCAGUACCCUUCCAAAUAGCUCUAAUAUCAUAAAUACCCCUUAAAAUUUCAAAUUUGCCCUCAAAAAGCAUAAAAAUUUUAAAAAAUGUCCUCAUAAUUAUUACUCCGUCAUGUUUAGGUAUAACAGAUUCAAAAUACCGAAUUUACCCUUCAAUUCAUUUUCAUCGAUACCCUCACAAAUUUUCUAAGGUUAAUUAAUAUAAUGAGAUUCUCUUAACUAUGAUACUUUACGAAAUAGUCCCCUUGAAUUUGACUUUUCUAUCAAAGCCUUCUUAAUAUUUAGUCUCUUAAAAUUGGAUUAAUUUUUGUCAAUUAAAUUACAGAUUUUAUCAAUCCAUUGAUGAUUCUAACAAAUUUAAUAAUUUCAAUUACUUGGUAGAAGUUAAAAUUAAAAAAAAUAUAAUGAGUAAUAGCUAACAGAGCAAUUUAAGUUAAGUAAAAUUUUAAAUAGAACUAACGAAAAUAAAUAAUGAACAAAAGUUAGAAGCUAAAUAGUAUUAAAGAAUACCAGUGAACAAAUUAAUGUUAGCUUUGAUGUUAAAUAAAUAAUGAACAAAAUUUAGGGACUAAAUAGUAAAAUCAUAUAAUUAACAUACCUUCCGAACGCUUGUCAACUUAUGGGUAAAACAGUCAUUAAAUUUUAACCUAUGUUAGACCACCAUCUAACUAAGGUUAACGUGACUUGAAAAGACAGAGUAUAACGGCAAGGGUAUUUUUGAAAGAAAGUAUUUAUUUGGAAAGGUAACUAUGACGUAACAAAAUUUAUAGGGUUAUUUAUGAUAUUUCUGAAAUUUAGAGGGGUACGGAUGAAAGUAACCCUUUAAACAAAUAGUGAACAAAUUAAGGAUAAAAUGGUAAUUUCAUGUUCUGUAUUUUAAUUAAUCCUUUUAUAUCAAUGAGUAGUGGUCAAACAUUUGAAAAAUUACAUUCAAUGAUGAAAUUAAAGAAGCUAUAUAAGUUUCUCUUGCAUAUAUAAGAAAUAGUACACCAAUAAACAUAUUCACAAGGACCAUGCACAAAUAUACACAAACAAAAUGAUAUAUAUAUAUAUAUAUAUAUAUAUAUAUAUAUAGGCCAUGCAAGGUGACGAAUAAGUGUAUAGGAUUAAUUUGUUUACAUACCCGGAUCCGGGAGGGAAGGAGAAGGAGAUGCACAUGAGGUAGAACCACUCGGACUCAGUGAGGUCCUCUGGGGAGAGGGCGGCGCUCGGUCGGCGCGCGAGCUGCAGCUGCUGCUGCUGUUGCUGGCUGGCCUCCCCGGCCGACAGCGACUCGUAGAGCUCCCGCAGCUGCUGGCUCCGCUGCAGCGUCACCUCCUCCGCGCUCACCUCUGCCGGCUGCACCGUCUUCCGCGUCUUUAUCGCGCCGUUGUAGUACCCGUCCCCCCACACCAGAACCCUGAAUUCAUGACAGGGUCCAAACACGGCACGAAAUUACUCGAAAUCAGCACGACACAGCCCCCGCGCGAUCGUCGUAGAACUUGUCUUUUCGAACACGUAAAGUCGAGUUAUAAGCAUUGGGGCCGAACUCUACGUUUAACGAAUACGAACACGACCCACGCGCUAAUCUGAAUUUGCAAACAAUACACCCUAACAAUUAAACUCUACUUCAUGAGAGCAUGCACCUUUGUGUCCAAAGUUCGGCAAUUGUGUGUAAAGUGAGGUGCACGAUCAGAAUGGGAUCUUCGUGCAGUAGUUUAUUAGUGCGCCCUUCAUCUAAGUUGCACUACUGAUAUAUUAUUGCUCGCACGUCUCAAAUAUUACACAGGUAUAUAUAUAGUGAAGAUGAACAAACCCUUGUUGUGGGCAUGGAUUCCAGAAGAGGCUGUAAGUCCACUGUAUGCUCUGAGCUACAGACUGCAGAGCCUUUUGAAGCCUUAUUGGAGAAAGGGCAACCAUGACUACUCUUUAAUUAUCUCUUCCUACAGUUAAAGUUGUAUAUGUGCACACCACCUCUCUCUCUCUCUAUCUCUCUCUCUCUACUUAUCCUUUUCUCUCAUACAGAGCUUCUUAGAACCACAACAAAGUUGAUUAGAUGAGUUGGAGAUUUGGACAUCAUGAAUCAUGAAGUGGAGAAGAGUAGUUACACGAGAGGGAGAGAUAGUUGCGUACAACAUGGGUCGAAUUGGUGGAGAGAACUAUUGCCUGCACCAGGUGUACAAUUACAUCUCAUGCACCGCACCCCGAAAACUAGCUAAAACUCCGGUAUACAAAACCUUUCUGUACCACUGAUACUAAAAAUUUAUAGCUUUGUAAGCGUAUAGGCUCCUUUGUAUUCAUGUCGCGAAUCGCAUCUAUUGAAUUCGAUAUUAGUUUUGGAAAAAUAUUUAAAAAUUACGUAAGAUCCACAUUGUUCAUUAUAAUUAUCAGCCUGAAUCUCACAGAAGCCUUUUAAAUCGCGAGGAUGGUAUCAUUUUACGUGCAUGUAAUUAUGCGGGGAUGUCGCAAUGGUUUUUAGUUUGAAGACACUGAUGAAAACCAACAAUGUACUUUUUUUAUGGUUCAUUAGAUGUAAGGAUACACCGGGUGCACGCAAUACUAUUUACUGUUGGAUUUGGGUAGUUUUUGACUGGUCGCUGCACCGGACGGUUCCACCUGCACGGUCCAUCCACCACGUGCGUUCGAAUUCGGGAAGAUUUUUUAUUAUUUAAUUUAUAAUAUUUAAAAGAGUUAUUUAAUGUAUAUUUCAAAUUUUUAAAAAUAUUUAAUAUAUUCUAGGUCGAUCAAAAUACCCUUAUUGAUUUUUAAAAAUUCUUCCAAAUGGAAUUUGAGAUUUAGAAGAGUUUUUUAGUAAUUUUCAGAUAAAAUUUCAAUGAUAGUGGGGGUAAAAAAAAUUAUUAUUAUUAUUAUUAUUAUUAUUAUUAUUAUUAAGGUUUAAAUUGCCGCCCCGUCCCGUACGGCACGGGACUGCACGUACCACGCCACCAUAAGGUGGCACCGUAGGGGGGGGGAUCUCGGACUCCCUCCGUGCCGCUGCACGCAGCGCCGUGCUGCACGAGACAGAGCGGCACAGCGCAACGUGCCAUGGCACAGACUUUUUUUUUUUUCUUUUUAUUUUGUUGUUUAGGAUACCCAAAAUAUUCCGGCGGGUACUCCAUGCACCCCAAAAAACAUUACAAAUCAAAAAUUUACUUAUUAGAUAAGUCAAAAACUAUAAUUUAAUUUUUUUUGUUGAUCAAUAUACCGAGAAAAAAUUUGUCCGAGCCCUCCGCUUUCACUAGAUAUUUAUUUUUUCUUCAUAAAUUAGUUUAUCAAAAUUUAUCACACCGUGAAAGUUUUAACGAAUUAAGAUAUAUAACAAAAUCAAACUAAAUAAACAAAUUUUGAGUCACAUUAAAUAUAUAUAUAUAAUUUUAUUUUUGCGCUAAAAGAUUAAAAAUACUGAUAAAAUUAAAAACUAAACUAAAUUAAUUGAUACUUAAGUUUAUUUAAUUUAUUUGUCAUAUAAUUUGUUACUUAAUUUUUUUGAUAAAUGUACUAUUUUUUAGUCAAAAGAAAGAUAAGAAAAAAAGAUAUUUUUGCACUUUAAAAAUUUUAACAUGGAAAAAUUUAUAUUCUGCAUUAGUUAUAAUUGUACUUUACAUACAAAAAAUUUACAAAUAUAUUAAUUGACGAGUAUAGUAAACUAUAUAUAGCAAAUAUUUAUAUUAACGAGUAUAGUAAGCUAUAUAUAGCAAAUAUUUAUAAUUAUUUAAUUAAAUCUUUCAAAAUAACAUUAUAAUAAUUUAUUGAAACAAAAAAAAAAAAACUAAAAUAAAUCUGUAUCAAAGCGUGCCAGUAGUAGAUCAUAUAUAUCCAUCGGCACGCAAGCGUACUAUAUGUCGGCAGUUGCCGUACCGUGCCAGGCAGACAGCAUCACGCCCCCAUGUCACGGCACUUUAAACCUUAAUUAUUAUUAGCAGUAGUAGUAGUCGUCUUAAUUAUACUUUACUAUAUUAUAAUUUAAUAUUUUUAUUUACUAUAUUGUCAUUAGGCUACCACUAUACGCUCUUCAGAUUAAGCAAGCAUUGAGGAACUACUCGCUAUACUGUAAUUUCGUAUAGUAAAUUACACUCUACUAUACUGUAUUUUAGUAUUAUUUUUAUUUAUUAUAUUGUGGUCGAUCAUGUACCAUGAUAUCCACUUACCGAAUCUUGAUGUUACUUUCCGAAAUCUACAAAGUUUGGUUCCGAAAUCUCCAAAGAGGUUCUGCAGAACUCGAAACCUUGCUAUUUUUAUUUAUUCUUUGAGUAGGUAUCGCUCGUGGGAUAUAUAGGAAUUAGUUCAAUUUUGUAUUUGGACGAGAAUUAAGAAAUUUAGAGAAAUAAGAAAAAUUACGUUUGGGUGAUUGGGUUGGAAUAGUAGGAAUAAAAGUAAUUAUGAUUGCAUAUAAAAAAAAAUUAUGUAAAGCAUCUUAGUAUUAGUAAAAUAAUAUUUUAAUGAGUUAAUAAAUUAAUUAAUUAAAAUUACUAUAUGAGAAAAUGAAGAUGAUGUUAAUUAGUAAAUAAUUAUAAAAAUAAGUCAAUAUGUUAAUAUUAAUUAAUUUUUUUAUUAUUUAUAUUCUUAGUUAAUAUAUUAAUUAGAUAAAUUAAAAUAUUAAUUAUUUAAGUAAUAUAAAUACUAGUUAAUGAUUGAAUAAGCAUAUCAAAUACCUAAUUAUUUAAUUAGAUAAUUAAUUAUAAAUUAUAAAUAAAUUAUUAUUUAAAUAUUUAUUAAUUUAAUAAGUUAAAUAAAUAAUUAGUUAAUUAUAAAAAAAUUAAUUGUAUUAAUUAAUUAUAAUUUAUAAUUAUUUAUAACUUAAUUAGUAGAGGAAUUAAUAAGAUAGAGAAUUAUCCAAUAGGUGGAAUUACUAAUUCCGGAAUAACCCAUUAAGAGAAAAUUAGUAAUUCUUAGUAAUUCUUAACACCGUUUAAGAAUAAGAGGAAUAAAUCUCUUAUUCUUUCUUUAUUCCUUGAACCUAACACAGUAGCAGUUCCUGUUUUUUUUUUUUUUUUUUUUUUCCUUUUUUGCAUUAGAAUUAAGAAAAUUAAUGCAUAAUAUACCCUACCACCACUCACCGACAACCACUCUGAACCAUCAGCAGAGCACCAACUAUUAAUUCCAAAAGCUUGAACUGCUAAAAAUACUUAAUCAAUUCACUUAAGAUGUAUAGACAUAGUGCCUACAGGUCUCGAUUGUAACUCGAUCCAACUAGCAUCACGCCGCUUCGAACAUAACUCGGUCCAACCUGAUUUUCCGCCACAUAAUAGAAUACUGACCUCCCUAAGCCAACAAAUCGUUGGCUGCAAUACUAUUUUUUGUAUCGUUCGUGCUAACUAUUAAUUCUAAAAAAUAGGAGCCGUUAGAAAUACACAACCAAUUCACUUAAAACGCAUAAAUGCAGCGCCCAUGGAUUUUGAUUGUGACUCGAGCUAACCAGUUCCAUGUCACUUCGAACAUGACUCGAUCCAACCCGACCUUCUGCCAUUUUGAAUGUAAUUCGACACAACCUGACUUUCCGCAGUAAAAUAGGGUAUAUGCUGACCCUUUUAAACCAGCACAAACCACCUCACUUUUGUAGGAGAAUGCAUCUCCGGUCUCCAUGCACAAUCGCGCUUUCUACAAAAAUUUGAGAAUGUGCUGAAUAUAUUAGUGAUGUGAUGUCCCCAACCAAUCAAAUGGUUCCUUUUGGGUUUAUCGAUCACAUCAUGAUUAUAGAAAAAAUAUUUUUAUUUUUUUUUCAAAAGAAGAAAUAUUAUUAGCUUGUAUUGAUGACGUGGUGCAAGUGUGACACAGUAAAUUUUCUCGACGUAAGACACUAUAAAGUGCGCAGUAUUAUACAACAAAUAUCUAUAACUCUAUAUGAUUUUUCAAUACAAUAGCUGAUGUGGCAAAUUCUUAUUUUUUAAAACUUUUCCAUUUUUUUUUCUUUUUUUUAAUAAGUGGACCCCUCUCUCUUCCCUCCUUCCACCGUACAACCCUUCAUCUCCCCCUAUUUCAUCCUAUGUUUUCUUUAUCUCUCUUUUAUUCCAGUGUAUGUCCCUUCAUUUUUAACUCGUUCUUUCAAGAAAACUUUUGUCCCUCCAUCUCCCUCACUCUCUCCCACCUACCCACAUCCGCUCGCUCUUCUCUCUUUUUUUUCCUUUUUUUUUUUUUUUGCAGGUUUCAAAUUAUUAUUAAUAAUAAUUUUUAAAUACUAAUUUUUAUAAUUUUGAUUUUAUUUAAUAUAGAGAAGAAGUAGGUGAUAGUGAAUUUAAGAGUUACGAAUCGAAUUCGCUUCAACUGAGAUUUUAUAUUUUUAUGAAUUAAAAAUACUUUUUUUCCUUCUCAAAAUAAAUUUUCUCUCUCCUAAUUUUAUUUUAUUUUAAUUGGUAAUUUUUUUUUGAAAUUUGAUUUUGAUGUAGAAAAGAAGAAAUCAUAACCUAUUAUAAUUCAUCGAGUAAUAAAACCAACUCAACGAAAUCACCUCUAGUUUUUAUUUUUUCGUUCCCUUUUAUUCUUGUAUUAAAUUAUGUUUUUUUUUAAUUCCUAUCUAUGCAACAAUUUGUAUUCUUUUAUAGUUUUUGUUUUGUUUUGUUUUCUUUCUUUGUUCUACAUUGGAUUAUAUUUUCAUUCUAAAAAAAAUUUCAAUAUAUUUUUUAUAUUAUUCACCAAUCAAAUAUUGAUUAUUUUUUGCUAUUUUUUUAUUCUUUUAUUUGUAGAUUUAAUUUAUGAUUUAUUAUAAUUUUUACCCGCCGCUUCGCGCGGGUUCCUACACUAGUGUAUAUUAUAAUUAACACAGCAAUAUUAUUGUUUGAAAUUCUAUUCUAUCAUCAAUCAGUAAUAAUCACUGAAAACAAUUUUCUAUUUUGUUGUCAAAAGAAAAUUAAUUUCGUGAGAGGCCUAUCCUUAAUUGCGUAACAACAACAUGAUUAAGAAAAUUCUCACUCCUAAAUAAAUGACUCGUCUAUGGUUUUAAUUUCAUUUUCCUCGUUCUAUUUUUUGGAGAAAAAAUGAGACUAAUUACACACUCCGCUACUUAACUUUAGUAUUAUUUUUAUGAGUUAAUUGUACAGUUUUUUUGUAAGCAUAUCAAAUAGUAAAUAUAUUUUUGCAAAAGUGCUAACCCCACUGUUAAAAAUAUAGUUAACCAUAGUUAAAAUACUUAAUAGUGAAUAAGGUAAAUUGAUUUUAAUAAUUGAAACUUUUAGAGGGAACAUAUUUAUGAUGACAAAAAAUAUCAUUUUAUAUAUUUUUUGUUAAAAAAUAAACAAUGUGCUAACAGUAAUAAACCAAAAGAGGCAAUAUGAAUAUAACCGGACUUUUGAGAGAUAAACAUGAAAAGUUAAGCUUUGUGGGGAUGUAUUUGCUAUUCAGUAUAUUUAUAUGGAGCUAUAUUAAAUUAACUCUAUUUUUAUUUGACGUAUUAUAUUAUUUUUUUCGAAGAGAGUCCGACUACAAUGCUAUCGAUGAUACCAAACACUUAGUGCUACCAAGAUUUUCAUAAUUAGAUUUAUCCAUUUGAUCAUUUCUACUCCUAAUUUAAAUGCAUUGCAUAUUAACUAACACUACUCGAGUUAGAGAACUAUUAUUAUACCUAACCAACCAUUAGGAAGUGGUAAUCCAGCUCGUUUUGCGGAGUCAGCUCAUGUUCGGCUCAUAAAUAACGUUCAUGAGAUCGAGAUCGCCUCAUUCUUAGUAAACGAGCCGAACACUGAGCUAAAUUUUUCGACUCGUUUAAAUAAACGAGACCGAACACGAGCUGGGUGUCAGCGCUCUCCUGUCUCUGUGUUCGGAGCUCCCAUCCUCCGGAUACUCCGGCCACUGGGCAAUCUCAUAUAUUUAUAUUCCCUACUCCCUCACAUUUUAUCUCUCUAUUAUAUUCCUUUACUAUCAUCAUAUACCAACUCAUUAUUAUAUAAUAUAUAAUUUUAUUAUUUAAUUUUUAGAAAAAAUAUAAUGAAAUGACAAAGAUUAAUGUAUAAAAGACUCAUUUAUAUGUAAGUCUUCGACUAUUAGAUCAAGUUAUUGAUAGAUUUUAUAUUUAUUUUUUUAUAUUAUUCUUUAAUCUUUUUAAUUAUAUUCCUGGCAGCUCAUAGCGUAUUUCCGUGUUCGGCUCGUUUACACCCCUACUCCAUUAUAUAUUCAUUAAAAGUUCCUAUCAAAUUAUUCUUAAUUAUUCUUAAUUUUUUAUAUUUUAUUAUUUUUAUAUCAAAAUAAGUUGAAUAUAUACUCUUAUCAUUUUUAACAAGUCUUAUAGUGUAGAAUUUUUUAAAAAGAGUUUAGUGAUGCGUUUAAAAAAAAAAAGUAUAAUACAAAAAAUUUAAAAAAUCUUUAAAAUACAGUAUAAUAUAAUAGCCAAAAAAAAUAUCACCCUUCUUAAAAUCAAAUUUGAUAAGAAAAAAAUAAAGGGUUAAUUUCAUAUAUCUCCAAAUAGGGAUGUAAUGUGGGCCGUGCCGGGACCACAUUUUUCGGGCCAUUUCGAGCCAAGGGUCGGCCCGACCCGACCCGGUUAUUAAUUUGGGGUGAGCCGUUCCGACCGGUUUAGCCGGGCUUCGUGCCAACCCAGAUUUUAUUAAAAAAAUUAUUUUUCCCGCUUUUUUUCUAGAAAUUUUUGUUUAAAAAGAAUAAUUUCUUUUUAAAUUAUAGACUUAUAGCUUUUACUUUACACAAUUACACCCAACAUUUUGAAAACUCUUCUAUUAAAUAUUUUUAAUAAUUUUUUAUUAUUUGAAGAAAAAUUGAUAUUUUAAAAAAUAAUUACAAAAAAUAUAUAAAGUCUGUAUUAAUCAUAUUACAUAAAAUUUGUAUUUUUUUAAAAAAAAUUUAAAAAAAGAGUUUUCAUUAUAACUUUUUAACUUAUAGUUUUUAAUAUACACAAUUAUACCCAACCUUUUUAAAACUUUUAUAAAUUUAAAAAAUUUUUUUGUAUUUAUUUUUUCGAAUAUCAAUUUCUCUUCAAAUAAUAAAAAAUUAUGAAAAAAACUAAUAUUAAUUUUAUGUUAAAAAGUUAAAUUUAUUGUGAUUUUUUUAAAAAAAAUUUAAAAAAAGAGUUUAAAUUAUAACUUUUUAACUUAUAGUUUUUAAUAUACACAAUUAUACCCAACCUUUUUAAAACUUUUAUAAAUUUAAAAAAAUCACAAUAAAUUUAACUUUUUAACAUAAAAUUAAUAUUAGUUUUUUUCAUAAUUUUUUAUUAUUUGAAGAGAAAUUGAUAUUCGAAAAAAUAAAUACAAAAAAAUAUAUAAAAUUUGAAUUAAUCAUAUUAUAUAAUUACAUUAGAGAAAAGUACAAAAUUUUUAAAAAUAAAAAAUGUAUUUAAAAUAAAAUGAUAUUGUUUAUACAACCAAUUAGCAAACAAUAGAGGAAAAAAUCAAACAUAAUUUUUUUCUUCAUUACAUCAUUUUUUUCACUUAAAAAAAAGACACCUACUAAUGUAAUUUACUAAAUAAAAAAGAAGAGACGUAAAGACUAAUAGUUUGUUGUGAUACAAUUGGUUGAUACCUGUUCACUGAUCAAAAUGUCAGUGGUUCGAUCUCCCUUAUGUUUGAGCGAUUUAAUUUAAUAUUUUUUCGAAAAAAAGAAAAAAAAAAAAAAAAUACCCAAGACCCAACCCAACGACUAUUGAGCCGUUGUCCUAGCCUUUAGGCCUGGCUAACUUUUGCCUCAAAAGUAUCGAGGUCGUGCCGUGCUGUGCCGUGCCAGGCCUACGGGCCGCUGAAAUGACUCGUAGGGCCGGGCCAGCACGGCUACUAUAGUAGUCGUGGCGGGCCACGACCUGGCUCACAAUUGUGCUCGGCCGUGCGGGCCACGACACUAGCUUUCUGUAAACAUAUCGAAUAGCAAAUAUAUUCCAAGAAAAUUCAACUUUUUAUAUUUAUUUGUUCAAAAGUCCAAUAAUAUUCAUAUUUGAUUUUCUGGUUUGUUAUCAAUGAAGCACUGUUUAUUUUUUAACAAAAGAUAAGUAAAAUGAUACUUUUGCCAUCACAAAUAUGUUCUACCAAAAAUUUCAACUAUUAAAAUUAUAUACAAAUAUCUCUCAAAAAUCCUGAGCGGUCAAUUUUUUUCUUUCUCCCAUUAUAAAUAAUAUAAGAGGCGUAAAAGGUCAAUUUAUCUUAUUCAUUAACCAUGGUUAAGUACUCCACCUAUGAUUAACUAUAUUUUUCUAGCGGACCCUAACAGUAUGGAUAUAUUUGGCAAAGUUAGAAUUUUUAUAGAAAUAAAUAUAAAAGAUUUCGCUUUAAAAAAAUAUAUAUGUUAUUCAAUAUAUUUACGGGGAGUGCAUGUAAAUAACUCAAGAAUAAAAUACUCUAGUUCUUUUUGUGCCAUGAUCGAUUAAAGUGAGUUUAAGUUGCGGUACAAGGGCUGUGAUAUGGCCUACAAACUAUUAUUUCGGGCCGAGUAGAUGUCCAAAAAUCUGAACACAAAAUAAUUAUUUUUUAUCACAUUUUAAAAACAAAUUAUAUUAGAAUUUAAAUUUUAUAAUACAAAUUUAAAUAUAACAUUAACAUCUAUAUAUUAUAUAAUAUAAAACUAGUUUGAAAAGUAGUUUAAUUUAAAAAAUAGUGGAACAUGCGGUCCAUGAGGUGAAGUGGACUUCGUGUGGACUGCCUGAGUCGACCUCAUUCAUUUAUUUCAUUUAUAAAUAAAUUUUAAUUGAAAAUGUGAAUCAAUUAGGAUUUGAACUUAGAAUCUUAGGUACAACUACCAAGUUCUUUAUCACUUGCAAUAGAGACAGUUACCCUUUACCACUUGCGGUGUAUAUAUAUAUAUAUAGAGAGAGAGAGAGAGAGUUGAGCUGGAAUGCUAUCAGUAACAAACGGGUUUCGUUGCCACCUAUUUAUUUUUGAUGAUGAAGCCUCCAAAUCGACGAUCAACACCGUUAGAAUAUAAUUUAUAUCACUUGAAAUAUCUAGGAACCAAAUUUCAUAUUUUUUUCGAUAUUGUUCUCUUGUCCAUCAAGUGGAUACAAAAAUGAAUGACUGAAAAUGAAUAUCCUUUAAAAAUAAUGAUAGUAGUCUUAUAAUGAAGAUUAAGAGUAUAUAUCUUGUUCUAAAUAGUUUAAAAAAUUUUCUAACCAAAAUUUAAUUGAUUCGGAUAUCCUUACGUUGUUAAAUGAGAAAACGUUUUAUAUCUACCAUUAAUAUUAUAAAUAUUGAAACCCUUUGAUCAUUAGGCCAAUAAUGUCGAAAGGAUUUAAAAUUUGGUUUCUAAAUAUUUCGAGUGGUAUAGAUUAUGUUCAGUGAUGCCAAUCGUCAAUUUGGAGGUUCAAUCAUCGAAAACAAAUGGAUGACAAUGGAGCCUGUUUGCAACCAGUAACAUUCGAGCUAAACUCUCUCUCUCUCUCUCUAUAUAUAUAAUAUUUUAUUUAUAAAGAUAUAUUUAUUUAUUUAUUAUAUUAUAUAGUAUUAAAUUUAUAACUUGUAUAUAUUAUACUACGCGUCCGGCUAGUAUAUUAUCGAUGAUCAUUCCCUAUGGUCAGAUCACACUAUUCAACCAGGCAAUCACUCAAUUCUGAAGGACUACUAUCAUCCUAAUCGUACAUUCUUUUAUCCAACAUCCGAAUAUUCGAUAGCAUCGAAAGUUUGGUACUGUCGAUAGUAUAAUAGCAUAAUUUAUUAUAUUACAUACUUAUAAUAUAAAAUAAAUUUGAAUAAAUUUAAUUUAAAAAUAAUAAUAAUUAUUAUUAUAAUAUAUUAUGGUAAUUAUUAUAUAUAAAUAAUAUAUAACAAUAUAUAAUAAAAAUAUAAAAUAUAUUUUUAUCUAUAUUUUUCUUGCAAACAAAAAAAACCUAGCUGAAAUUUUUUUUUCAACAAAUCUAUUUCUAUCUAUUUCUCUACAUUAAAGGAGGGUUUGGGGGGACCUUGGGGUGACACGUGUCCCUUCAAACCCCCCUUUACUCUCUCUCUCUCUCUCUCUCUCUCUGGGUAUACUAUUAUAUAUAUAUAUAUAUAUAUAUUCAUAUAGGUAUCAAAACUUUAAAAUUUGAUACUUUCAAAUUUUAAAUUUAAAUUUCAAAUAAUUUAUAAUAUUUAUUUCAAAUUUAAACUUUAAAUUUAAAAUUUAAAUCUCUAAACUCUAUGAAAUUAAUUAAAUAAUUAAUUUAUUAAUAAAUUCAUUGUAUAUAAAUAUAAUAGUUAAUUAUUAUUAAAUAACACAUAAUAAAUCGCAUAAUAAAAUCUAAUUUGAUCGAUGUAUAAAAAAAUACAUAAUUUAAAUUGAGGAGUAAGAUUUUAGAAAUAUAAUGCGUAUGUGUAUAUAUAUAAAUUAAUUUUAUAAACAAAUUCUUUCAUUAUUUUAUUUCCUUCUAUUUUUUUAAAAUUAUUUUGAUAUAUUUAUCACAAAUCUUUUUUCGCAUAAAUCUUUAUAAAAUAAGUUGUCGUUUUAAUAAAUUUUAUUUAAAUAAAAUUAACUAUUAAAUUAUUUUUAUAUAACUUUUAUUUAAUUAAUAAUUAGACUUAUAAAAUUAUUUAAAAAUAUAAAAAACUAAAAUUUAUUAAAAAAAAUUUUAAAUCCGCAGCAUCGCGCGGGUAUUACACUAGUCAAACAUUAAAGCGCAUAAAAUUCUUUCUUUUUCAAUUUUUUUAUCAGAUCAACCAGCCUUCUCGGAGUUCGGAUUCUUCGCGUUCGGAUUCGGAUAGAGUUUCGGGUAUCCAUACCCGUUAACAUCCCUGUUAAUCAUAGCUCAACUUAUUAGAUCUCAUUCCGAUGCGUUUCUCAAAACUCCUUAGCAUGGUAUGUUUCUAAACCGAAUGGAUCUAAAACCCCUCGCAUCGUCACAAACCCUAGAGAUUUGAUUCGAACUGCGAGGGUUGGGGAUGGGAUCGAUCGAUCCAUCGCCUCCCUUUUCCCUCGCCAAUUCCCUUGUCCUCGUCCGCAUCAUCCUCCUCCUCAUUCUCCUCCAUGUCCCCUCGUCUCACUCCAUCUACUGCGACGAAGACGAUUGCUACGAUCUCCUCGGGUAUUACCCCCAGAUCCCCCUUUUUACGCUCUUUUUGGAUCAAUUAUAGCAAUUUUUGUAGAUAAAUAUGCAUUAGUUUCGAUCUUGGACCUUACCGCUUAAAUUUUAGAGGGAUUGUUGAAUUCGGAUGCAAAACUUUACCGAAAUGAGUUUUUAUAUUUCACGUUGGUUCUGCAUCUCUGCAUCUAAUUUUAGUUUCGGUAUCCAAAUUUGCGAUUUGUUGAGCAAUUUGUUUAAUUUAUAUGAUUCUGCUGUAUUAAAACGUCGAAAUUUGCGAUUUGUUGAGCGAUUUGUUUGAUUUAUAUAAUUUUGCUUAGAAUUAUGACUCUACUUUAUUAAAGCAUCAAAGUUUCUGAUUUAGUGAGCGACUUGUUUAAUUUUUAUGAUUCUACUCUAUUAAAACCGAUGACCCACACCGACUCAUUUUUAUAAUGUUCGUACCUAUUUGAGGCAGCGGGGAAGUACAGGAUGAAAUUAAUGUAAUAUUUUAUGCGGGAAAAAAUUUAUUGAUAUUCAGGCAAAACGCUUUUUUUUUUAGCAUUUACUUUUGUUUCUUGUUAGUGAUUCUUUUUUUAUUUUCUGAUAAUUUUGUUUCCUUCUUGUUCAUUUUUCAGGGUUACACAGAGCGCGAAUGCAUCGGAGAUUAAGAAAGCUUACUACAAGCUUUCCCUUAAAUAGUAUGUUGGUGGAAUUGACCUUUUUGUCUUGCUUAGGAUUUUAGUUGGUAUUAUUACAUCUACAUUCAAAACCUUUUAACUUUUGAUCAUCCUCUGUUUUUUCAGCCAUCCGGAUAAAAAUUCCGAUCCUGAGUCGAGAAAGCUGUUCGUUAAAAUUGCGAAUGCUUAUGAGGUUGGAAUCGACUUUUCAGUUUCUUUUUUUAUCUCUGGUAGGCGUAGGCAUAUGCAAAUUGCAUUUUUUGAGUAGUUUCUACUACUAAAUUGGUGAUGUAAUAUGGAGGAUUCGAAAGAUUAGUGUGAUUGGAUCUGCACACACUUUGUGGUGAGUGAGAUUCUGUUCUCUCAAUCGUGGCCUGCUGCAAGCAAUGGUGCUUGAAUUGUUUGGUAGCGAAAUGCUCUUGAACGCUAUUGUUCAUCAUCGUAAUCAUUGGGUGUGGGUGUGGGGAUCGAUAUUAAACAAAUGCAAGGCUUUGUCGAUCAGUCAAUUUAGCAGGACCUCAGACAUUGUGAGGAUCCAAUCUGUUUGCUGCGUACCAACCCAAGUCGAAGAAGUUAAAGCAAUGGUCAGUGGAGGGAGUUUGACAGUGAGAAGUAGGGUUAGCUUUUGUUAGGGGAGGCCUGCAGGCUUGCACAGAGUUGUCCAGAACGGUUGGUAAAUUUAAAAGGAUUGGAUAGUAGCAAAAGUGAGAGGCAAAUGGCGGUUUGUCGACAGGGAUGAGAAUAUCAGCAGAAGCAAAUGCUCGUUUUUGUUUCUCUCUUAGUUUCCUCUGACCAUCUAUUUGUUCCUGUUUCUCUAAGCAAUUCUUGUUCUCUUGGUAUGUCUAUAAAAAAUCUAUAUCUAUUUCUCUAAGUAUACCUACAAAACCAAGAAACUUAUAUGUGACAGUAGUAGUAGACAGAAAAGAGCAUAUGGUCUUUGUAGUAUCUGAAGUAAUAGAGGCCUUUGGUGUUCGUACGUCGACCUUAAGUUUAUGAAGUGACAACCCUAUGUUCUCUUUUUCGUCCCAUGAACUAAGUUUGUUGAUAACAAGUUUUUAUACCUUUUUAAUCUCUUACAUUUUUGUAUUUUAGUGGUGGUAACAAGAUUAUUGACCCUCUUUUGUACUUAACUAACCAGAUUUUGAGAGAUGAAUCCACAAGGGGGCAAUAUGAUUAUGCAAUUGCACAUCCAGAGGAGGUAACUUUUUGUUAGCAUUCUACAAAUUCUUGGUUACUCUGAAAUUGUCUCAACUAUAUGGCCUUCGAAUCACAUGCUUAAUAUUGUUGUCUAUAAGCUUCUAUAAGCUUCUCCUAAUUAAUAGUGUAUAGUCCGACGCUAGCUCUAGAUUUUGAUGUAUGAAGUUUUGUUUGGUUUCUAUUGGAAGAAGUGAUGUAUGUUUCCUUGUCAUUGUCUUUCUGAAUUGCAAGUCCUUGCAGUUGGUUCUGUGCAAGAUUCAAUUAAUUACUGGAUAUCUAUCAUAACUUAUCUGAUAUCUUUUAGCAUUAUUAGCCUUUUAUUUGCUACACUAUUGUAAAAAAGUGGUGUUCUGCUUAUGCAGAUACAGUUGCUUUAUUGCACAACGUAGACCACAUCUGCAUAUGGCUCAGACUCCUAGUAAUGAGCACACGAGCAAGUCGCCUAUUAUAUUGCAUUUUAUAGUUUUCCAUAUUGGCUCUUUCUCCAUAUUGCUUUGUAUUUGUAUCCUUUAUAAAUUAUCUACGUAAUUCGAUGGUUGAUUAUGCUAUUCAUGUUGUUCAUACCAGUUACUGGUGGCAUCUAUAAAUAUAGCCAUGCCAUCGUACUAGUGAUGCUGUGACAAGCUUUAUUUUGUUUCAGGUAUUUUACAAUACUGCCAGAUACUAUCAUGCAUAUUAUGGGCAUAAAACAGUAAGCUUCUUUGGUUGUUCUACUUUUAUACUAAUCUGUCGUGUCUAUUAAAGAAUGGUAUCGGAGAUGCACCUAAGCUUACCAAUUGUUUCAUAAUUUCUAUCUCGGUAGGAUCCCAGAGCUGUCUUGGUGGGCCUUCUAUUGGUUAUUUCAGCAAUGCAAUAUCUAAACCAGUGGACAAGGUACACACAGGUACUGGAAUAUAUAUUACCAAAGAAUGUUCAUUUAAUGCCUUGUCAAAUAUAAAGCUUUUACCUCGAUGUCUAUAAUUGCAUUUGUUUCCACUGCAUAGCACAUAUGGGAUAUGCAGGCCUGAGCAUAUCUUGGGUCGUCACUUAGAAUAUAUAUAAUGCGAUAGUUUUAACUUAGAACAUGUAUAUAAAAAGCGGGAAAAUUGGGGACUAAAACUGAAACUGUAUACUUGGAUGAUGUCAUGGGCCAUGGCGUGACCAUUUUGUCUAUUAAAAGCUCCCUUUUCUUUCAAGCAAAUUCAAAUGUAUGUAUAAAUUGUCUUUUCACAAAUGAGGAAAAUAAUUUGUGCAUUUUGGGGACUAUAUGAAUAUUGGUUUCUAUUUAGCAACAUUUUCUCUCACGUGUUCUGAUGUGAUUAACUGAAUGUGUAAGGGUUGUGCUUAUGAUACUUCAAAUCUUUUUUCUCUUUUUUUGCAGCAUUCCAUGUGGAAUAUUUAUACUUGCUUGACAUACAUUUUCUAUUUUCUUUAUUUGACAACAACUAGACAACUAAACAAAUGAUCCAACCCAUUUAAUUUGCUAUAGAAGGAUACUGACCAACUAGAUUCUUGUAUACUUAUUUUAGGCUAUUAGCAUGGUCAAGAAGACUCCUGCUUACCAAAAUAGAUUGAAGGCAUUGCAGCUCGAACGAACUGGGGGAAUAACAACCAAGAAGAAGGGUCACAAACAAAUGGACAAGUAUGAAUUUUCUCGAUCCUUUGAACACCACAGAGUUGAGCAAAUUUGAUACAUUUUAUUGUAGAUUUGGUAUCUUGGUUCUGAUACUUACAUAAUAAGCUGGAGUAUUUGUGAAGGUGUUUGAUUCUUGAAAUUUACGUUGCUUCUGGUUCACAUGCAGAAGUUCUCCUCUGUUGUUUUUUCAUGUAAUUGUUAGUUGAUAUAUAUCUCAAAACAGAGUCACUGCAAAGGUAGUUUUGGUUUUCUUCCCAACAAAAUGACUAUGAAGGGACUCUGAAAAGUGUAGCAUUUUCAUAAAAUUUUGACGCAAAGCAGAAAACAAUAAGUAAUGAAACAAAAAAGAUAAUUUAGUGAGAAAUUAUUUAGGACAGGCAGGAGAACUUAAGACUACGUAGCCGACUUAUGUGGAUAUCACUUAAUAUGAGAGUGCAUGCAAUCGUCGACUAAAGCCUAAGAUAAAGAACUUGCAAUCGAGUUUCUUGUAUAUCACCCUAUCUACUUGUAUAUUCUUAUGCUGUUGUUCCUGUUUUCUAGCUUAUGUGCUACAGUGCCUGAUUUACAGCUUUGUAGGUUAAAUGUGCUAAAUGCUCUAAGAAAUAUUAAAAUUUUGAAAUAUAUCUUUGAUGUGUAGCCGCCAGUUGAGAUCUGAUGCUUAAUUAUUCAUCCCAGGAAAAUGGAAGAGGAGCUUGGCAGUGAGCUGGAGUUACAAAUCCAGGGUGCUGACAAACCCUCUGUGUGGAAACUUUACGGUGUUCAAUUUGCGCUCUUACCUUACACUCUAGGAAAGGUUAGUUGGUUCCAUGGAAGCUAAAAUUGUUCUAUGACUUAGUAUUUGGUGUUUUGUUUUCUCAAGUAUGUAUUUUGCAUUUCCAGCUAUUACUCUGGAGAAUAUGUUGGCUUUGGAGUUAUCGGAUAAAGAAAUAUCCUUACUCAUGGGAUGAUGCUUGUUACUUGACUCGGACUCGUCUCAAAAUGCCUCCUAACAUAUGGGAUAAUAUGGGUAAUUAUCAUCAGGAAAUUUUAUGGAAUAUAUUUAGCAAAUUGUUGUACGCGCUAAAAUAAACAUCUGUCGAAGGAUAUGAUGCUUCCUCACAAAGUAUGUUACAAGAUAAGACCUGCCAUUAUUUUAAGUCGGAAUGAUGUCGGUAACGAAUCAUUUCAGACUCCAAACCAUUAUGCCUGAUGAAACUUCCAGUGUCAUCACUUCUCGUCUUAUGUUUCACGCAGACGACUCUGUCAGGAAUGAUCUCGUGUCGAGACGGCUGUGGGAGAAAGGCAACAUGGAGAGCUAUAUCGCAGACAUGAGGAAAGAGUCGAAACGCCGGAGAUAGAUAGUUUCUCGCACAGGUGCAGAACAAAAUGAUGAAGUCCGAGCUAAGCAGAUUUCCCUUUUCCACUGGGUCCUACCAUUCACUUUCGCUUCUUCAAUCCGAAUCCAACGCAAGGGAACGGAGCUUCAAAUGGGGCCCUAGUGCUUUUGUCAACACAUGAUGCGUCACAUGUAGCAAACUACAUACUAGAAGCAGAUACCGGUGGACUUAAAUCUCAAUGGGGAUUGAAUCUCAGAUAGUUUCUGCAUCUGUCUCCGAAGAUACAAGGUGUACUUACCACAAGUUCAGGUCUGUUCUGCUACGGCAGCCUGCAUCUUUUCUUUUCCCAUUUCCUCGUCAUAUUUUUAUCAUCGGUGCAGCUUGUGCCUGUUGCAUUCAAAGAUUAGGCCGCCGAUGAAGCUUUGGCAAAGUCGAAUUCACGAGUGCAUUCGCAUUGCAUGUUAAACUACAACAUAUUUAUUCUGGCUAUAGUAUAAUCUCCAUAACUGGAGUUCUCAUCAACAGAUUCUGCAGCUGUGCUGUUGUGUUAAAUCUAUACCUAUUUGUUGAUGAGCAGAGGCUUCUCCUUCCUGAAAUCCAAUUAUAUAUUUAUUUAUUUAUGCGCUUUUUUUCUUUCUGCAUUCAGCUCUUUUCAAAAAAUAAAUUUUACAAAUAAUUUUAACAAAUUUAUAUUUGCACAUACGGCCCUCUUUUUACCAUGAGAGCGUCAUGUUUGUAUUUUUAAGUUGAACACGGUGAAUGAAUCGUCGUGCUUAAACAUGGUGAUUGAAUCACUGUAUUCACAUCCAUACUCCAGUCCUUUGUAAAUACGGUGAUUGAAUGUCACCUAAACGCUUGCAUGACAACGAGAGGACUACUCAUGCAUGUAUAAAUUUGUUAGAAUUAUUUGUAUUUUUUUUUUUAUUGAGUUGACUAAUAAAUGUAAAAAAAAGUCCGAUAUUUAUUCAUUUCUGGGAAUUAUGUCUGAGCAUGGUAUUCCGCGACCUUCCAAAAAUGUCUAAUUAUAUAAUAAUAAUAAUAAUAAUAAUAAUAAUACAAUAGGGCUCAUGAUAUUUUGGCAAUUAAUAAUGGAUAGUAGCUCAUGAAGAGAAGCCAAACAUUGUGCGUACAAUCUUAACCCUUAAUUGAAAAAAUCUUUACAUAAAAAAAAAAAAAAAAAGAAAAAAAAAAGUGGAGAAAUUGAAAAGGUGUGGUACCCAUCUCUUUCCUUGGCUUUGUCCUGUAAUUGUGCCCCUUGUUCUUCAAAUUUCCGUUCAGCCACUAUUGUUUCUAAUGUACGUUGACAAAGAAUUGAUGGUUGAUAUUUUUUGUUUUCAAAUUUCGCGCUUCAGUAUUGAAUCUUUUUAGUGUAAGUGAUAAAAAAUUUGAUAAUUAAUACGUGAGAUUUUUCACGUUUCAAACCUUAUAUAUAUCUUUUUUAGCUGAAUUAUUUUUUAAAAAUAAAUAAAAUUUCGUGUUCAUCCUCAUACUUAAAUGUCCAUCUCCAUCAUCGAAUAAAAUGACAUGAAUCUUAAAACCACACAGCGGCAGACGAACGCACCGGUCCCCAUCAUUUUUUUUUUUUUUUUUUAUAAGGUGACCCUUAUAUUGGUUUUUUGAUUGAGACCUGAUUAAUAUUUCACUCUUUUAUUUGCAUAUUAUAUUUCUAUUAGGAAAUUAGAAAUUUUAUUAGUCAUCUAAGUCAGUUGCUGACCAAGAUCGUGCCCUCUUAAUUAACUAAAAUUAUUUUAUUUUUUAAAAAAAUCAAUUAGGAAAGUUUGUUUUUUUUUAGUUGAAAAGUUUGUUUCAAACCUGUAGGAUUUGUGCCCUUUUUUUUUUUUUUUUUUUUUUUGGUCCCAAGCAAAGAGUGAGAACAGGCUAAAAAUAAAAUAGUCUCCCUUUUUACACUUUUGCGAUGAUUAUUACGAGGGCCUUUGAAUAAACAACUUUGUGCAACUGCAAUAUUUGACCUACCAAACAUGAGGAUAAAUUAUGAAGAAAAUAAUAAUAAAUGAUAAUUAAAAAACCUACAAACUUAGGUAGAAUCCCAUAAUAGCUUUUAUUCCAAGGACUUUUUCUCUUUCUUUUGUUUUUUUUUGUUUUUUUUUUUGUUUUGCUUUUAUCCCAAAUAUGUGUCAUAAAUUUUUUUGCAUCCAAAAAACGUGAUUUAGUGCUUUUUCACUUUAAGAAACUUCAACCCUUCAAUAUCCGUUAAACUGACCGAUCGUCCCAGCGCAAGUGACAAACGGCUUGGUGGUUGAUACCCGAGGUCCCAAGUUCGAAUCCUAGUUAAAUCACAUUUUCAGCUAAGCUUAUUUCUAAAUGAAAUAAACGAAACGGAUAACAUGUUAACUAUCCGUUAAACUAGUAAUAAAGUUAAAAUUCGAAAAAUAAAACCACAGGAUAUUAAUUUGAUAUACUUUAAACCACAUGAUACUAAAAUGAGAAAGUGCGAAACCACAGGAGUUUACCCUAAAAAAAAAAAAAGACAAAAACAGUGCAGUUUCUGAACCUCCUCUUCUUUGUUUGUCCUUUGGAUUCCCAUGGAAAUUAUUGUCUACACCUUUUGUAUCUCACAAUAAAUAUUUUGAAAUUUAUAUUUUAAAUUGAAAUUAAAUUUAUUAUCUUNNNNNNNNNNNNNNNNNNNNNNNNNAAAUUGAAAGUGUGGGGUACCCAUCUCUUCCUUUGCUUGUCCUGUAAUGUGUGGCUCCUUGUUCUUCAAAUCUUCGCGUUUCACGCCACUUAUUGUUUUUUUCCUAAUGUCAAGUUGGACAAAGAAUUUGAUGUGUGAUAUUUUUGUUUUCCAAAUUUCGCGUUAUAAUAAUCGUUUUUAGUGUAAGUGAUAAAAAAUUUGAAUAAUUAAUACGUGAAUUUCACGUUCAACCUUAAUAUAUCAUAUUUAGCUGAAUUGUAUUUUUAAAAAUAAAAUAAAAAUUUGUGUUCAUCCUCUAUCUUAAUGUCCAUCUCCAUCAUCGAAUUAAAAUCGAACAUAAUCUUAAAACCAUAACAGAGCGGCAGACGGAAAAGCACCGGUCCCCAUCAUUAUUUUUUUUUUUUUUUAAAUAAGGUGGACCCUUAUAUUCGUCCUUUUUGAUUGAGACCUCUUAAUAUCUUCACCUCUUUUAUUGCGAUUAUUAUAUUUUCUAGUUAGAAAAUAAAAUUUUACUUAAGUCAUCUAAAGUCAGUUGCUGACCAAGAUGCGUGCCCUUAAAUAACCUACAAUUAUUUUAUUUUAAAAAAAUCAAAUUAGGAAAGUUUUUUUUUUUAAAGUUGAAAAGUUUGUUUCAAACCCUUGUGUAGAUUGUGCCCUUUUUUUUUUUUUUUUUUUUUUGGUCCCAAGCAAAUGAGUGAGGAACAGGCUAAAAUAGAAAUAUCUCCCCUUUUUUAACACUUGCAUGAUUAUUACGAAGGGCCUUUUGAAUAAACAACUUGUGGCAACUCAAUAAUUUUGACCUACGCAUAACAAUGAGAUAAAUUAUGAAAAAUAAUAAUAAAUGAUAAUUAAUAAAAAAACCUACAAACUUAGGUAAAUCCCAUAAUAGCUUUAUAUCCAAAAGGACUUUUUCUUGUACUUUCUUUUGUUUUUUUUUUGUUUUUUUUUUUGUUUUCUUUUAUCCCAAAUUGUCAUCAAAUUUUUUUUGCAUCCAAAAACGUGAUUUAGUGCUUUUCACUUAAGCAACACUCAACCCUUCAAUAUCACCGUUAAACUGACGCGAAUCUCCAGACGCAAGUGACAAACGCUUGGUGUUAGAUAUCCGAGGUCCGCAAGUUUGGAAUCCAUAGUUAAAAUCACAAUUUCAGCCUAAAAGCUUAUAUUUUAAAUGAAAUAAACGAAAGGAUAAACAUGUAUACUAUCCGUAAAACCUAGAAGAAAGUUAAAUUCCGAUAAAUAAAACCACCAAGGAUAUUAAGUUUGAUAUACUUUAAACCUACAUGAUAACUAAAAUAGAAGAAAGUGGCGAACACAGAGUUUACCACCUAUAAAAAAAGAAAAAAAGACCAAAAAAAAAAACAACGUGCAGUUUCUGAAGCCUCCUCUCUUAUGUUUGUCCUUUGGAUUCCCCGAUGGAAAUUAUUGUCUACACCUUUAUGCUAACUCACAGAAUAAAUAUUUUGAAAUUUAUAUUUAAAUUGAAAUUAAAUAUUAUACUUGCAUUAAACUAAUCUAACUUUCAAAGAAAAAAAAAAACCACAAAGGGGUGGAUUUCAACUAGUUUUUUUUUUUUUUUUUUUCGGUGGUUUACCCUAUUUUUCAAAUUUACUUUACAUUAUUGCUCUGCAGUUUUAUCUCUAUUUCACUAUAAAUAUUUAUUGAUAGCAUUUAAUAUAUUUUAAAAAUUAAAAGAUAAGUUAGUAGAUUACUAUAUUUUGCCACACCCUGUGAUUUAUUGAAUACGCUUUUUUACUAUCUUGUAAUUUAAAGAUUAAUUAUUUGACAAACUAACUUAAGACUAAACUGUUUAAAUUAGUAUAAAAUGAAAUUAUAAGUCGCAAAAACAAAAAAAACUUUUAAAUGAUAGGCCGAUGGUAAAAAUAAAAAUAUGCAAAAUUAUAAAGGGGCAAAUUCAGCCUUUGUUUGGCGUCGUUAUCAUAUUUUUUUUUUUUUUAAACUAAUUUAAUAUAAUUUGAUGAACUAGCAAAGAGAUUUUUCUGUUAUUGUUAUGACUGAUUAGUUUAAACCAAGUGAUAGAUGCCAAUAAUUUUUUAAAAAAAUUAGAAAGCGGAAAAAUAUUAUUUCUUAAUUAUUAUUUUUUGUUUUACAAAUCAAUAUCUUGAAUGAAAAAAUUAUAAACAAUUUACUGUCAACGAGCCGAACAUAAGUGAACUGGAGCCAGCUUCGUGUGCUCGGUCAUGUUCGUUCGUUAUUAAACGAGCCAAACGCAAGCUAGCUCGCGAAUUGCAAGUUAAUCGUCAGGGGUUGGAUGCAAAAUUGAAAGAAAAUUAAAAAAGUUAGAAUCUAGACCUAAUCAUUGAAAUUUACAAAAUAUAUAAAUCUCUUUGGUAGUGUUUGGUUCGGGAACAAGGGGGGGAAUAAGCCCUUGUUCCCCCCUUUGUUCCCAAACGCAACGUUUGGUUCCCGGGAACAGUAGUUCCCGGGAAUCUGGAACUAGCUGGUAUAAGGCUGGAACUGCUGUUCCACCCGUUUCCUGGAACAAGCUUGUUCCUGGAUGAGAACAAGAUUAAUUAAAAUCUAAAUUUAAUUUUAAUGGCAGUAAAUUAUUAAUUAAUCUAAUUAAUAUAUUUAAAUCAUUAUUUAUUACUUUAAUAAUUAAAUAAUUUAAAUAAUUUAUUAUUUAUAAUUAAAUAUUAAUAAUUAGAUAAUUAUUAUUAUUAAUUUAUUAUUUAUAAUUAAUUAUUUAAUAAUUAUUAUUAUUUAUAAUUAAUUAUUAAUAAUUAAUUUCUUAUUUAUUUUUAACUAAUAUUUUUAUUACUAUUAAUUACAUAAUAUAAUUUAAUUUCAAAUUAUAGCUCUUAUUCCUCUUGUUCCAAUCUAACCAUCCAAACACUAUUUGUCUUAUUCCUAGGAACAACCCAAUUUUCAUCCAAACGCAAAAUUGGUCUAGUUCCUGCUUAUACCUAAACUUGUACCUAUCCCUAGAACUAGCAGUUCUUACUUAUACCCGAACCAAACGCAGCCUUUAUAUUUAGAUUGGUAUAUUCAAGCUAUAUCAGCCGAACACGAGCGAUACUGUUAGCUCGUGCUCGACUCGCUAAGAUUUCGAGUUAAAAAAUUCAGUUUGUAUUCGACUCAUUUAUAAAACAAGCGAUCGAUCCCGCAUUUUGAACAUCUAGUUGGAUUGGGAGCCCUGUAUACCAAACAAGUACUUUAAAUUUUAAUUAAUUUUAAUUUUAAAGCUUUUACAAUAAAUUUUUUGUGAGUACGGUGUACGGUGGACCGGGUGCAGGCAAUAAAUGGCUGGUCCGGUUCUCAUGGCGAGUUACUGCAGGCAAUGUCCGUCGCAGACGUGGUGCGAUAUUUACUCUCCCACCUUCCCUCUCUUUUUCAUUUUUUUUUUUUAAAAGAAAAAAAAUAAAAACCAAAUGUAAUAUUAAAAAAAAUAGGAGGUGUAAAAUGAAAAAAAAACAAAAAAAAAAAACAAAAAGUGAAAGGAAAAGCCACCCAACCACUAACCAUUAAGCCCAGCACGCAUGCGCCCUCCACAAUCAAUACAAAGAUAAGGUAGAAAAUUUAUCAGUAGUCCCUGAUCUAUCCCAAUAUUGCAACUCGGUCCAUAUACUUUUUAUUUAAUAUUGGUAAGAACAUAGAGAUAUUAUUAUUACAUAAAUUAUGGAUCAUUUUGAAUCGAUUAGUCAAUUUUUUUAAAUUUUAAUUUUAACGAACUUUUUUGAAUCGACUAACCAACCUUUUUAAAUUUUAUUUUAAUUAAUUUAAUAAAUUUAUAAUUACGAAAAUUAUAUGACGUAAACACAUUCAAAUUUUAAAGUUCAUAGUUCAGAUACGUUCUUUAUGUUUUUACUUAAUAUAUAUAAUGACUUCUCCUUUUUAUUAUCUAUUUAAUCUCAAAUAUAAUAAUUGUAUAUUUAUUUUCUUUUAAUAAGCAGGAGCUACGGAUCUGUUUAAAUACUUCAAAAUUUUACCGUCAAGUAAUAAUUUAUUAUAAUAUAUGAUUAGCGAAUCUCAGUAUUAUAGUAGUGAAAAAUUAUAGAAAUUUAUAAAUUUGAAUUACGAAAUUUUAAGAUACACGAAUUGUACGCUGGUACUCUAAAAAGUCAUCUAAACAGUCCAAUAAUAUGAAUUUUUGGAAAACAAGAGUUAAAAGUAGAGACUAUAUAUACAAAUUUAAAAAUUAUAGGUUUAGUCUUAUAAAUAUAGUGACUAAAUUGCUAUAUUAAAAAACUAUAGGGACCAUUCGUGCAUUUUAACUCUUCUUUGCCUUUUGCUUGCUCACCACCGACCUUCCCCCUCUCUAUCUCCCUCACUACUUUUUAAAAUAUAAUAAUAAUAAUAAUUUUUUUCUCUUGCAAAAUAAAAUUAAAAUAAAAUAAAAUAAUUAUAAAUUAUAAAAUUAUAAAAAUAAAUAAUAUUCUCUCCUUUUUCCCAUUCCUUUUUUUCACCAUUCAUACUUAGGGGUGGAAACGAGCCGAGCUCGAGCGAGCUUAUGUCAACUCAAAUUCGGCNCUCUCUCCAUUUAUCACUUUUUCUUAAAUAAAUAAAUAAAUAAAUAAAUCCAAAUUAGGAGUAAUAAUAAUCACAUAAACUAAGAUUUAAACUAAAUAAAAUUUGAUUUAUUUUACUCCUCUCUUUUUUCUUUUUUUCUUUUUUUCUUUUCUUUUUUUUUGCUGUGUAAAUAUAAAUAGUGUACCCAUUUUUCUCCAACAUAGUAGCAGUGUUAGUGGUAGUAAUUGUACGAGGAAGAGGAAGAGGAAGAGGGGGAGCUCGUCGUCGGGGAGGAACCCGGCGAGGCGCGGCGGAGGGGCGGAGGAGGAGGCAGCGGCGGCGGCUGCGGCGGCGCUCCGGCGACAGGGGCGGCGGAUGAAGCCGUUCGAGCACGUCGGGAUGAUGUGGUUAUCCGCCCUCACCGCCGCCGCGUUCGCGCUCCUCCUUUGCCUCGUGUACUUGAGCUACGGGGGCGGAGGAGGAGGAGGUGGGGGGAGGGGGAGGUUGGGGAUCGAGUCGGAGGAGAAGGGGACGAGGAGCGGCGGAGGAGGCGAUGGUGGUGGAGGAGGAGGAGGAGGAGGAGGAGCUAGGGUUUGCGAUGUGUUCGAUGGGAGGUGGGAGUUGGACGAGGAGAGUUAUCCGCUGUACGAGUCCAAGGAUUGCCCCUUCUUGGACGAGGGUUUCCGAUGCUCCGAGAACGGGAGACCCGAUCGCUUCUACACCAAGUGGGGGUGGCGCCCCUCCCACUGCGACCUCCCCAGGUUCCUCUCCCCCAUACUUUAGAGCUCAUCUUCGUAUUUUGAUUAAUGGUUGGUUUAGAUAAUGGAGUUGUUGUUGCUGUUGCUGUUGUUUAAUCCUUUGAUGAUGAAUGGGCUCUCAAAUUCCGGUUCAAACAUAUAAUUUAAGGCUCAAUUGUUUAGUGAUUUGUUAUGGGGAACUCAGAUUAGGUUUUUGUGGGAAUUGGGAAUUAUGAUUUGAUUUUGCGUUUGUUGGCACAUAAAAAUUGAAUUUAUAUAUAUAUAUAUAUAUAUAUAUAUAUAUAUAUAUAUAUUCCGAAAUUUGAGGCCUAGAAGUAAUGUUCUUUGAUGGUUUAGGGACAAAUCUUUUGGGUGGGUAAAAAGUAUAUUAGAUUAUAUGAACAUAUUCUGUGUUUCCUCAAUUGAUUCGUUUGCUUGGUCAUAUUAGUAAAAUUAAGUAUUUUGUAGGUUGAAUUCGUUAUUUCUCUUUCGUUGUUAAAAUAUUCUCAAAUGACCCAUUAUUAAAAGAGGUGUUCUUAGGCCACUACUUGGAAACUUCACCCAUGUGUAUUCAAAUGCUUCAUCUUUCUUGGAACAUUUAUUAACGUUUGUUUAGUUAGAUAAUUAGAUUGAUGAGAUCGAGGGGGGACAUAUUAAACCUAUCCCUUCUAUCAGGUUCUUCUUGUCCCUUUUACGGAAUCUUGAGCUUCGGAUAUUUUUAAUAUGUAAUGUGAAUUAAAAUUUGUUGGUUGGUCCAAGCACAUUCAGCUCAUUUUGACUAACCUUGUGGUUAGUCUUAGAAGUUUUGGGCUUAUUCCUAAACGGCCGUUUUAAUUUAUCUUUUAUCAUUUUGGCCCACAUUUUUGCUCAGUUCUAUGGACUUUCUCUUUCAAUGAAGGUUUCACUAUCUUAUAAUGGCUUCUAAUUUCUUAAAAACAAAAAAAAAUUAUUUUUGAUUUUUAAUUUAUUAUGUUAUAUGAGUUUUUAGUUUUUGUAGUUUCCGGAUGCCUGCAUCUCCUUGUGAAUUUUUGGUAGUUUCAAGUAUCUCUUCUUUUAAAUCAAAGUUGACUAUUUCUUUUUAUUUUGUCGGAGAAAUUUUUCUUCGAUGAAAUUGAACGGUAAUUCUGGUUUUCUUAGUUAGUUUUCCUAUUAAGUUAAAUAGUGGUAAGAAAUAUUUGUUUCUUCCAAAAAACAAUGGAGUUACAGAGGGGAUUAUUGCAAUUACAUUGUUUCAUUUUCCACAGUUAACUGCAUAUUUUCGUCUAGGAAAACUGCUUAUUCUGUUCGGCAGCUUGCAUUUUUCUUUUUUCUAUUAUAAAUUUUUUUCUGGCUUGUUGUAAACAACAUUAAAACACUUGUAAGCCUUACUAGAAUGUAUUUGAUGCUACUGUGCUAUUAAUUUGAAACCGGUUAUUAGGCAAGUACUUUGUCAAUUAGUGAAAAAUCCGUGCCUGUUAAGUGUUUAUUGCAUUGGUUUUACGAUCGCAUACUGGUUUCAUAUUUCAAUGGGAGUUAAGAGGAUAUUCCCUCUAAAAUCUUCCUUUUUCCCUUUGUUUCCGUUGGCUAAGAUUUAAUGCAACGAAGAUGCUGGAGUUGCUGCGAAACAAAAGACUGGUAUUUGUAGGUGACUCUAUCGGGAGAAACCAAUGGGAGUCCCUCCUUUGCAUGCUUUCGACUGCUGUUCCAGACAAGAAUUCAUCAAUCUAUGAAGUCAACGGCAAUCCAAUUACGAAGCAUAUGGGGUUCUUGGUGUUCAAGUUCAGGGAUUACAACUGUACUGUGGAGUACUACAGAGCCCCUUUUAUUGUGGUGCAGAGUCGAGCCCCAGCUGGGGUGCCCGAGAAGGUUAAGACCACACUUAAGUUGGAUGUCCUGGAUUGGUCGUCUCCCCACUGGAAGGAUGCCGAUGUGCUCAUCUUUAAUACUGGACACUGGUGGAACUAUGAGAAGACUAUACGAGGGUAAUCAUAUAUUUUUUUGCUUCUUCAGAUUAUUUAAAUCUUUCUCUGUUAAAGAGUUUUAAGUACCUACGCAUAGUUAACUUCAUUAUGGUUUAUGGCAUUUGCAUGCUAUGUCAUUUGAGCUGCCUAAUUUAUCAUCAAUUGUUUCAGUUUCAUACAGAGUCUGGACAUAGUGUACUUUGUCUUAGAAAUGCUAUGAUAUAUUUUCUUCGAAGGAUUUUAUACAAAGAAAGGUUACUGGGAAGAGGGACUACAUUGCACUUACUUUGUUGAAUAGCUCCAUUUUCAUUUUUGUUCCUAUUUAUCUUUUCCUUAUAAUUCACCAAUGACAUUACAUAAACCAUGACUUAUUGGUUGGAACCGUCAUUGAAGGAGCACUACAUGUGGGCUUUGGCUGCCGUAUUAACUUUUGACUUAUUGAACUCAAUCUUUUUGCAACCAGGGGUUGUUUCUUUCAAGAAGGAAAUGAGGUUAAGAUGAGAAUGAGCGUGGAUGCUGCUUAUGAGAGAGCAAUAGAGACGGUUUUUAAUUGGAUUCAGAGAGAGGUUAAUAGAAGUAAGACUCAAGUCAUCUUCCGCACAUAUGCUCCUGUACAUUUCAGGUUUGUACCAAUGAUUAGUUAAUUGCUCUUUCCUCUUUCAUUUCUCGCUGUGUUACUCUCGACUUAGGCUUAGAAUUGUGUUGUCAAAUAAUGCGCCGUGCGAUUUAGUUGUUCUUUUUCUUCUCUUUAGCUUAUUACUAAAGUACUUGUCUUGGAGGAGGCUUAUCAUAUAAUUAUAUCGGCAUAAUGUGCAGUAUAUAGGCUUAGCUCUUAUUUAACCGUUUUGAUUGAUGUCGCAAUAGAUUUAUACCAUUUAAAGUAAUACAAGUGAACAUAAAAAUUUAAAUUCUUUGCCGAAGUGUCUUUUUAACCUCAUAAAAUGAUUUCAUGUCAAAAUCUUUGCCUCCUUAGGACCUUUCAUAAUUUUACGGUCUGAUCAAACUAUUUUUAUAGUAAUUUGUGAAUCGAUAAUUCCCAUUGAUGAAAAGGAGGAAAUAAAGGUGCCUCAUUGUUAGAUGCGACGAAAGUUUUGAGAAAUACUUAUAAGCUUCAAGCGUCGCCCAAAUGGUUGAUUAAUGUUGGUUAUCGGCAGCAUCUCUAGUUCUCUUUAGUUGCCCUCAAGUGCUCCAUCCACUAAUGUUGUCCUAUCAAUGAGACCAAUGGGUGGACCGCGAAAACUCUUUUGCCAUAAUAUAUCUGGGCUCUGAUUGUCAGUUUAUUCCGUGAUGUUUGAGUUCAAUUUCAUAUAUGUCCUCAAAACUUUAACUUCGAAAUCCAGAUUCUAGUCAUAUGCAACUUCCUAGGGGCGUUAUCCGCACCGAAAAUAACAUAUCCAACAUAAAGUUGCACAAUAAUACUCAUCUGUUAUGCUUGGUGAACAAGGUGACCUAUAAUUGAUUCUCUAGGUAAUUAUUCCAGAUGACAGGAACUCGAUUUGUUCUUUCGUUGGUUCAUUCUCCAUAUCUGUCGCAAAUUGGAUUUGAUCGGUGAUGACGAUAACCUCGGUGGCCAAAUGUGCGAAAAAAAACUACAUUUCACUUGUGCUCAGCGAUUUUCAUUUACUGUUUAGUGUCUGACACAAGUUCCUCACUUGCAGAGGUGGCGACUGGAAAAUGGGAGGUAGCUGUCACAUGGAAACGUUUCCAGAGCUCCUUACUAAGCCGUCGACGAAGCCGUGGGCUCGCCUGCUGAAACCGUUCACGAACUCUACUAAGUCCGGCGGUGGUACCACCGUGCCGCUCGAGCUCGUGGAUGUGCUCAACGUGACCGAAAUGACGGCUCAGCGGAAAGACGGCCAUCUAUCCGUAUUUUACCUCGGCGCGUCUUCGGGCCCGGCCCCCCUCCACAGACAGGACUGCAGCCACUGGUGCUUGCCGGGCGUGCCCGACGCGUGGAACGAGCUACUCUACUACCUUAUCCUCAAAAGGGCGGAUCGAUCUGUAAUCACCUGGCGAACUUCUUAGAUGCAAUAAUAAAUUCGCCAUUGAUUCAAGUUUAGUGAGAGUAGAAGCUACGUUCGCCGUCGAGAUACCCCUCCUGGCUCAAUUCCCGGAGAACAGCUUCUCUUUGGGCGGGAACAUCCGAAAUGUAGACCACGGCCGAGCGGUUCUUCGCGGUCGAUGACGGAAACGAGAACAGUUCUACCCUUGCUGAAACUGAAUCGCAGCUGAAUCACAAUUUCGUUGAUCUGAACACCACCGCCGCUGCUGUGUCUCCGUACAGAAUUACCAGUACAGUUAAUCUUGUCUGAGCAUGCUUCGAGUCGUCAAUCAGUGAUUGCAAAAUUUCUUCUUCAUUUUUUUUUUUUUUUAAUUCUUAUAGUUUUGUUUCUGCUGCAGGGCUUGUUAGUAGCAAGCUACAAAAUGGUAGCCGUGUAUAGAGAAAGCAAUAGCGUGAUACAUCAGAAUUUUAAUUAUAGAUUCACCUUUGUAAAUGGAUUCAAGUUCACAUGUUUUUAGAAGGUGUUUGGUUUUUCGUAUAUAUAUUUUUUAAAAAAAGUGUAGUGACUUAAUAAUACGUACAAUUUGAAACAAGUGGAGGGACAAAUUGACCUAACUAUAUUUAUUUAUUAUAUAAAAUUAAAAGUUAAUUUAAAAUGUUAGCGCUCGUCAAUCUAAGCUUGACCCGUUACGACCCCUCCCCACCCUUCCGCGCCGUGCGCGACGCGUGCGAAGGUCCCGCCACGUGUGUCACACAUUCGCGCCACGCGUCCCCACACGCACCGCCCCUACAAUCUUCGCACCUCGUUAUAAAAUCCUUCCCUCUCUACGCUCUUCGCACUCACAACCCUUUCAAUUUUGAUGCUCUCAUCAUCUCUCGCAGUUCACAAGAGAACUCCACUAAUACUCGCCGCCGCCGCUGCUUCUGCUGCUUCUGCUUUUCAUCUUUCAUCUUCCCAUCUCUACACAAACAGCAUUGCUGCUGCUGCUGCUGCUCGAAGCUGCCAUUUUCGUGCGGCGAAGAAAAGUAGUGGUAGAGAGAUUUAUCGCGAGAAUUCCGCGGGUGCGCCGCGGCGACGGCCUUCUUGUUCUCCAAGAGGAGAGGCUUUUGCGGUCGCGAGAAGCUGCAGCAUGGCUUCGGGGGGCGCCGCAGGCAGCCAGAAGUUCCCGCCGCAGAUGCAGGAGCGGCAGCCGGGCAAGGAGCACGCCAUGGAGCCGACGCCGCAGUACACUUCCCCUGACUACAAGCCCGCCAACAAGCUCCAGGCCUGUUCCUACAUCUCUCUCUCUCUCUCUAUUAUACGAAACUUAUCUGAAUUAUUGACUAUUUUGAAUCGCCGGCUAUUCAGAUUCUCUAAUUUGUUUGAUUUGAAACCGUCAAUAAUUUUUUAAUUUUAAAAUUAAAAAUUUAAAUCAAAUAAGAUUGAGAAAAUUAAAAUUUGAAAGAUCUGAAUAGUUCUGUUCUAUACGGUGGUGCAAUUGGCAGGGGAAGGUGGCGGUGGUGACGGGGGGCGACUCCGGCAUCGGCCGCGCCGUCUGCUACUGCUUCGCGCAGGAGGGCGCGACGGUGGCCUUCACCUACGUCGAGUCGCACGAGGACAAGGACGCCAAGGACACGCUGCAGAUGCUCCGGGACAUAACGAAGAAGCACGGGACGACCGCCCACGCGAAGGAGCCGAUGGCGAUCCCCGCCGACCUCGGCUGCGAGGAGAACUGCAAGAGGGCGGUCGACGAAGUCGUCGGCGCCUACGGCCGCGUCGACGUCCUCGUCAACAACGCCGGCGAGCAGCACGUGAAGGAAUGCAUCACCGAGAUCACCGCCGAGCAGCUCGACCGCGUCUUCAAGACGAACAUCUACUCCUACUUCUUCAUGGCCAAGUACGUAGUUCAAUGCAACCGAGCUGAACUGUUGAAUAUAAAUAUUAAAAAUACCGUUCUCUGACAGCUUAAACAUGAUAUCUGUUUGUUUGUUUGUGUGUACGAAGGCAUGCGGUGAAGCACAUGACGGAGGGGGGGAGCAUCAUCAACACGACGUCGGUGAACGCGUACAAGGGGAACGCGAAGCUCCUCGACUACACGGCGACGAAGGGGGCGAUCGUGGGGUUCACGCGCGGCCUGGCGCUGCAGCUGGCGGAGCGGGGGAUCCGCGUGAACGGCGUCGCCCCGGGGCCGGUGUGGACGCCGCUGAUAACGUCUUCCUCGCCUCCUUCGCCGACUCCUCCUACAUCUCCGGCCAAGUCCUCCACCCCAACGGUAUGUUUAUGUUUAUGUUUAUGUUAUGUUGCCAUUGUGUAUGUAUUUCUCAUAUAUACAAAUUAACAUUCAUUCCGGUUACGUGCAAUGCCGAUUUCAUAUUAGGGUUAAUUGCGAAUAUGUCCUUACAAAUAUAAUAAAUUAUAAUUAUUUCUCUUUAAAGUUUGACGUUUAGCAUUUAUAUAUAUUUUGUUUCUGUAAAGGCCCUAAUAUUUUUAAAUAUGUUUGGCCGUUACAAUUCGUUAGAAAAAAUUUGUUAAGCAUAGAAUAAAUACUCAACCAUGGUUAGUUUACGAGAUAAUUUGAUAUUUUUUACUACUGGUAUAUUAUACUAUUGUGGUUUUUUAAAAGACAUAUUUGUGAUAAUAAAAUUAAAAAUAUAAAUAUUUGUUUAAUCUUUUUUAAUGGUAACAAAUCAAAAGGAACAUGUUUAAAAGUAUGAGAACUUUUAUAAGAACAACAUAUAAAAAUUGAAUUUUAUUAAAAUAUAUUUGUAAUGUACUGUGCUUGUAGGGAUUAAAGGACUUACAUGCAUUUAAUCCUUCGUCUUAUAUACGUUGAACUUGUACAAGUUGGAUGAUAUUAAAUAAAAAGAAUAUAAAGCAAAGAUGUAUACAUUUGCAAUAAUAUAUAUAUAUAUAUAUACACACACACACGUAUGUAUGUAUGUUGUUGUUGUUGUGUACAAUAUUUUGGGUUCAUUUUCUUAUGUGGAUUCUCUGCUGCUGCUUGUUGCAGGUGGUGUGAUUGUGAAUGGCUAGAGAACAAAGUGUUCAGCAACACCUGUAAAGGUUUAAAGUUCGAGAGAGGGAGUUUUUGGUUUUAAUAAUAUGUAUGAUAUGGAAUAAUAAUAAUUAUUAUUAUAAUAAUAUUAUUAUAAAUCUAGUGACAUGUGGACUAAAAUAUAAUGUUUCAGCUAUGUUGGUUUGUUGUUGUAGUUCUCAAAUUGUGUGUCAAUUAAAUAUGGUGUAUGGGCAUAAUAAGUAAAGUUGUUAUCAAGAAUCUCUUUUCCUUUUUUUUUCUCCCUAGAUUGUAUGUGAAUUGGUACUAAAUUUAAAAUUUCGUUGUCAUUCAUUUGUUUUCAGUCAUGAAUUUUUCAAAUCGAUGAUCGACAUUAUUGAAUAUGAUCUAUAUUACUUGAAAUAUUUAAAAAUUAAAUUUUAUAUAUUUUUUUUAAUAUUUGUUUUUUUUGUCCAUCAAGUGGAUAAAAAUAAACGGCUGAAAAUGAUAUCUUUUAAUCUAUAAAGAACUGAAUGUCAGUCAUGAGCAGCACUACAUCUGAAUAAUUCAUCUUAAAUCCUCUCAACAAUUAUAUUCAGUAAACCUGAAGAUCCCCUAUACUUGUACUGUAAUAAUACAGUUUCCUUGAGCCAUUAAAGAGAAUGAAAGAAACAUGAAUUCUCUGACAUAGAAAGGAUAUGAAUAACCUCUCUCUCUAUCUCCACAAUCUAGUGGAAGAUGGAGGCAACAAAACCGAAGAUCUAAGAGCUGCUAUUCUAAGCAGCACUUUCCGGCUGCCGCGUUCUCUCUUCUCGUAUACCACUUCUUACUUUCUGCAGUCGCUUCGACAGACGCCUUUCACUAUCGAAACUAGGCGGCGGGAGAGUGCACGGGUAAGUAGGAGACGGAGAAGCGGCCGACCGUUCCAGGAACUGCCUCUGCUGCUCGUCUGCGACGCAGAGAAGGGAGUCGACGCAAACUUCUUGCGCUGACGGAGGCGGGGUCGGCUUGAAGUCCAGCAGUUUCGAGUACUCCACUAUGAGGUGGUACAUGUAGUCGUACACGCGAUCCAUGUCCAAGUCCUGCAUCAGUUUCUGUCCCCGUUUUCCGAUAGCUUCCGCCUGUUUGUUUCAUUAUCAUCCGAGAAUCUCACAACAAAUGCAGUAGUAUUGACUCGCAAAAUAGAGAUCAUAUUUCAUAUCUGAUGUUAGCAUCUGAAAAAUGAUGUUCGUUUGUGUGGCACUUUUCCGUAAAGCAGGUAAACUAACAGAAUAAUUUCGUCGUCAGAAGCUGUAAACUUAACUUCGAGGACGCAAUUGAGACGGCCGUCGCAAAGUUUUUCAAGAACUAAACUUGCAGUUAACCACUGACACAAGCAUCAGAAAUUGCAGUUUGCUAUAGAAGCUGCUUAGCAAGAUUAUCAGGUUGAGCAGAUACAAACAAUAAGCACACUGCUCGACUUCGAGAACAGAUGAAACUGACCAAAAAUUGUAAGUACCUGGGACGGGUGCGCGUUUCCCCAGUCGACCGCGGACUUUAUGGAUCGACACAAGUCGGCGGAGCUGACGGGCCAAUAGUUCUCCUUCGGAACCAGGCCACGGCUGAAGAAAUCUUCGUACUGGGGAUCGACGACGAAGGCUAGAGAUCCACAAGAGAGAAUGUAUUUCAAGCUAACCGACCACGCGUAACCCUCGGCGUAAAUCUUAUAGCUGCGAAAGGAUCAUUAGAAAUAAGAUGGGCUGCGCAAACGAAAAGAAGUUGAAUAGUUUCAUUCGCUAGUAGCUAAGACCGACCGGUGGUUGCAUUGGCUCGAAAGCUUAGAUUUCUGAAAACCGGAGCUCGAUUCUUCGCCCCAAUCCUGCGAAGGGAUAAGAAGACGCAUUUAGCCACAUCAAAUGGCCAAAUUGGCGAGAGAAAUUGCAGUGAUCAGCACAAAUUAAGAUCCAAUAUCGAUACUUGACGCAUAAUUCGGGCUCCCCAUGUCUUAGAGUCAUUACAGCUUAGCAGCGCCGUCCUUACGGGGGAUUCGACAUUUGGGUUUCCCUUCCAAUAUGCGGUUUUCGCCCUCUUCUUCCAUUUCACGGCUUGAGCACCGAGCUUUAUGCUUCUGAACUCUUCGUUCCACGGUUUUAUGUUUAUCUCCGGCCUGCACAACCGUUUGCGUACGAAAAGUGAGAUUUGCAGGGUAGUUUCUUACUUACUGCGAAGAGCUGACGAAAACGCAUCAGGCGACGAUCGUUUUAGAAUUACAACCAUUCCUUUUACGAAGUUUUCGAAUUACCGACGAAUGCGAAUCGGAAUGAAUUUCAGUAAAGCAGGCAACAAAGCAGUAUAUCAUAUAUGCAUUAUUGAAAGAUUCAUACAAAAAUUGCAUCUUUGUGUAGAAUAAUAAUUCGAGAAUUCGCAAUGCUUACCAACCCCAAAAGGACCAAUCCGGAAAGGGAAUGUCGAAAUGGUCCUUAGUGGUGCAGUAUCGGAACAGCGGCGGGGGGAUCGGGGCGUCGGGAUCGUUGCUGCGGUAGUCGGAUCGGUUGAUCGCGGGGCGAUCCAUGCAGUCGAACAUGAGAUCGGCGUCGGGGAGGAUGCCGGGGUAGCGGCGCAUCAGCUGCAGGAUCCCCCACACGGUGAAGAGGGCGCGGCUCUGGACGCAGGNAUAAGAAGACGCAUUUAGCCACAUCAAAUGGCCAAAUUGGCGAGAGAAAUUGCAGUGAUCAGCACAAAUUAAGAUCCAAUAUCGAUACUUGACGCAUAAUUCGGGCUCCCCAUGUCUUAGAGUCAUUACAGCUUAGCAGCGCCGUCCUUACGGGGGAUUCGACAUUUGGGUUUCCCUUCCAAUAUGAGGUUUUCGCCCUCUUCUUCCAUUUCACGGCUUGAGCACCGAGCUUUAUGCUUCUGAACUCUUCGUUCCACGGUUUUAUGUUUAUCUCCGGCCUGCGCAACCAUUUGCGUACGAAAAGUGAGGUUUGCAGGGUAGUUUCUUACUUACUGCGAAGAGCUGACGAAAACGCAUCAGGCGACAAUCAAUCGUCUUAGAAUUACAACCAUUCCUUCUACAAAGUUUUCGAAUUACCGACGAAUGCGAAUCGGAAUGAAUUUCAGUAACAUUAUUGAAAGUCAUAUAUGCAGGGCAACAUUAUUGAAAGAUUCAUACAAAAAUUGCAUCUUUGUGUAGAAUAAUUCGAGAAUUCGCAAUGCUUACCAACCCCAGAAGGACCAAUCCGGAAAGGGAAUGUCGAAAUGGUCCUUAGUGGUGCAGUAUCGGAACAGCGGCGGGGGGAUCGGGGCGUUGGGAUCAUCGAUGCCGCCGCCGACGUCGCUGCGGUAGUCGGAUCGGUUGAUGGCGGGGCGAUCCAUGCAGUCGAACAUGAGAUCGGCGUCGGGGAGGAUGCCGGGGUAGCGGCGCAUCAGCUGCAGGAUCCCCCACACGGUGAAGAGGGCGCGGCUCUGGACGCAGGCGUAGUAGAGGUCGACGAAGAGGCGGCGGCCGCCGCCGGCGACGACGACGCGCAUCGCGGCGCGCCGCCGCGCGUCCUCGAGGAGCGCGGCGGAGAUCCGCGCUCGCCGCCACGGGGCGAGGUCGCGCCGGAUCGCGCGGAAGAAGCCCGGGCACGCGGGGCGCGGGCGCGCGGGGUCGGGGGCCGAGGAGGAGGGGAUUUUCCGGCGAGCGACGGCGGAGGAGAGGGGGCAGGAGAGGUAGGCGCAGCGGAGGAGGGAGAGGUUGGGGUUGGGGUUGGGGUUGGGGUUGGGGCGGGGGAAGGGGUGCCAUGGGGUGGGGGCGAGGUUGUGGCCGGUUAGGGUUGGGGUGCGGGAGGAGAGGGAGGAGAGGGAGGAGGUUAGGGUUUGGAGGGAGAGGAGGAGGAGGGCGGCGGCGGCGAGGAGGAGGGGGAGGAUGAGGCGGCGCUCCACGCCGCCGCCGGCGGCGGCGGCGGAGCUUCUCGUCGGCGACGGAGAAGACGACGCCAUUGACGAGCUUGAGUCGACCGUUGGAAGCUAAAAGCUUCGUAAUAUUUGGAACAGGACUACACGAGAGAGGGAGAAGGCGCUUUAGCUCACAAGCCCCUCUUAGUUUACAUAUUUACAGUUUCACUCCAUCCUUUUGGUUUCCAAAGUACACGUAAAAUUGCGUAGGAGGCCUCUAAUAUUCUAAUUAUUGUAAUUAGGGUCUUUGCCGCUUAACCAAAUUUUAACUAAGUUUCUAGUCCCUCUAAAUAAGACGUGUAUACUAAUAUUUAUUUUUAGUAUAGAGAAUCAUAAUUCAUUAAGACAUUUUAUUUAUUGAAGAAGUGUCACAUAAAUUUAUUAACAUAAUAAUUAAAUCGAAUAGUUUAAAGAGUCAAAAUAUUUUUUAAAUGUACCACAUAUGGAAGGAACAUUCAUCAAAAAUUUCAAAUUAAACUAAAAAUAUAAAAUUAUACGAAUAUAAAAAUAUCUAUAAAAGAAUAUUAAAAGACGAAAGUAUUAGAAUAAAAGAUAAAAAGUGGUUGCAUAAAAUUGAGUACAAACUUAGCCUCAAAGAAAAUUAAAAUAUGAAAAUUAAAAAUAUCUAUAUCUUGAACCCUCUUGCAUACUGUAUUUUUUUACACAAAAUGAUUUUACCAUUCAUUAGUAGAAGAAUAAAAUUAGAAAUUUUCAAUAUGAACAAUUUAGAUGUAUCAAUAAUAAAAUAAUUUUGCGUAUAAAAAAAUUAUAUGUAUAGAACUGUACAAAAACUGCGCCUCUCUUUUUUAACCUAAAAACUAAAUAUAUAUAUUUCUAUGCGAUUGAUAAAAACCUCUAACCUUUUAAGAUGACACACAAAUAACAACAACUGGGAUAAAGUAACUUGUGCUCCUUAAUUAAGUGAGGAUGCAANCGGCGGCGGAGCUUCUCGUCGGCGACGGAGAAGACGACGCCAUUGACGAGCUUGAGUCGACCGUUGGAAGCUAAAAGCUUCGUAAUAUUUGGAACAGGACUACACGAGAGAGGGAGAAGGCGUUUUAGCUCACAAGCCCCUCUUAGUUUACAUAUUUACAGCUGCAAUCCAUACUUUUGGUUUCCAAAGUACACGUAAAAUUGCCUAGGAGGCCCCUAAUAUUCUAAUUAUUGUAAUUACGCUCUUUGCCGCUUAACCAAAUUUUAACCCAGUUUCUAGCCCCUCUAAAUAAGACGUGUAUACUAAUAUUUAUUUUUAGUAUAGAGAAUCAUAAUUCAUUAAGACAUUUUAUUUAUUGAAGAAGUGUCACAUAAAUUUAUUAACAUAAUAAUUAAAUCGAAUAGUUUAAAGAGUCAAAAUAUUUUUUAAAUGUACCACAUAUGGAAGGAACAUUCAUCAAAAAUUUCAAAUUAAACUAAAAAUAUAAAAUUAUACGAAUGUAAAAAUAUCUAUAAAAGAAUAUUAAAAGACGAAAGUAUUAGAAUAAAAGAUAAAAAGUGGUUGCAUAAAAUUGAGUACAAACUUAGCCUCAAAGAAAAUUAAAAUAUGAAAAUUAAAAUAUCUAUAUCUUGUACCCUCUUGCAUACUGUAUUUUUUUACACAAAAUGAUCUUACCAUUUAUUAGUAGAGGAAUAAAAUUAGAAAUUUUCAAUAUGAACAAUUUAGACGUAUAAAUAAUAAAAUAAUUUUGCGUAUAAAAAAAUUAUAUGUAUAGAACUGUACAAAAACUGCGCCUCUCUUUUUUAACCUAAAAACUAAAAAUGAAAAACUCAAACCUCAUAAUUUGAAUAUAUAUUUCUAUGCGAUUGAUAAAAACCUCUAACCAUUUAAGAUGACACACAAAUAACAACAACUGGGAUAAGUAACUUGUGCUCCUUAAUUAAGUGAGGAUGGAAAUGUAAGGUUUCGAGGGACGGAUGUAAAAAUUAAAAAUUUACAAGGACGUACCCGUAAUAUUCCCCGUUAUAAAAGGCGCCUCGACACCGGUUCCCGCGCCCCCACCUCGCGACUCGGCAAUUUUCGCGCCCUUUUCUCCCUCCUCGCUCCGACGUUUUGGCGCGAAAUCUCAUGCCUAGGGUUCGGAUCUCAAUCCCCAGCAAUGGAGACCCCUUUCGCUCGAUCCCUUCUCCGUCUCCGCCUCCGCCAUGGAUCGGGAGAGAGGCGACGCUCCUCCCUACGAAGGCGCGGUGCGUCCUCGAUUCUCCCUUUUUUCCCCGAUUUUUUACGAUUGUUUUGUGAUUUUUUUGUUGUGAGGUUGCUAAUUUUAGGGUGGAAAUCGAAAUUUUCGGCGUUUUGAUCUCAUUUACGAGUUGGUGGAUUGUAGGAAUAGAGUAAUUGGAUCGAAUAGAGGAGAAAACUUGUUGCCCUAGUUGUUAAAGAAUCUCGAUUCAUAUAUGCACGCAUUUGAACUGUUGUAUUCCACUCAUUCUUCAUUUAGAAUUGGUUCUUAUUCUCGUGAAUCGAUUGGAAAUUUAGCAUCUAUCUUUGGGUCAAUUCACGUUUUAACCGACCCUUUUGAUUCAAUAGCCCCAGUGCCCCUGCAGAGUGAUCAAAUUUUAGUUAAAAUCGAUUCGAAGUAGCAAUUGACCAAAACGUAGCAGAAAUUAUAGUUAAAGCUUUGUCCUUUUCGAUAGUUUGAAUCAUAUUAUUUUCAUAGUUAUAAUCAUUUUCCCAGGAAAUGGUAUCACAUUCUUUCAAAUUUUCUCUUUUUUUUUUUCUGAAAUCUACUUUUCCUUUCAAUAUCAUACUUCUAUCACAGUAACUUCUCUACCUCAACACCUGCUCCUUUUGUCGCAUCAGAGUUUCGGUGUAGUUUAUGGUGACCUGAGCAUUUCUCCUCUUUAUGUAUAUAAAAAAAAGAGCAUUUUCUAGGAGACUAAGCCAUCACCAUAAUGAGCAAACAAAAUUUGGUGUGUUUUCCUUGAUAUUUUGGACAUUCACUUUGCUUCCCUUGCUCAAGUACGUUAUCAUUGUAUCGAGCGCUGACGAUAACCUAGAAGGUGAGCAAGGAAAUGCAUUGCUAUUACUGUAUAAUACCUCAUUAUUUGUGGUGAUAUACAUAUUGUUUAUAGGGGGAAAUUUUGCUUUGUACUCUCUCCUCUGCAGGCAUGCCAGGUUCAGUUUACUUCCUAACCAGCAAGCAGCUGAUGAGGAACUUUCAUCGUAUUACAGACCGGGAUACACAAUUCGGAAUACUAUGUCCUCUGCAUUGAGACGGCUCUUUGAAAAGCAUAGGUAAGUCGAGAACUUGCUUAUGGUGUUCUUCGGAACUUCCAUGGUAUAUUGGUUAUGGUGUUAUCACAACGGUAAUAUUUUGUAGUACUACUGCAUAUGUUUGAUCUUCCCUCAAUCUCUUUGGAUCUUAAUUUGCUUUUGCUGCUAAAACCGGUUGCCAUUUUUUACAGUUCUAUCAUCUACUUCUGGUCCUCAAAUUCGGGCAAAUAGGAUUGACUAAUGGUUACUUUGUUCUAAUUUUAAAUUUAGUGCAGUGGAACCCUAAUAUAUGGAUACAGUUCAUAUUUUACUUGAUUUUGGGCAUAUUAUGCUGUUCUGGAUGAUGGAUCUGACGAAAGAUUCAUAGAGCCUCUUAGUUCUCUGUGAAUUGCUCAUAGUUAAAAAUUUAAUCUUAAUAUGCAAGCCUCCAAAAAUAACACAGCUGUUUAUCACCUCUCCAUCUGUCAUGGCUUGAAAAUCCUAUCAAAAUGACGAUUUGUUCCGAAAGGCCCAGCCCCUGCAUUUAGAAACUUAAGAAAAUCAAUGUCGCAAGGUAAGUUACUGUUAUACAGUAUUAUGUAUUUCUCAGAUAAUACAUUAUCUCGAAUUUUUUUCUCUAGAUCUCCUCUAUAUAAGAUGAUUAUGUGCUAUAGUUUGGAGAUUCAGUUUUUCGGAAAUUAAUACUUCCAAUGUUAUGUAGGUGCAUAUCAUCUUGAUUGUGUAUGUAUCUACCUAAGUUCUUUACUCUUAUCUAUUAAUGAUGUAUCCUUCUUCAAAUAGCUUUCUGUUUGGAACUUUAACAAGUAAACAUUUUCUUUUUUCGUUUCUUGCUAAAAGGCGAGGCUGCACUAGUUGUCUGCAUAGUGCUGCUUCGCCUCUUUGCUUCGCAGCACAGGGGCACUCAGAGAGUUGCCUUCCUGUUUCAACCUGUUGUUAUCAUUUGGCUCUUGCGUACCGGCGUAAUCAGCCUGUACAACAUCAUUUACUGGAACCCCGACACGUAUUUGUGCUCUCUCUCCAUAUUACAUGAUUAAAUUCUUUACAAGGACCGGGACAGACGGAUGGAUAUCUCUCGGCGGAGUACUUCUUUCUAUGACAGGUAUCUAAUUUGCUAUGUUAACAUUCAAGCAGAAUAUAGUGCUUCUUUUUCUUUUUCUUAUGUUAUGUGGCAUCUGCAGGUACAGAAGCUAUUUUCGCAGAUCUUGGCCUCUUCACUGUUGCAUCCAUCAGGGUAUGUUGCAUUAUGAUCACUUCUUAAAACAAAAUACUAUGAUUUCUUUAACAGCAGACUAUCUGCAAAAAGUUAUAGAAAAACCGAAUGAUUAGGCAAAUAUUGUUUUCUAAAAGAGAAAUGAUCUACAAAAUGUCACUCUGCUGAUCAGAGCAAUCACUGGUUCAAAGAUAACAUUCUCUCUUACUAAUUGACGCAUUAUACGUCUCAAGCAUGGGAGGUAUCCAAGCAUUGAAGAUAUUGAAGGCAAUAUACUAGAUUAAUUUACUAGAGUAGGGCUGCUGUAGUCUUAUGAGUAUAGUCCUUCGUACUCACAAGUCGUUUUCAAUGAUAAGGCUUCUGAAUCGACGAUUCACUUCGUUAAAUAUGAUCUAGAGUAUUUAAAACUUCUAGAAUAUAAAUUUCGUAAUUUUUUGAAAUCAUAAUAAAGCCUAUCAAGCGGGUAUUAAAUGAACAGUCAAAAUCGAACAACAUUCGAAAAAUGGAUGAUCGGAUUCUUCAAUUUAAGAUCAGAGUUAUUAAUCUUUACCUAGAUAGUGAAUAGAAUUUUUUAUGAAAAAUUCAACCUAGUUCAAUUCUUUUAUACCGUUAAACUAGUAAGUAUUUCAUAUCGGCCGUUAAAAAUUGUCAAUUUUGAAAUCUUUUGAUCGCAAGGUGAAUAAUGUCGAAAAAUUAUGAAAUUUGAUUUCUAGAAGUUUUAAAUAUUCUAGAUAAUGUUUAACUGUAUAAAUUGUCGAUUUAGAAGCUUUAUUAUAAAAAUUGACUUAUGAGUACGAAGGCGAUCGUACUCAUAAGAGUAUAAUAGCUAAACUCUAAUUUACUAUAGAUCCCUUUUUAUAAAAAAAAAAAAAAAAAAUUGUAAACUUCCAAAUAUUGCAUAAAAACCCUUGGUAACUUGUUAUUUUCAUGACGGCCCAUCUAUAAUCAUUCUCGGUUGUGCGUAAUAUCAUUCUCUCUCUAGUCGAAAAAGGAUGGCCCAGAUCUCUGUAUACCUGAAAUCAACAGGAUCCUCAUGCUUCUUUGCAUGGCAAGGCGAUUUCAGUUUGCUGUUUGUCUGCUGUCGAUUUCUUUACAUGCAGAAAGUUGUGUUAGUUCUUGUUUUUUUUUUUUUAAGUUCACCAGUCUUCCAAACUGCAAUUCUGGCCGAGUCGAAGAUUGUCAACACGGCAGCCGAGAAAGACAAUUUUAGAUUUUUAGAUUUUUUUUUUUUUUUAGGGUUUCCGGCCGCUUGUAAUCUGUAUUUUAAAUGUUUUAUUAUACUUUUCUCUCUCUUGCAAAUUAUUUUCCUUUCCUAAUUGUAUAUGAGGUAAAUUAUGUUAUUUAAGAUUUAGCAUUCUAUCAAUUUAAAAGUUUCCAGUGAUUAAAGGGCUUUCACAAAUCUAGUUCUUCCUAAUGUAUUUUCUAAUGAACUCCCUCAGUAAGCUGCUAUAUAAAUAAUAAGUAAAAAAAUAAAAAAGAAAAAGGGAAAAUAAUAUCAUACACCCUCCCCACCACACCACACCACACCACCCUUCAAAACAUGAUAUUUCAUAGAACCUACCCAUCGUGUACGAAAUCCAAAAUAAAAAAUAAGAAAGAAAAAAAGAAAAUUUGAGUAGGAUGAACAAAGAGAGUGCAUUUACAAUGAAUGCUCCAAUCUAACAUCCAUAGAGCAGCAAAAAUUGGACACACAACUUUCAACCAGAAGAAACAAAACAGUCCAAGAAAAUACCAACCGCCAUACCUACUUGACAAAAUCACAUCCGUCGAACCGUACAGUUCGCACAACAAAGCUGAUCACUGCACAUUUCUUCAACUAUACUAAACCAAUAUACGGACUAAAUAAAAGCUCAAGCAUUUGGAAACACCGACCAACUGAAACAUAACAGAAUGUAGAGCGAAGAACAUUAGCCUCCCUUCGAACCAGAGCAGUAAGGGAGAGUCCAUACAACAACCUUCGAUCCCCUUCCGCCUCUUCAAGUAAGUUAUUUUGUAGCAUCGAACGAACAAACUCCACCUUGGUCGCAAUAACAUAAAGAGACGUGCAAAGAGUGUUUAUUCGAAACUUCGUCUCACUGCACGAUUCGUCUCCCAUGGGACAUUCAUUUAAGUUAAGAUCAUAACAGAGAGGCAAAAGGAUGUUCAAAGUCAGGAAAGAAUAAUUUCUUUUUUUUACUUUUUUUUCUUUUAACUUCAUGUACUGCUUGCUGAAUUACAGUUUUCAUGGCCCCACCAGUGAUGGUUUUCCAUGGCAUUACAUGAAACAGCAGCUCCUUUUCGCUCCGUACUGCUUUCUGCUUUUAGACCAAUAGGAUGAAUAUAAAAGAUCAAGCCCCUUAGAUCAUUCAGCAGGAUGUUUCCGAUAAAACAGGAGUAAGGACUUGGAGACAUUAUCCGAGUAAUAGAACAUAAAAGAAAAAAAAAAAAAAUUGAAACCAGAAAAGAAUAAGAAAAUUUGAACAUUUACAGACCCCCUAGUGGCUGGCUGUAACACAUUAAAAAGACAAUGCACAAAUCCUUAUCCAUGCUCCAUCCAAUAAAGCGUCAAAUGCGAAAACCUCAGGCAAAGUAAUAAAGCUUGCAAAGUUUUCCUGUUCAUUUUUCACAAAAUUGGUAGGUUUAAAUAGCAGGUCGUUGUUUAGGCAAGCAAAAACCUGAAAACGUCGCUUAGUGAUAUUAUGCCCUCGACACGCUUGCUACCGGCCUCGACAAUAAUCACACGGCGAACACCUGAAAUAAGGGAAAACUGUACAGGUAAGAAAUGAAAACUCCAAUUGUUUUCUUCCGUUUGUUUUCUUUAUCUAUUGAACAUAACAGAAAACUCCGACUGUGAGAUUUGUAUUCGCAAGUGUGAAAUGUUACCGGGGCUUGCCAAUCGCUCCAUCACUUUAAGCAAUGUAUCAGAGCGGAGGCACAUUUGGCAUCUCUGUCCAUAGAAGAACCUGUGCGGCGAAUUCGCAUCUUGGGCAAGUUGCAGUGCCUGUGAAUUAUGGAGAAUGAAGCAAUUACAUUGCUCACUAAAUCUCCUUUUGUCUAAAGAAUGUAGCAAACUAAGGCCUCAUUCGGCAUCAUGUUUGUUUUUUGUUUUUUUUAAGCAAAAUUUUGUAUAUCAAAAGGUGUAGAAGUAGACAGUGAAUUGUUUGCAAUCUUUUCAUCCAAAGUGUUUACUUAGACACAAAAAAAAAAUAAAAAACUUGCAAACAACUUUUUUUACUUAAUUUUUUUUAACAAGUAAUCUACCACUUGACCGGAUGCCUUGUAAGCUAACCAACUAUAACAACAAGACAAGUCUUUCUUCCAACACAUCAAAUUAUAUAGAAUUAGUGUUUAAAAAAAUAAAAAUAUGACAACAAUAUCAAACGAGGCCUAAGUCAACAAUUUUUUAGACAAAUUAUGGAAAACUCUUUCUAAGUUGACAUAAAACAAAACAGGUUUUCGUAUUACCUGAUGGAUACUCAUCUCAUCAAGGUGAAUAUGGGUAUAAGCUCUGUCUUUAGCCAAUGAUGUGAUGUCACUGCGGAUGGAAGAGCAAGCACUAGUAAUUCCACAGAACUUGUUUUUUUUUAAAAAAAAAGACUCCAGAUAUCAAAAGGUUGCCAUCAGUUGUACCUUCUAGAAUAUGUAUCCAGCAACGAGUCAUUGUCAUCAACAAUAGGUAUUGAACUUACACGAGCUGUAGUCAAUAAACACAGAAACCUAGUGUAAGGUAACUACUAUGAAAUUGCAAGAGAAAAGUAGGAGCUAAUAAAGUCAGUGUUGCAGUCAGAGUACACUGAAAUCUGAAAUAUUCAAAGGCAUAAUUCCAAAGAAGAGUCUCUACUUACGAGCGCUUAAGGCACACUCAGUACACACAUCCAUGUAUACAUACAUAAAUCUUAGCAUAAGUAUAUAAAUACACAAAUCCUCCUCCCUUCCCCCUCCCUCAUGUGUCUCACAAACUUAUCUGACGAUAAUGGAAACCCACAAUACCAGAAAGUCCACAUCUAGCUGAUACAGGCACAAGAAGGUAAAUGAUCUCUAGAACUUACAAUCUCAGUUGAAAGAAAAGUCGAACAUGCCAAAACAAAAUUAAAGUAUAAUACUAGAUUUAUAUUUAACAGGAAAUUCACUAUCCGGCAUUGCUUGAGAAUCUGAAUAAAUUGACAAAUUGUGGUCUCGAAAAGUUUAGUUUCAACCUUGAACCAACAAAGAAAGAGCAGAGCUGAGUGACGCAUUUGGUCUCAACAUGGCCAGUGGACGCCCACUUGGAUCCCCAAUUUUAGGAACCCAUGUACCCAAAGGAAUUGUACACACUGGUUGCUGUAGAGCCGGCAAAGCACUAGAAGAGUGUUUAAAGUACCUGCAGAUACCUGAAAAUUAACAAACAAAAAGAAAAUCUAAGAAAAAAUAAGAUGGCAAAACCAGGAAUAUUGUAUGAGAUUAGUAAAAUAAUGUCAAAAAUAAUUGAUGAAAGUAAGCCCACGAAAGAACAACUCACAUUUCAAAAUUCCUGAAAGGGAUGCGAGAUGCAGCAACUGCGGAAAGGAUCCAUCUUCUGAUGUUGAAUGGAUGAUUGGAACAGUGGAAACAUCAUUUUGCAGAAUCAUUAAAGCUACAUCCCUCAAGGAAUCAUACGGGCUGGCCUAAACAACCCAUUGGCAAGACACAAUGAGUUUAUGGCAACAUCUCAAUUACAUUGUUACACACACACACAUAUGUAUAUAUAGUUCACCUGGAAUACUAUUGAUAGUAGAAGAAUAGCGUUUAUUAUCUACUUUUUAACCCUUAGAUUCCUAGGGUUUAGUGGUGGUAGUUGGAAUGGGCUAGAAAGCUGAUAGUAAACACUAUUUAUUUACUAUCGAUAGUAUUUCAAGGAUAUAUAUAUAUAUAUAUAUAUAUAUAUAUAUAUAGAGAGAGAGAGAGAGAGAGAGAGAGAGAGAGAGAGAGAGUAGAAUACUAUUAAUGGCACCAAGUCAUUGGUGCUAUUAGGUUUUUGGCCCUUGGAUUAAGGAAUGUGUAGUUGAAUGAUAGUGGUCCCCUAGAGUUGAGUGGGUGGUUGGUUGAAUAGUAUGAUCUAAGGGGUAGAAAUGGUCAAAGAGGUAGAUCUAACGGCGGAGAAAGUAAUGCAUGGUUACAAAAGGCAAUUAAGCGUUCAUAAUAGUCAGAGAAAAAAAAAGUCUUAACAAUCUUUUUAUGGCUUGUAAGAAAAUUCCUGGUAAGAAAUGUAAAAGUGAGCUAUCAGCCAACGGACCCCAUUGCAGAGUCUUUAGUGUAAUAGGUAACAAACUAGAGGAAAUCCAUAUGCCUAUGGUUGACAUUACCACCUAUACCACAAUAAACCAUCAGCCUUCAUACCUUCAAUACUAGUCCGCUUUUACUGAAGAAAAGGUUAAAAUACAAGAUUGGUCCCUAGAGUUUCACAUUCAAAUACGCUCACAGGUUUUAGUCCCUGAAGUUUUUUCCAAUAGCUAUUAAUUCUUGGUCCUUUUCAAAGUUUCAAUAGUGAAGGUUAUAUCUUCUAAAAAGAAAUUGUUCAAAAAGUCACUCUGAUGAGAAAAACAUUCUUUUACUGCAAAAAUGAUCAUAAUUACAGACCAACAAAGCCAACUCAUUGGAUAAGAAUCAAGUUCAGUUUCCAAAACAAAGGAAUAACCUGACUUAAUUUGUACUCCCCAUUAUAACCUAAAUUUACCAUGAAUUCAGUCCAGGCAUCUGUUUGAACUGUUUGUAAAUAUUCAGUACUUUAGUUAAAGGCAACUUCCAAGCUAAACAAUUGUAAUUGCAUUAAUAUCAGCCAUACAGGAACUUACAUGCAUUAGAUGCCUUUGAAAUGGUCGACCGUGCCCAUCCAUUUGCCGGUAAAGUUGCUGCUUUCCCCGUUUCCAAGCAGAUAUUGUGUGGGUCUCAAGCUCUUCCUCUGUUAGGUUUGAGCCAUGAUUUCCGAGCUGCAAUAAGCACAAGAUAAUCUUUUAACAACAGUACAGAAUCUACAGACGAGGAAAGAGUAAGGAAGUUGAAACAUAGCACUGAAGAAGUAAAUAUGGCUGACCCAGCAAAUUAAGCAUUUCAUAAGCCUAAUAAGAUAUACUCUAUUGCUUAUACGUAUUACAGAACUCAGAAAGGUUAUUCUGGUCAAAAUGACUUUGCAUUGGACUAGGAAUAAACCCAAAAAUGUAAUAUCUGAAAAUUGGUAUUAGUUAGGUAAGAUGUAGAAUGCAGUUUGACCACAUUCUACUAAUUAUAGAGCUAGUUCUGAUAAGAGAAAGUAAAGCUUAUAAUUAAAAUUAAAUAGCACAAGUAAAUUCAAUUAAGCAUAGAGAAAUGUAACACAUGAUAAGAUAGAGGUCCUUCUUUAAUAAAUACAUUGCGAGUAUAAUAAAGAAUGCAAACAUAUAUUGAAAAUAAAGAUGCCUUUUUGACAAUAAUCUCAGUGAACUCAGCUGCAUGGGACAUACCAAGCGAUGUUAAAUGCGCAAGAAGAAGAGACCAGGAAAAGGAGUAAAAGAUAUUGAAGUACUACCUCUCUCAAUAUUAAUAUGAAGUCCAAUGGGCUAAGUACUCCAACAAAUUGUCCUCUGUAGAAAUCCCACAGAGGAGCAACAGGAAUUCCCUGUAAACAUCAACAUAAGUUGAUUUAGCAUUAAGUGAACACAAAAAAAAGCUGCAAUGUAUGUAAUUUUCUUCUUCUGGACUUUCAUCUUCUGGACUUUCACUAACAAUACCACAAAACUUUAAAAGCUCAGUGUUAGCAUAUUCAUGUCCAAUACGAACUCAGGAAAUAUAAAAGGAUUAAGCACAAAAGGUUUUCGCUUCGAGAUGCAAGCAUGGAAAUCAGAAUGCUUUUGGACAGCCAUAUAUAGGAUGUAGAAACCUUUGGCAUUUAUAGUUGAUAAAGGUCUAUUUAUACACUUCAACUUAACGUAAUACCAGCUCAAGCAUAAUUCCGGGAUGUAUUAACAGGUAACUUCUUCUAAUUGUCCAAAACCCAGCAAAUUAAGAGGGGAGUAAUCUCCAAUGCAAAUCAAGAGGAGGGGAAAUGAACUUCUCAGUCUUCCAAGUGCUGAAUCAAAAUCUUGUAUGUUUGGAAAAAAGGAAAGAUGCACAUGUAACAAGGCAGCAAAGAUUAGGGUUUCAUAUAUGGCAUUACAAGGAGUAUGACAACUUAGAAUAGAAGUACCUGUUCAUAUAGAAUAUGAAAAGCCUGCUUCACGGGCAAAUUAACAUCAAAAGCAAUGACCUGAACGAAUGCUCAAAAAAGGCAAAGUUAUUUCCCUCAUGGCAAAGGCAAAGAUUCAGGAAAACAGAAAAAGGAGGAUCAUCUGUACCUUUCCGGAGUUAGGGAGUAAAUCAUAUGCAGUGUGUCGGGAUAGAAAGUCAGAAACAUGAUGCCUCGAUAUUUCAAUAUCAGUCUCUGAAAUUCUACGAGGGCUCACCUGCACAACACCAUCCAACAGAAUCACCUGCUCAGAAAAUAAAUAAUGGCGGUGCAACAUAGACUAACACUAGAUCCGAUAAUAUCUAGAAAAAAGCUCAUCUCGUCUUCUACAGGAAACAUGCAUACAUUAUUGCGAAUAAAAGAAGUCUGUUCACCACAGUCAUCUGUUCCAGUUACUCAAAUAUCCUAAUUCUAUUUUCUCCAAUCAACUAUGUGCACUACCACCGCAGGCAGCUAUUACAAUAUCCUUAGUUGUAUCUAUACAUAUAUCUAUUUAUUGGCUGCUAUAAAGCUAAAAGUCGUCAAUUGCAGCUUUACAAAGUAUGUGUUCGACAAAUGAGUUUUAUUUUUCUCUUGAGAUGUAUAUUUUAGGUUGCAGAAGUGUUAUUUAUGGCAAGAAAACCAAGUUACACGAGUAAACAAAUCAUUGCAUAGUGUUCUCAAGAUAUUACACUUCCUUGUUUCACCCCUCUAUCUAUGGGACCUAACUCAUACUCUGUACCUGUCAGAUCGUUGGCGCUAACCAUUAAUCCCAAAAGCUCGAGCUGUUAGAAAUACGUAACCAAUUCACUUAAAGCGUACAGAUACAGCGCCCAUGGGUCUUGAUUGUGACUCGGCCCAACUAACCUCACGUCACUUCGAACAUGACUCGGCCCACCCAGCCUCACGCCAUUUCGAAUAUGACUCGGCCCAACAUGGCCUUCCGCUACAAGACAGGAUGCUGGCCCAUUUAAGCCAACAAUCCCUCCCCAAGCACCUGCACACAUUUGCAGCAUGCGGGAACCGAACUCGUGACCUCUGGCUCUGAUACUACUUUGUCGGAUCGUUGGCGCUAGCCAUUAAUCCCAAAAGCUCGAGCUGUUAGAAAUACGGAACCAAUUCAAUUAAAGCGUACAGAUACGGCGCCCACGAGUCUCGAUUGUGACUCGGCCCAACCAGUCUCACGCCACUUCGAACAUGACUCGACCCAUCUAGCCUUACGCCAUUUCGAAUAUGACUUACCCCAACAUGGCCUCCCGCUAUAAGGCGGGAUGCUGGCCCAUUUAAGCCAACAGUACCUACUCAACAAAGAAAUAUAUUUUUUUUCAUGCAUUCUCCACUGUCUAAGUCGUAAUAUGUUAUAUCACGGAAAGUAAUUACUACCAGAAAUGCAAGUAAAUGUUUCAAGACAUCAAAAGUGAAAGAGUAGUGAUACCUACUAAUCAAUAGCUUUCCAAAAGACUACUUGAAACUAAACAUCUCGCAAAUUCUCUUCACACAUGGUUCCAAAGUGGCUAUAAAUAAAUAAAUAAAUAAAUAUAUAUAUAUAUAUAUAUAUAUAGAGAGAGAGAGAGAGAGAGAGAGAGAGAGAGAUUAUAUAUAUAUAUAUAUAGAGAGAGAGAGAGAGAGAGAGAGAGAGAUUUAAAUUUUAAAGAAAUGAAAAAAGUUUAUUACAACAUAUAACAAAUAUCUUUCUUUACGUAGUGCAUUUAUUACCACAACAAAAGUUCACUCGUAUCCUUACCACACUGUCAUUAUCAACAUCCAUGGUCGUCCUAUUUCUAGGCGUGUGAGGGCUCAACAGUGAAGGCAUAGGAUCAACAUCACCAGUCAAAUACAAAGUGUUUACUAUCCCAUACUCUCCGGUCACGAAAGGCUGCCGUUCAUCGUGCCGCCAUUCUCCAUCAACAAAGAAUUUGUACUGCAUGUAUAGAACACAGUAGUAUAAAACUUUAAAUAUUACAGAUGAAACAAUUGUGUCUGAAAGCUUAACUGAAUGGUCAAGCAAACGCACCAAUAUGUUCGCUUUGAAUUUCAUAUUAGCACACAAAUGUCUAGCAAAUAAGCAUUCUAAGCAUUCUAACAGUAAAAAACUUAGACCAGAUAAGUAACCUAAACUAGCAAGGUCUCAAUGCAAGUUAAUGACAUUCAAGGAUUAAAUUUGAGGGUGAAAAAACCAACAUUUAAAUAAGAAAGUUACGGAGGGCAGGGAAAAAAAAAAAAAAAAAGAAGCUACAAAGACUGAAAAAACUACAGAAUUACCUGAUGAAUGCCAGGAGCCAAACUGCAGAUUGCCUGGAAUACAGUAGGACAACCUUCCACAGGAGACAUUGGUAUAAGUUCCGACCACCUAAGGAAAACAUCUUACAGAAAUCAACACAAUACUCGUACGAAAAUUUUCGAGUAAUAAAAUGAUGUGAAAAUAGAGUUGCAAAGAGUAAUUAUCAGUUGACUGUACAGGCUCAUUUUAUUAUUUUUUCCCAUAGUUUUGAUGGCAACAAUGGGCAAGUCAUCUAAUUUAACAAAGGCUGAUUCAACCUAAACAAAUGUUUAAGAUAAACUUUCCUCCAAAAGAAUCAAAGAACAUAAACAACAGAAAAUAGACGUUGCAAACAAGAAUUUUGCAGCCUCAUUAGGUGAACCUGCAAUGUAGUUGAAGUCUACCAAGACAGCUUCUAAGUGUCAAUUGGUCUACGUGCAGUUUUUACAAAAUAAGUGAGAAUACUCACAAAUUCACUGUUCCUCAAGUUAAAUUUCAUGUACCAAUCCUCAAUAAGUAUACACCUCGAAAUCAAUUUGUAUGUAUGCAUGUUUGUUAUGACCUUUAGGAAUAUGCAAAUAAGGGCAAUAAGCAAUAAACAAAUUUGACCAAAAGUUAAAACCUCGACAUCAACUUGUAUGUAUGUUUCAUCUGACCUUUAGGAAUAUGCAAAAAAGGUUAUAAAGCAAUCAGCAAAUUUAAUCAAAUGUUAAAAUGAAAACUAGAUGAAUUUGUGCUGGAGAGUAGAAUUUCAGGUUUACUCUUAAACAUAGAGAAGAAAAGGCUAACAAAUAGGAGAUAUCUUGUCUCAAUAGAAAUUUAUGUAAGAGAUAUCAAUUUUUGUUAUGCCUUCAAUAAUUGCUUGAAGCAGUUAUAUGUUUGUUGACUCUAUUUGACUAAAUGUUAGCUAGUUGAGGAGAGAGAGGGAAGACGAUGAUUUGGUUUGGUUAGCUGAGUUGGUAAAUAUCAUAUAAGUCUACAUUGAUCGAAAGGUUAAUCUAUUGAAAUACAACAGUAGGGUGGAGUAAUUUUACAUCAAGCAUGUUCACCUCAUCACCCAUGCAAACCUCAAAUAGCAAAGAAAAACUUUUGUGUGCUUGGGUAAUCACACCACCCCAUAUAUAACAAGACAAGACCAGGAGAAAUAACUUCUAACUACAUUUAACCAAACAGAAAACUUAUAAUUGACGCACCCCCUACUGCAAGAUAGCCUAAUUGGAUAAGCACAAUUGUAAAUAUUUCAUGUCAACUGCAUGCAUCUCUAAUUGCACAAUAUUUAUGACUACAUACACCAAACGGCCAUUUCCAACUCUAUAUUAGUAUUUAUCAGCAUGCCAUGGAGCACAAGCUAAACUCUCAAACUUUUAAGAGUACAUUCUAACUGCUUGUAGCAACGAUGAAUAAAGCAAAGUAUUUGUUUAACCAUAACAGACUUAUAUUUAAGUUUAUCUAAUUGACCGUCUAAGUCCUCAGACAAUCUGCCCAAAUGCCUAAGCGGAGACUAGGAGUCUAGGGAGCCACCAUGCGUGAUAACCACCUUGAAAAUUUUGAGGAUUACAGGCGGCAGUGUCAUAUACAAUCACAUCUUCAGCUUUUAGUGCAUAGUACAUAUGUCAGCAAAUUGAUUUAGCAUUUUUGUCGCAUCAUUAAAAUUUCAUAUGGUUCAAAUACAAUCGAUGCAUAAGAGCAUUCAAAGUUCAUGUAAACAGAAGAUAAAAGUUGAACACAGAGAAUGAUCAAUAAAGCAAUAACUGCAAACACCAUAUGAAAGCAGUUAAUAAAGAAUGCUACAGUAAUAGACACUUAAUAGAUAUAGAAAGACCUAACCUCCUGAAAGAACCAGUUAGGAGCACCCUAUUCCCACCAUACGGCCAUACGAACCGCGUCAGAAUCUGCACCGCCCCCUCGGCAACCGGCGUGUCUCGAGAAGAAUCCGGCCCCGACGAGAACAUUUCCUUCGAUCCUUUCAACAAGCUUCUAACUGUUAACAAAUUACGGCGUACUCUUUCCUAGUUACCCUAACAACCAUCACCAAUCCAAAGCUCCUCUCCACCAUCAAAAGAGAGGGUAUCCCAACAACAAAAAGCCCUAAUUUAAGGUACCUCUUGCGACGGGAUCCUCCACAGCACGCAGAGGACCCCUCAGUGCUCACACAUUCCACGCAGGGAAGCGGCAAUCCGCCCGCGGUAACAUGAAAGCCCCCUCAAGCUACCUCAAAAGCAGCACCUUUGCGGCACAAAAGCCCCAAAAAUUCAAACAAUUCCCGAGCACCACCACACUAAGCCCCUUNAAAGAAUCUCUCUAGGAGCUUACAAACAACAGCACAAUUACCAGCCCUCCUUUCCAGACAACUUUGUGGUAAAUUUGAGGCAAGUUGGUGGGGUUAUUUAUAAUAGCCCAAGGAGAUGAGAGAGAGAGAGAGAGAGAGAGAGAGAGAGAGAGAGAGAUGGGUCGGAAAAGAGACGACGACAAUGGAGAGAGAGAGAGAGAGAGAGAGAGAGAGGGGAAAAGGGAGUUGAAGGGGGGGAGAAGCAAUACGAAUGUAUGCGGGAGGGGAUGCGUGCGUUUGUACGCAGGACAGUGGAUUAUGCGGACGCAGGUUGGGACAAUGCAAUCCACCAACCAAUCAGAAGCGGGGUAAAUGUACACGCCCCUCCAAUUUUUUUUUUAAGCUCAACGACUUAAAAAAAAAAAAAAAAAAAAAAAAAAAAAAAAAAAAAAAAAAAAAAACCCGAAAGGCUUGGUGAUUGAUAUUCGAGGUCCAAGUUUGAAUCAUAGUUGAAUCACACUUUCAGCUAAGUUAUUUCUAAAUGAAAUAAACGAAGUGGAUAGUAUACUACCUAUCUCUUAGAAAAAAAAAAAUAAAAUAAAAUAAAAGAAAGAGUUCAACCAACUCCCUAUAAAGAUAUCGAAAUAUAUUUCUAUUAAAAUUUAAUUUUUUAUAUUUAUUUCUACAAAAGUUGAGUGAUAUUCAUAUUUGCUGUUCUGAUUUGUUAUCACUACUCUCUAAUAGUUCCAAUUGUUAAACUUAUACAGAAAUAUCCUUCCAAAAAUUUUCGACGGUCAUCAUCUUUAUUUCUAUCAUCACAAAUAAUAUAAGAGGGGCAAAAAGUCAAUUUACCUUAUUUAUUAAGACUUCGUUUGGGAUCGCGGGGAGAUUGCAUUACAUGCUGUGAAAAAGUACGUUGGAAAAAUACUUUAUUUGUUUCCGUACGUAAUCCUGCGUUCCGCAUAUCGCCAUGAGUCGAUUAUGAUAUAUUUUCUAGAAUUUCACUGGAGAACGCAGAAAAAUAUCCCUAUAUACUUUUUCUCCAACUUCAUUUUAUCUAAUAGCAUUAGAUGGGCUUCAAUACUAAACUAAGUCUAACUAUAUUUUUCUAAUGAGUCCUAACAGUGGGAAUAUAUUUAAAAACGUUAAGACUUUUGUGGAAAUAAAUAUGAAAAAUAAAAUUUUAUAGGAAUAUAUCUGCUAUUCGAUAUAUUUACAUAGAACUGUAUACGACAAACCUUUUUUUUAAUGAGAUUGUUAGGAUUAUGUGUAGAUUUUUUUGAGUUAUUAGGAUUAUAUCUGUGUUGUUAGAAUUUUUAUGAAAUUAUUUGAAUUAUUAUAUAUGAAAAAUAUUUAGAGUUGGAACUCUAAUUAACGGUUUGGUUCAAAGUAAAAUUGUGAAAAUUAAUUUUUUGAAAAAAAAAUUUGGUGGAAUUUUUUUUUUUAACAUUUUAAGUUUUUGAUUUGUAGGGAAAAAAAAAAGUUUUCCACUAACAUUUGUUUGGUUGAAUAGAAAAAAAAAANAAAUGCUCGGUGAAUGGUAUUCGAGGUCUCAAGUUUGAAUCGUAGUUGAAUCACACUUUCAGCUAAGUUAUUUCUAAAUGAAAUAAACGAAGCGGAUAGUAUGCUAUUUAUCUCUCAGAAAAAAAAAAGAAAAAAGAAAAAAAGAAAGAGUUCAACCAACUCCCUAUAAAGAUAUCGAAAUAUAUUUCUAUAAAAUUUAAUUUUUCAUAUUUAUUUCUACAAAAGUUGAGUGAUAUUCAUAUUUGCUGUUCUGAUUUGUUAUCACUACUCUUUAAUAGUCCCAAUUGUUAAACUUAUACAUAAAUAUCCUUCCAAAAAUUUUUGACGGUCAUCUUCUUUAUUUCUAUCAUCACAAAUAAUAUAAGAGGGGCAAAAAGUCAAUUUACUUUAUUUACUAAAACUUCGUUUGGGAUCGCGGGAAGAUUGUAUUACAUGCUGUGAGAAAUUACGUUGGAAAAAUACUUUAUUUGCUUCCGUACGUAAUACUGUGUUUCGCAUAUCGCGAUGAGUCGAUUAUGAUAUAUUUUCUAGAAUUCCACUGGAGAACGCAGAAGCAUAUCUCUAUAUACUUUUACCCCAACUUCAUUUUAUCUAAUAGCGUUAGAUGGGCUUCAAUACUAAACUAAGUCUAACUAUAUUUUUCUAAUAAGUCCUAACAGUGGGAAUAUAUUUAAAAACGUUAAGACUUUUGUAGAAAUAAAUAUGAAAAAUAAAAUUUUAUAUGAAUAUAUCUGCUAUUCGAUAUAUUUACAUAGAACUGUAUACGACAAACCCUUUUUUUAAUGAGAUUGUUAGGAUUAUGUGUAGAUUUUUUUGAGUUAUUAGGAUUAUAUCUGUGUUGUUAGAAUUUUUAUGAAAUUAUUUGAAUUAUUAUAUAUGAAAAAUAUUUAGAGUUGGAACUCUAAUUAACGGUUUGGUUCAAAGUAAAAUUGUGAAAAAUAAUUUUUUGUAAAAAAAAUUUGGUGGAAUUUUUUUUUUUUUAAACAUUUUAUAGUUUUUGAUUUGUAGGGAAAAAAAAAAGUUUUCCACCAACAUUUGUUUGGUUGAAUAGAAAGAAAAAAUUCAUAUUUGCUUGGUUUGGUAGAAAAGAAGAUGAAAGAAAAAAGUUUUAUGCAAUUUGAAUUUUCGUUUUCCGCCAAAGCGAAAUUUUAAUUUUUUUUCAAAUCCGAAAAAAUAUUUUUAUGUUGAACCAAACAAACGAAAAAGCAUUUUUUAUACGGAAAUUAUUUUUCGGUUUAUUUUACGCGGGCAUGUUUGUUUCAACGAAACUAGACUUCGGGUUGAAAUGGAGUUCGGUGAAAACUACUACUUUUCCGUUGUUUGUUUCGUAGUUAUGGAAGUGAUAUUUCAUUAGUUCUGCUGUUUGUUUUGUAAGAAAUGUAGGAUGUAAAACUAUAAUUUAUAUAUAAAUAAUAAAUAUUUUAAUAAAUAAAGAUAACAAAAUUAUAUUUUUAUAUAAUUAAAAUUUAAUUUAAAAUAACUAAAUUAUUUUUUUAUACAAAAAUUAUAGUAAUACAUUAAUAAAAUUAUAAAGUAAAAAAUAUUAAAAUUGAACUAAUCAAUUUUUAUCAUAUUUUAAAUAUACCAACUAAAAAAAUAGUAAUUAGUAAUAUAAUUAAAUAUAUUUAAAUAUAAUUAUAUUUAUCUAUUAUAUUAUUUUAUUAUUUUUUUUACUUUUUUUUUUUUACCAUAAUUAACUUCGGCUCACGAUGGCCGAAGUCAAUUACGCCGUUUGAGGUUAACUCGAGUUCCGACCGUAACUUUUUUACGUCGAGCCAAAACAACGGAAGUGGUCGCUUAUAGCAAAACCAACUUCUCACCUCUCCACUUUCACCCAACUUCCACCC